UGUUUCCAUGCCAAUUGUAGUGGCCAGUAAACCUCUGCAAGCAAGUAACCAUCUGCCUGCCUGUAGUUCAAGGUAUAAUAUUUUUUUUGAUAACCCAAGUUUGAAGAAUGCAGUUUCUAGUAUUUAAAAACAGUACAAUGAUCCAGUGAAACAAAUUGACCCAAAUACAGUAUUACUGUUCAGAUGUGAUCCACUUUUACUCUCAAAAUCUACCAUUUUGGAAUAUUGCUUAUAUUCAAGAUAGCUCCUUGACUAUGCAUCCUGAUUUGAGGAUUUAUUUUUACUCAUACUGGUUUUUCGUUUUAAGCGAACGUUCUGUAUGAAAUUAAAGCCCAUGGAUCAAAAUAAUAUUUUUGAUGCCGUUUAAUCUUACAUCUUACUGCUUAAAACUACUGCGUAGUUUAAUGCAAUUGCUUUUGUGGGAAGAAUCGGCUUAACACGUUAUCGAUAAUCCUAAUGCAACUGUAUCCAAGUUUGUUCUGGGAUUUUAAAAAGUGGGUUUAAAGAGAAGAUGUGCUUACAGGUUUGCUUGUGAGUCAAAAACACGGAGAAAUUACCAAUUAACGCUCCCUGGCUUAACGUCUGCAAAUACAUUGUGCAGUCUCACAUAUUGUGCUUGCUUAAUUCCAGUGCAUGCCCAUGUUCUAUGGGGACUCAGCUACAUUAGUAAAAAAAACACCAGUGUUUUAAAUGUGUUAUAGACAUGCAACACCAGAUGGUGCUGUAGAGCACAAAACCUUUCUAUGUGGUUUUACAUAGUUUUUUCUUUCUUUUGUUAUAACGAUUUAAUUUAUGACUUAUUUAUAGCAGGGUUUUUUUCCUGUGUGUAGAUCCACCCUUGGUCUUUCAGUUCUAGCUGUUUCUCUGAAUCUCAGGAUACUAUGAGAGCUAAUUAGCUGCUUCCAUUUCCAUUACAUAGAAUGGUAUGUGAUAGUGGUAAAGGGUUGUAUAUGGUGGGAAGUAACUGACAAAUGGAAGAGGCAGAGAGUGGGGAGAUCACUAGAGCACCCAGCUCCUGCUUGCAGGCUCCCAUAGGCAUCCAAUUAGCCUAACUGAGCAGGGCUCUUCUCGUGUGCUGACUGCCCCACACUUCUGUCUCUCCACAACAUGUGGUAUCCAGAAUUUAUGCUUCUUAAAACUGAGGCUUUAUCUGCAUAACAUUCCUAAUAGCUUUUCUUCAUGAAUUUGGCUAUCGUUUCUUAAAAUUAGCCUGAGCUAGUGUGUAGCAUUCGUGCGCACUCCCCCACCUGCCUUCCAAGUCCGGUAAGACCCGGCUGAGAGAGAGAGGGGUGCGCAGAAGAUUUUUUUUAAGAACAGAAAACAGAAACAGUAGUUGCUGCCACCACCUCCUUAUCUUAGAACAGCCCAGAAGAGUAACCUAAGGAAGAGGAUUACUCUUCAGCGUUACCUGGCUGCCCCACCCUGUGACACUUUACCGUGACACAGACAGAAAUUCAACCGGUCUGGUAGGCGACUAAGUGGUCAGGUGCUGGACUAGCAUCCCCGACAGAAGGCACAAAAGACAGAAACAGGAAAAAGUUCUUUUUCUGGCAUUUAUUAAAACACAAGAUUAUUUAAGCAUAAAAGUUGGCACAUCUCUUACAAGUUUCAAACAGAAAAUAAAAACAUUGUAUAGUAUCUCUGACUACAAAACAUACUCACCACGAGAACAAAAGAAGACUUAGAGUAGUUGGGCUGAUUCUGCACCUCUGGGCAGGCCCUCUUUACAUAACAAAGAUCUCGCAUAGUGAUGUAGAAUAGGUGAGGCAGGCUGCUGCGAAUUUCAAAUUGGUUCUCUAACGUUUUUAUCCCCUGGGAACCCAUGUGUAGCCCAACUCAAAGACCAAUCAGUUCUUUUGAUUAAUUAAGAAUCGCCAAUGGUUACGCAGAAGGGCAAUAACUCAGCUUGUUAGAGGCAUUGGCAUCUGAAUCCUAUUUAUCCCAAGACCUUGAAGAUGAAAAGGCAUCCUCCCUUUCCCCAGACACACACCAGGUCCCCCUUCUUCUUGUAAUAAGGCUUGGUGACCCUGUUCACACAGAAACGGUAUCUUAGAUAGCCAGGUGUCAGGACUACAAAUCAACUAUGGGCCUCCUUCCUGCAGAUGGAGGAGAUAACUUAUUCACACUUUCAGAGACAAUAAGUCUGCCCUUAAAGAAGCAGAUGCCCAUUCCCCAGAAUUCUCUAGUGUUUGGUUCUCCCACAAUGCCCUUCCUUGGCUUGAACCAAAGUUUUCCUUGCGAGGUUUCCUAACAUCACUACAUAGUGGUCAUCACCAUAUAUUGUGGCAGUGAAUUCCACAAAUUAAUACUAUUUGUGGUAUGAAUAGGUCCUUUCUUUUCCACUGCCAGUUAGUUUCCUGUGGUGAGCCAGGCCCAUGAAUUGAGAGAAGGACUCUACCAAUUCCUUUCCUUUCUUAUUUCUGCUUCCGCCCUUUGGGACAGGAUCCAGUCUUGGCCAAAGCACUGAACCCCAGGGUUAACCUUUAAUUAAUGAACAAACAAAACAAGGUGCUAGAAGAACGAACACCUCUUAAUUAAGUCAUUGGCAAAGAAAGCUGUUGAAAAAUAAAGGUGUUCUUAUUGCAGAACCAAAAUGGAAAAGAUUGCAUGACGGGACGGCACCCGUUUAGAGUCAGCCCUUGGCAUAAGGUUGCUGAUGGACCUCCCAGUGCUGUUCUCUUCUCAGUGCUGCUGCCAGUUGAUUGUGUCAGGAAGGCUUAGUAAUUAAUAAUUAGCAUUAGUAAUUUUGAAAUCAAUGUAACUCUUUAUUUUCGUAACAUUUGUUAUUGCUUAAGUCGCCUGUUGCUGCUGUGAAGAAAAUGCCUUUGAAACCCAAACCUUUAGGACCCUAGGCCUGUAAUAAAAUAUGGAAAUAACUCAUUCAGGCUGUCUUACCCAAAUGCAGAGAUAGAAUGAUGGAAAGUUUUGCUAUUGAUUUAGAUGCUUGGGGGGGGGGGGAGGUGACGACACACCUUUUUGAUUAAUUUACCAAAGUUUGCUAGCUUCUGUUUGUUAUUAUUGACUUGUUCUGUCAGCUUGACCUGUACAAAAAUAUGAACCUUGUGCUAGGUGUGUGGUUAAAAUUGGCAGAGGCUGACAUAGAGCAAAGGUUAAAAAGUUAUAUAGCAAAAGAUUCCUGCAUUGCAGAGGUUUGGAGUAGAUGACCACAUAGUCCCUUAUUUUGGUUAAUUAUUUGCUAGUUGCAGAAAUGCAACUUGACAAUUUCCUUGUUCGGGGCAGUACCUUUGGGUUUUCUCCCAAGGUGUUUCCUGCUGCACAGCAUAAAUGAAGAAGGGUGCCUCUUUUGGUGGCGCAGUGGUCUAAACCACUGAGCCUCUUGGGCUUGCCGAUCAGAAGGUCAGUGGUACGAAUUCCCGCGAUGGGGUGAGCUCCCGGGGUUGCUCGGUCUGAGCUCCUCCCCACCUAGCAGUUCAAAAGCACGCCAAAAAGUGCAAGUAAAUAAAUAGGUACCACUUUGGUGGGAAGGUAAAUGGCGUUUCCGUACGCUGCUCUGGCUUCGCCAGAAGCGGCUUAGUCAUGCUGGCCACAUGACCCAGAAAAACUGUCUGCAGACAAACGCCGGCUCCCUCAGCCUGUAAAGAAAGAUGAACGCCACAACCCCAGAGUUGUCUGCGACUGGACCUAACUGUCAGGGGUCCUUUACCUUUACAUUUACUUUGAAUAUUCAUUGGUUGUGUUUUUAUUUAAAAAACUCCCUACCUGGAGAAAAACAGGUGAAGGGGACUGGCACUAUCUUGGCACUGCUUUAGUUUUCUAUAUACUAAUUAGAUAUAUUUUUACAUACUUUUUAAUAUACAGUGGUCCCUCGCAAGACGAAUGCCUCGCAAGACAGAAAACUCACAAAACGAAAGGGUUUUUCGUUUUUUGAGUUGCUUCACAAGACGAUUUUCCCUAUGGGCUUGCUUCGCAAGACGGAAACGUCUUGCAAGUUUGUUUCCUGUUGCUUAAAUCCGUUAAUACAGUUGCGACUUGACUUCGAGGAGCAACUCAUAGCACGCGGUGUGGUAGCCUUUUUUGAGGUUUUUGAAGACUUUGGUGAUUUUUGAAGCUUUUCCAAAACUUUUCCAACACCGUGCUUCGCAAGAUGAAAAAAACCGCAAGACGAAAAAACUGGCGGAACGAAUUAAUUUCGUCUUGCGAGGCACCACUGUACGAACUAGUGUAGAAAUGAAGUACAAAAGUAAGUAAGAAUAAACUUGUCCCUGCUACAUGUGCAUGCCCUGGAAGCUGUUUGGGUAUUCUGGGCACUGAUAAAGUCGUUGACUGGGUGCCUAAGGAAUAUCAAGCCAUGGGGUUAUCAGUACAGGAAGUGCUGUCAUGAGUUCCUCUAAGCAAUAAAGCUGUGCAGACAAAACUUGCUAGGUUAGAACUGGCAGCUUUAUGGGAUCAGUCAAAACACUAUCAGUUCCUUAUAUCAUCUAACCACUAUUGAGCUGUUAGCUGCAAUACCACCUGCUGGUGAUCUGCAGAAAAGGGCAAUCAAAACCAAGAGGUUUGGAAUGCUUUUCCUGAAAGGAAAGGCUAAAGCAUUUGGAGUUUUUCUUUUUUUCAUUUAGAAAAUGCAGGGAGGAAUUUACUGUGGGGAUGGGCAUGAUAAAGCUUUAUAAAAGUUAUUUAUUUCAUAAGAUAUAUAUGCCGCUUGAUUGUAAUUGAACCUCAAAGCUAUUUAUGAAAAGAAUGUAUCGGGUGUUGUUGUUUUUUUAAAAAAACCCUAUUUAAAAUAGUCCAAAAUUAUUAAAAUCAGCGGUAAGCUAAAAACUAGCUUAAAAAAACGCAUCAACCUUCUUCAUGUCUGGACAGGCUUGCCUGAACAGAAACAUUUUUAUGACACACUGAAAAGAGUAUAUGGAAUACUCCUGCCUGAUGCCAAGGGCAGAGAGUUCCGAAGGGUGGGGGCUGAUACACUAAAAGAUCAAUUUCUUUCAGGUGAGAAACUGGUAUUGCGUGGCACCUGUAGGAGUGCCCGUUCCACAGAUUGAAGUGGUCAAGGGGGCACAUAAAGUGUAAUGCAAUCUGGCAAGUAGAAUGGUCCCAAGCUGCCAAGGGUUUUAUAUACCUUGAACUUGGCCCCGUAGCAAAUCAGUAACCAGUGUAGGUCUCUGAGCAGAAGUGUUAUCUGCUGAUAGGGUCUCACUCCCGUCAGUGAUGGUGCCACAGCAUUCUGCACUAACUGCAGCUUCUGGAUCAGGCACAAAGGAAGCCCCACAUGGAGCACAUUCCAAUAAUCCAGUCCUGAAAUAACUCAAUGCAUGAACUACUGUGGCCAAGCUUUCCUGGUCCAGGAAUGGUCGUAGCUAUCAAAGUUGCAACUGGUAAACGUCUCUUCUAGCCACUGAAGCUACCUGGAUAUAAUGAUCUCAGACAGGCAAGCAAACCUCGAUACGAAUCAAUGACUCUCUGGCAGUUUGAUGGUACGUUUAUUUAUAAAUUACAUCCAGGGCUCCCAGCCUGCCACUCUUUGAAAUGAGGUCACUCUUGAGUCUUUGCCCCUCUCGCAGCAUGAAGGGCGCCAAAUUCCAGUCCUUCCUCUCUUGUACUUGUUGCAUUUUAACCCUUUCAACUCUGGGUUCAGGAAGAAGGAGGGUGGAAUUCCCCCCCCCCGCAAAGAAGAACUCUCAGCACGCUGUUUCUCUGCUGGUUACCGUAUUUUUUGCACCAUAGCACUCACUUUUUUCCUCCUAAAAAGUAAGGGGAAAUGUCUGUGUGUGUUAUGGAGCGAAUGCCUACGGAUGGCGGGGGGAUCUGCUGCAGUCGUGAGCAGAGGAUCCAUGGUUCCCCUUCCUUCCCUCCUCUGUGGCUCGCUUUGAAACAGCAAAGCGGGAGAAGAGCCGCUGAGUGGGGAGGAUAGAGGGACAUAGAGCCUGCUUGCUCUCAUUGCCGCUAUCUCUCCCCCUCCCCCUUUUGUGAGCUCUAGCUGAUUCAGGGAACUCUUGGUGAAGCGGGGCUGAGCCCCCCGCCUCCUGCUCUUUCUGCGAUCUUUCGUCUCUAGAAUCGGACUCUGUCUCUCUUUGUACUGGCAAUCCCUCUUCUCCUGAAUCUGACUCUUGCCAGGCGUUCGAUUCAGCCACGUCCCUUAUACCGGCCUUCAAAGGACAAAGCUGAAUCCAAAAGCAGCCCCAGACUAUGAACCAGCUCAGAAGGAAUGGAACUCUGUCUUAGGCAGACCAUUGACCAAUGCAGGAGUCAAGCUUAGUUUGAAUUGUCCUUGGAGUAGGAAAAAAAUGGACAGGGAGACACCCUUUUCUCCCCUCCUCAGUAAAAUCAAUUGACAAGAGAUUCCACAAGAUAUGCUAAUAGCCACAGAUUUUGACAUACCCAAACUCACCAUGAUUAGUCACGAGAGCUAUAUGAAAUCUCCAGAUCCAGAGACAGUCCGCCUCUGAAUACUAGCUGUUGGGAAGCAACAAUGGGAGAGGACUGUGAACUUAAUACAUGUCUUGCUUGUGGAGCUCCUGAAAGCAUCUGAUUGGCCACUGUGGAAACAAGGAUGCUCAACUAAAUAGACAUUUGGUCUGCUCCGGCUGGGCUCUGUUUUUAUUUCUAUGCAGCAGAGGGCUUGAGCACAGCAGAGAAGAGGUCAGUUCUUGGAAUCAAAUACAGGGGCUCAGAUUGUAAAGCAUAUGAGUCAUCUUCCAAGCUGGGACUGCUUGAACAAUUCUAUGACAUUUCAUUGGCAGCAGUGUAACAAUAAAGUCACACCAAUUAUACUGACAAGAUGGGACACUGUCGCAGAUUCUGCCCUUGCAAAUUUUCUGUGUUUUGGGGAAAGAGCAGAGUAAAUGAAGCAAGAAGAAAACUCACAUAACAAACACAACGCCUUUAUGAACCCAAAGAUGCCAGGUAUGGCAGAAGCUCUUUGAAGGCAGCAAUCAGCGAGUUGGGAACAAUAUUGUUGUGGGGUUUUUUGUCUGCCAGCCGACUGAAUAGGUCUAGCUUGAUCAGAGUCUAGGAUUUAACAAAAGAAUGUUCAAUGUUUCUUAAUGACACAUAAUGGGCAGUUGAUGUCUCUUGGUAGUGGGCAAGCUCACUGAGUGUUUUGAAUGGGAAAGCUAUCACAGCAUGGAACUGUAAGACAGACCCAGCAAAGGGGAGAGGAGCUGUUAUGUGUGGGCAGCCUACCUGGAACAAAAGGAGCAGUUUUAGAACAAAGACAGGAAGAGUCAGAAGCACAAAGAAAGCUGAGAGUUAGAAGCAUUUUGGACUGCCCAUCUCAGGAUAUCUGAUAUGACACAGCACAUUAGAAGCUUGGCAGGAGUGCACACAGUAAGCCCACAACUUACAUACAUUUAAGGUGUGUGCAUUUAGCUUUAGGUGCUUGGCAAAGCAAUAUUUUUUUUAAUUGUGUGUGGAAAAUGUGGACAACUGGGGGGGGAAACUUUGGCAAUCCCACCUGCCAUUGCACCCAGUGUGUUUUGACUAUAUGCAAUUUUGGCUUUAGGCACGAUCUCCAUAACGUUGUGGGCUGAGUGUAUACAUUUGCCUCCUCUUAGUGUCUAUACAUAUAUUUGUGAAUAAAAUAAAUAUUAAAAUGUCAUAGGAGUCCAAUGCUCUCUCCUCCAAAGGAGACCAAACCUUUGGCAGUGCUACCCCAGGAAUGACCAAUGGUUGUCUUUCCCAAACUGGGUUGUUGACUCUCAUUUAAUACAUUCAGGUGAUGGAAACGGAUAACCCAUGGGUAGGCAAACUAAGGCUGGGGGCCGGAUCCGGCCCAAUCGCCUUCUAAAUCCAGGAAUCAGCGUGUUUUUACAAUAGUAGAAUGUGUGCUUUUAUUUAAAAUGCAUCUCUGGGUUAUUUGUGGGCCAUAGGAAAUUGUUCUCGCCCCCUCAAUAUUGUCCAGCCCCCCACAAGGUCUGAGGGACAGUGGACCGGCCUCCUGCUGAAAAAGUUUGCUGAUCCCUGAUACCCAAGAAACUCAUCUGAAGGAGGCAGUGACAAGGAUGUUGGGCAUCGGAAAUUUGUUUUGGGUAAUCAUUUGUGGAUUAGAGUUCAGAAACCACUACUUCAGAUGCAAAGUAGAGUAAUACACCUGGAUCUUGUGAAUAUGUAGAUUGACAAAAGGACACUCAUAUACAAGGGGUUGCUGGAGAGGGCAGUGGGGUCGGACAUGAAUGAAGCAGGGCAGGACCAAUUUGGGGAGGGGAGUCCUCAAAGUAUUAUCAUGUGUGUAUGUUUGUAAAAUCUGAGUUUUUACACAGCAAUGUCUGUGUUGACUAUGUGUGGCUCUUGAGAGAGGCAAGUUAAAUUGGUUAAUAGUGAGUGUGGGCAUGGGUAAAUAACUACUGACAAAGUACACUUCUCAAGAUGAUUUCAAAUUUUCUGUUUGUUACCAAUUUCCUGGGCAACAACACGAGAAUUGACCUUUAGCUGUCCCACAGGAGUUCACCCAUUAUGCAAAUACAUCAAAAUACUUCCAGUUUUCUGAGAUUCUUCCUCCCCCCCCCAAAAAAAAAUCCAAUUAGGUUUCUCGUUUACAGUUAUUAAACUACUAUCCUUGGUAAGCCACCAAGGAGCUUGUAGUCAGUAAAUUAAGUAGAUUUAGAUGGUGCGUAUCGAAAUGUAACACUUUCCUUAAAUUUGCACAAUUAAGCACAAUCCAACGAAGCAGAGUUUUAUUGGCGAUUCAGUUUAAUUCAAAGGGGAAGAUGUAGCCUGAAUCCAAACUGAACUUAGGAUAGCUCUGGAUGCUGCCUUGCAAUAAAUAGCAGGGUUGCAGCACCAGCUUUUGUGAGAAUUCUCUCUGCUCUGCUCCCCUCCCCUUCUUCCUGCUCUCCUGCCAUAAUUGUGCAAAAUUCCUCCUUGCUGUGAGGUCUCUAACAUCAUCUCUCUGUGUGAUGAGUUCAGUGGACAAAUUUGUAUUUUGCAAGACACCUGAACAACUGCAAACUUUAGAAUACCAGCUAUUAUCAUACCUUCUUUAAAAUAAAAUAAACCCCAAAGGCCAAGUAUUUGGAUAAAACCUGGAAAAUUAAAUAGGGGUGGAUGGAUUUGACUCUUUCAAGUCAUUUGGGAAAGAUUAGUACAUGUAAUAAUUUGUACAUGUAAUCCCAUCCCGUUUUCUCAUUCCCCUAUGAAUUUAAAAUAUAUAUUUCAUAAAACCAAAAUGUAUUGAAACAUAUAUUAUUUCUUAGAAUAUGCAUUGACGGCGUGAGCUCCCAUUGCUUAGCCCCUACUCCUGCCAACCUAGCAGUUCAAAAGCACAUCAAAGUGCAAGUAGAUAAAUAGGUACCGCUCUGGCGGGAAGGUAAACGACGUUUCUGUGCACUGCUGUGGUUCGCCAGAAGCGGCUUAGUCAUGCUGGCCACAUGACCCGGAAAAACUGUCUAUGGACAAAUGCCAGCUCCCUCAGCCAGUAAAGCAAGAUGAACACCGCAGCCCCAGAGUCGUUCAUGAUUGGACUUAACAGUCAGGGGUCCCUUUACCUAUAUCUAUAUAUCUGUGUGUGUGUGUGUGUGUGUGUGUGUGUGUGUGUAAUCUUAAAUGUGUAUUUUGACAUAUGUGAAAUUCAGUCCUGUACAUAGCUACUCAGAAGCAAGCCUCACUGAGUUCAGUGAGUAUAGGAUUGCAGCAGGGAUGCCAUCUGCCUCCAAUUUUCAAGAAAGGGGCCAGGCACCCUCAAUAUGCCGCAAUGCGCCUUGGUGAGCAUUCCUGCCACCCCAGAGGACCUUGUGGGGACUACCCGUAACUGCAGCAGGCUCUGUCAGACCUUCCUGUGGCAACAGGAGGCCCCGCCAGGCCUCCUCCUACCGCAUUAUGUCACACAAAAAAAGGUUGGGCAGAGCCCGUUGUGUGUGGAUUGUAGCCUUUAACUGCCACAAACUGCUUUGCAACACUUGGCAUAGGGCAAAAUCCAGUGGCAAGCUGAGUUCCAUGCGUUAGUUCAAAAGGUGUGGAUGAGGUAAUUUCAUAGAAGAAUUUACAAAAACUGAAUCAGGAAUCAGUAGAAAACUUGCAUGCUCAGGAAGGGAUUAUUUCAUUCCCAGCCAUUAUGCAUUAGAGAAGUAAAAUCCCACAAUGUAUUUUAUGCAGUUAAACCAAAGCCAAAUUUUAUUCCAUGUCAUCAUGAAACCCAGUUGCUCGUGUUGAUCUAAUAUUCAUGUUAGAAUUUCAUUCUUCUUGGUCAAAGGAACAGAAUUAUUAAUUUAAAGAAAAGUGGCCCCGCUAUAUGCCCAGUGAUAGAAUAAAUGAAACCAAUGGGAGCAAAUGCUUCAGCUAUGGCUAGAAUUUCCAGCUCUGUUGUUGCUGUUAUUAUGAUGUCAUCACAAACCUUUGAUGUAUGUGUCUGGCUGUGCAGACUACUAUCUCUGAUGACUACAUUGCCUGAGAGCUUUCAGCCCCUUGAUGUACUUGUCUAGCCUUAGAGCCUAGCUCAAAGUGUGCAUGAUGGAUGAGAUUUUCAGCCAAAGCUUUUGAACAGGCAAAGUUCCUUGCUGGGCUCUCAACACAGCUUGAAGGUCUGUAUAGACAAACACAUAAACCCACACAUGUUUGAGUACUAGGGCUACAACAGCUCAGGAAUCAGCUGUUGUGCGGCCAGCUUCUGCUAGUGCAACUGUUGUGUUUGAUGCUUUUGUCACACAGACUUUAAACUCUGCUGUCUGCUGGUGCAAAGGCUCUUGUGCUAGGAGACAGAGCAUUGGGCGUGGCCAUUUGCAUUUAGACUUGGAGCAUCAACACAAUGGCUGACCUCUCUUGCUUAUUUGGUGCGUUUCCAGCUCACCGUUCUUCCAUCAUACAACUCAAGCCAGCAUACAUGAGAUUUCUAGGAACUCUCCACAAUGAGGCAUUUGGACUGUGCUCCCUGCCACAUUCUCAUCGCCCUUUAAAAGAAAAAUCUCCCACUGUUUUCUUCCUUAAAAAGAUAUAGGGGGACUGCAGUGGUAAUGUUUAUACGUGUGCCUACAUUCUUUCACUAUUUGUGAAAGAAAAUAGUGGUGACCCAUUUCCUGCAGUCGACUAUCUGUAGUUUAUAAGGUCAAAGUCUUGUUUGUUAUAAUUUUCAGUCUAAGAUUAUAUUAUGAAUAUGUCAGUACUGUAUAUUAUAAAUGUAUUAAGAGCCCACUUGAGUCAUGAAGCCACGAGAAGCCUACAGAUUUAUGGUUUUAUAAUAUUUGUAUGUAGAGCCUUAUGCAUUGUUUGGUCAGCUACAGCGCAGCUGGAAAGGAGAUCUUUAAUAGCAGUUAGUAAUAUAUCUUUGGAAGGAAAUAGUAUUUGAUUCAGCCUUAGUAACAAAAGAUUCCUUCGCAUAUAACAAAUCUUAGAACAAAAAAAAGUGAUGAGGUUGUAGGAUCACUAUCUGAAGGGGGUGGGAAAAGAAUAGCUAAAAUAAUUAUGUACUAAUUAGAAGCAAUUCAGUCUUGAAGUUUUCAACACUGCUUGUUUUUUGGAGGUGAUUUCUAUCCUAAAGACUAAACGUAUUUUCAAUAAAUGGUUUGAAUCAAUCCAAGCUCUUUCAAUCCCCUCAACAGCUCAGGUAAUCGUUAAAGUCGAAAUUCUCAGCCUGUCUCCAUAGGGCUCUGGUUUCCAGAGGCUUCCCCACUCCAAGUACAUUACACGUGAUGGUUUCAAGCAUCAAUGACCCCAAAUUUAGUUGUUGGGGUCCAUAGGAGCCAACUUUCUUAGCCCCCCCCAAAAUUGAGCGGCCCCCCAGUUAAUGGCCAUUGACAUUCAAAUGGUGUGUGUGUGUGUGUGUGCUGUGUCAUGUAAUUGGUUAUGUGCAGCAGGGCUUACAUGCCCCCCCCAAUAUUUCAUUCAAGUUGGCACCCCUGCCGGGGUCUUCCACCAAAAAGACCAGAUCAAAUCAGGUGAUCUCAUUUCCUUGGCUCCUUAGAAAGCUUUCUGGAUCAAACUUCAUCUCUGUUCUGAGCAAUCGGGCGACCUGUUUUUUGCCCUGUCUCAACCAUGUGUAUGGUGGCAUCUGCAGUAUAUAAAAAAAUACAAGACUAUUCAUAGCAUUUGCCCAGAAUGAACAUGCAGAAAUCUCCAGCCUAUAUUGCAGAUAUAGUUGUCUAUGUUAUCUUUUAUUGGGAUAACAGCUCAGAGCUAUUCCAAAGUCAUUAUUCUGGAUAUCAUUUGCCACCUCAUUUACUACAGAAAGAUCUCUCAUACAGAACUCCUACACGGAAGCAAAUAACACCGUCUACCCUCUCACCACUUUUACCUACAUGCUUGUCUGUGUCUCUGAGACUUAUUACUGCGUGACAUCACUUUAAGGAACCUUAAUCAACUUCCUUUUGUUAACAGAGCUUUCCCCUAAAAUUUCAAAUUGCUGCAUUCAUACUCUUGGUGGAGCUUUUGUUUUAUUUAUUGGACUUCUGCUUUACAUUAUGCAUAGGGUUUCUUUAUCUGCAUUUUAACCACAUAUAAGGCAUUGUCAGUGGAGUGAAAAUGAUCUAAUAAAUCUUAUCGCUACCACUCUCUUCUUCAUCGUUCUUAAAAAAAAGAAAAAGAAAAAAAGUGUCUCAGAAGGUGUCAGAAAUAUAAAACCAUUUGUUUCUGCAACCUCCCCAAACAUUUUUACAGCAAUGUCAAUGUUGGUUCAUGGCUCCCGCUUCCCUGUUUAAUAACGGAGAAGCAAAAGUUGAAAGUAGUGGAAAUCAGGCUAGCCAAAAGUAAAUCUGUGAUUGUAGAAAUGACUUGUCUACAUUUUAUCCAGUUAGCAAGUCAGGAGUAAAUAAUCUAAUCAAAAUUUGGUCAUCCUGAAAGUAACAUUACAGAAUCCUGUUUACAUUAAGCCAACAUUUCAGAAGCUUGCAGUGACAAAACUCUUGGUAUUUCUGUGCAUCAGAUGAUAAUGAGACAAAGGAAGACAGAAGAGCAAAUAUCUAUUUAUUAAUGUUUUUCAGGAAUCCAUGGAAAUUGUUUCUGUCCCUUAAAUCACUGGUUCUAAACAAGAAAAAGAAAUGUAUAGGUUUGUUCUGUGCAAGCAACUGUACAGUUUGGUCCAUUCCUCAUACGUGGUACCCUGUGGGCAGCACCCAAAAGUCAGCCUAGGUGCACCCAAUUGAAUAUAUAUUUAUUUAUUCAUUAUCGUAUUCAUUAGCAACCCACCCCUGUCUCAAAAUAGACUGGUGUACGAUAUUAACAUGCACAUCCUCCUACCAAAGUGGCUUGCUGAGUGGGGUGGAGCCACUUAUGGUACCUCUGUGGCAGGAGGGCCGCUGUAGCUUAACAGCAGGGCGAGAAGUGAGGUGGCAAGGAAGUUGGUGGAGGGCAAACACACCAGCGGAGCCAGUUAGGGGGUCCUGACAGUGUGUUUGCACCAUGCCAACUUCCCAGUUGCCUUGCCUCUUGCCACCAUGCCUGUCAGCAACAGCGACCCACCUGCCAGAAAGCUUCUGAGCUGCCUCUGUCAUGCUCUGACAGGCCUGCUCAUCAAACGGUCCAUGCACUGAGUACAUCAUUACAACAGGGUGGUAAGGAUGUAAUAUAUUUUGACACAACCUGACAGUAUCUCAUUUUGUAAGCUUUCAGAAUGGAGAGGAGUGCUUACCUGGUGAGAAAAGAAAAGUAGUCCAGCUGGCAGAGGGGAAAAUCUAAUUUUCCAAUGACUCUGAUGGAUAUUUGUCAUCAGUUAAAGGAAUUAUUCACUGCUGUGACCCUCCUUAACUUAAGCUUGACCCAAAGAAGAUCAAAGAUUCCCUAGCAAGAGAUAAUUAGUAAAGAUAUUAAUUUAACAGUCAGAGGCUAAAAGAGAUUGAUUUAUUAAUUUCUCUAAAGGGUUAGAGCUCUGUAUGUUCUUUUAAAACAUUUUUUCUCGCUUAAAGGAGAUAUGUUUAUGUCUAAAACAUUUUCCAGUAAUUUAUAUUGUAUGUGAAGCUUUCUCUAUUGAUUAGGGGGCUCUAAGGUUUUUUCAGUAGUGAGACUUUCAAGCUGUUGAUUCCUGCAUGGUUCAGGAUAACUCAAAUCUUUGUCAUUUGGUGUGUGUGUGUGUGUGUGUGUGUGUGUGUAAGUGAUACCCUGUUUUAUUUUUUGAGAUUGACACCUGUUGAAGAAAUGCUGCCAGAAUAUGAAGGGACAGCAAGCUCCUUUCCUUCCACAUCUCCAUAGAACAGCUUAUAAGGCAGGAAUGGGGGAAAUGCAGAUGUUGCUGGACUUUUACAGAUCCAUUAUCUUUGACCAUGCUGAUGGGGGUUAGAGUCCACCAACAUCUGGAGGGCCACAAGCUCCCCAUCCCUGAUACAAAGGAUUCUGUUCCUCAUUCUUCUUUAUCCCCCACAGCUCCGUUCCUUGUGAUGGCUCUACAAACAUUUUGAAGAACAUUAUGAGGGAAGUGAGGAUCUGACAGUAAGAGCUGUUCGACAGUGGAAUUUGCUGCCAAGGAGUGUGGUGGAGUCUCCUUCUUUGGAGGUCUUUAAGCAGAGGCGUGACAACCAUAUGUCAGGAGUGCUCUGAUGGUGUUUCCUGCUUGGCAGGGGGUUGGACUCGAUGGCCCUUGUGGUCUCUUCCAACUCUAUGAUUCUAUGAUUCUUUAAUGACAUGGUCACUUCCCAGCAACAAAACCCGGAAGCAGAACUCUGAAAAGUGACUCCACAAGAGAUACAGAUGGCAGAGCCAGCUCCUGAGACCAAGGGGAUAGGUAGCACAGACACACCCUUGGGCAAAUCACUUGAGAGGUGAGUACUGAUAGCCUGUGAAGAUAUGCUUUGCCAAGUACAGUUGUGCCUUAGAUCCCAAAUGCCUCGGUACUUGGACGUUUUGGCUCACAAACGCCACAAACCUGGAAGUGAGUGUUCUUGUUUGUGAACAUUCUUUGGAAGGCGAAUGUCUGAUGGGGCUUCUGCAGCCAAUCAGAGGCUGUGCUUUGGUUUCCAAAUGUUUUGGAAGUCAAACGGACUUCUGGAACGGAUUCCGUUCGACUUUCAAGGUACGACUGUAUACCUAAAGCUUGGGAUAUUUAUGAUAGCCAUUGGGCUGGGGUAGUGUAGUGGACUAGUGAAGGGGAGACCUGGUUCUAAUCCCUGAUCCGCCAUGAAGCUCAUCGGGUGAUUGUGAACAAACGUCAGGGCUGGAAUCAGAUGCAGGUCAGCACGAAGAGUCAGAGUCAGUUGUCAAUGAAGUCAACUCUUUAUUCAAGGUAAUGGCAUGCAACUCAGCAACACUUCUCAGUAGGUUUUGCCCCCAUAGAUCAGUUGCCAGGACAGAAGCUCCCUGCCUUCUCCUCUUUCUAAGACUCAUUCUCUCCCAGAUGUUUCCCAAGCAGCCUCAAACUGCUCUGGUCUGUUUUGCUCUACAUAGUCUUGGAGACCAGGUGGGUAGGAGAGCUUGUUGCAGCUGGAGAAGAAGACUCCCAGGAUGCUUCAGCAGUCUCUUGACCACCACCCCUCCUCUGCUUCAGCCACAGAGUCUGAACUGUUCCCUGUCACAGCUUCGCCCUGCUCACGAAACCUUGUUGGCCCUUCAGCAUCCAGCCCCUCCUCCUAAUCUUCCUCUGACCUCUCCUUGGUGUUCCACCACAAACGCUCUGGCUCUGAGCCUUCCUCCUCUGGGGUUUUCCCUGGGAGUUCCUCAGCUGGUGCCUCCCACCACUCCUGUUCAGCCAGUCCCUGACAAGAAGUCACUCAUACUUAGCAUGUUUCUUCACAGAGGUGUCAUGAGGAUAAAAUGGAGGGUGUGGCAGGACAGUGGGUGGGGAGCAUGAGCACUGCCUUGAGCUCCUUGGAGGAACAAUGGGAUAUAUAUGAGGGAGGUGUUUUAAGGAGUAAAAGAACCAACUUGAAAUAUGAGUCUCUAUUUCAGUAUAGAAUGCUGCCAGCUGCCCACUGUCUUGACUGUAUUAAAUUUCACAAAACUGGCUUUGGGACACUCUAUAACAGGCUGACAUGGGGUGGAUUUUUUGAUACAUGUUUGUGCAUUUAGCAGAUAUAAAAUGGAGUUGCAGUUCACAAUGGAAAAAGUUAUUUUUAAUUAUGCAUGAGCAUGAAUAUGUAUUUAGUGAAACAGACCCUAAGGGUUUUUCGUUGGGCUUUUUUUUUUUAACUCUAGUCACUCUUGCAAAAUUAUUCUCAUUUAGGGUACAAGUUACAUUAUAGCAGAAAUCAUGAUUGAAAUUCAAAUCCUAAUACUGUUAAAACACAAUGUUAACAACGAAAAUGCUUAGAGUGGCAUUAAAAGCAUCUAAGAUAAUGAGAAUAAAUGAUGUGAAUUAGAGUUAAAUUAACAACAGAUAAUACAAUUGCAGAUCAAAAGCCAGAUUGCUGUGUUAUUAAUCUUACAGUAGAAAAGCUAGAAUGAGGGGCUUUUCUCCUCUUUAAGUUCUCUUUUGAGAAGCAUAGCUUUAUAGAAGUUCUCACUUUGGGAACAUUAGCAUACUCAUAACAGGAACAUUCUAAAUAUUCAUUCGGUGUGUUCAUUUCUAAUAAAUCUAACUGAUAACCAGGGGAAAAAAUGUAUAACAUGUUAUGUUUAUUCCAGAAGUCCCUGUAAUACAGCAAAGUACAAUCAGGAGGAGAAAUUAUUGGGUCUCAUAGUUAGUAAAACAUGGCAUUUUAUGGUUCAUUCUAGAAAGAUACAAAUUAUGAGUCCUAUUACAUUGUGGUUCAUACAGUAUAAUUUCGCAAAUAUAUAUCGAGCUGUUUAUUUGAAAGAAGUGGCGUUGCCUUUUCAGCAAAAGUAGCAGGUGUUUCAGUAAUGAUGUAUUUUGGAUGUUAUUGGUUCUUCCUUCAGAGCCCUCUUAUCAUGCAGAGUAAUUUGGCAAGGAUGUUCAGUCAGGUUUCAUUUCAAGAAAAGCUUUAAGCAUGGGUUUAGUUUGCAACCAGUUCAAGACAGUGCUUAAGCACACUUUGGAUUUCAUAUCUUCCAACAAUUCCCAAAUGGAAAAGCAGGGGGCACUCUCCUUGCAUACAGUGCUGGAUUUAGGUUCAGGUGGUUCCCCAGCAUAGGGGGCCAAGUUGAGGGGGGCAAAAUUGAAAAGAGCCGUCACUGAGAAGAUUCAUUUGGGGACACCAAACUUUGGCCGUGCUCAAGGUGCAAUACUACAAAAGAUUAUCAAAGUCCGGUGGCACAUUGGGACUUGCAGGAAGAGGAGGGCAAGGGGCAUCAGCUGCUGCUGCUGAGCUCAUCGGCUCUGUUGCUGGCAUGGAAGUGCCGCCUUGUAAACACCCGGAGCGGGUGCUUUCUCUGAGACCCAAGGCAGGCUGAUGGAAGCCUCAUGGUUAGGGUAGCUCAGCCAGCCCCGUCUUUUUUCCAUAUUCCAUCGACAGUGCAUGUAUAUGGGGCGCAGGGGUGUGUGUAUAAACUGAUGUAGAAUAGAAGGUCCCUAUUUUCAUCUGAGGAAUAUUGGAGGAAUAUGCCAUAGCUGGAACAGAAAGCAGGUGCUACAUGUAGAAUUCUCCAUCUCUAAUCCAACCUAAGCAUGUCCAGCUUUUGUUAAAAUGCUAAAACCUGAAUAACAGCGAUUGGUGUCUAAGCAGGGUGGGAGGCUAACAAGGAAGGUUCCUCUUUACCUGCUGAUAGAUGCUGAUAGGCAUCUAGCUUUUCCAAAGGGGCCUGCACUCAUAUGAACCUUCCUGGGACUGAGGAUUCUGCUUGCCGGCCCACUGUCAAGGUCCAUGAGAUUGGUGGGCACUAGAGACAGGUGCUUUUCCUUUAUCUCUGGGAUUCUCUCUCAAAGGAAGUACAUACGCCCCCAGUUUUGUUAACUUUAAUUGGACCUUGGAAACUUGUUUCAAUCUGUAUUUUACGAGGAGUGCUGUGCUAAGCUCUUAAACUGCAGCCAUUUUUAGUUUUGUGAUUGGAUUGCUUUGUGUGUAUUGUAAAAAAAUGUGUCCGGAGGAGGGCAAUCAGGUUCGGAAGCAACAUCCUAUGGGAAAUGCUUGAAAGAGUCAGGUACGCUUAGCUUGGGGAAUAGAAGAUUAAGGGGAGGCAUGAUUGCCGUCUUCAAAUAUGAUGGCCUUUCGCAUAGAAGAUAAAAUAUGUUUCUGAAUGCCAGUUGCUGGAAACAGGCCAUUGGCUUGACCCAGGAGACUCUUCUGAGUAGACAUCUCUGUUGCUCCAGCAAGCAGGACUAGAACUAGGUGCACAGGAAGAAGCUGCCUUAUACUGAAUCAGACCCAGUGGUCGCUCUAGCUCAGUAUUGUCUACAUUGAUGGGCAGUGGCUAUCCAGCAUUUCUGGCAGGACAUCUCUCCCAGCCCUACCUGGAGAUGCCGUGGGUUGAACCUGGGACCUUCUACAUUCAAGACAGAUGCUCUACCACUAAGCUGUGGUCCUUCCCCUCUGUAACUAAUGAAUGGAAGUUGCAGGAAGCAGAUUUCAUGUAACGUUCAUAGAAACUUCAUAACAGUAAGAACUAGCUGACAUUGGAACAGAUUGUCUUGGAAGGUGAUAAGAUCUCUCUCACUAGAGGUCUUCAAGCAGAGGCGGGACUGCCAUUUGUCAGGUCUUCUCUAGCUGCACCCCACAUUACAGAUCCUGCAAUUAGCGCACUGUGUUGGACUAGAAGACCACUAGAUGACUUUCCAGUUCUCAGAGUCUACAUUUGUAAGCCUCCUUGGGAGACCUUUGCCUUGAAUGGCAGCAUAGAAAUUCCUUAAAUAAAUACAUUUUUGUGCAAUGCAGUAAUCAGUCUACAGGGUAGACAUGACCAUAGACAGCAAGGUCUGUGUUGGGGAGAUAUAGUUUUCUACUUGAACAUGCAUCCAAUACAGCUCUCACUCACUCACUCCAAGUGAGUAACAAAUUAUAAUAAUUUUUAAAAGGCAAAUACGGCCUCUUAAGUUCCCUCCAUCUUCUCCUUUUAACUUACUAGCAUCUGUCGUUCUUGUUAUUAUUUUUACUAUGGGGUAGGUCUUCAUGUUUUACCAAGACUAAAUAAAAAUGAAGUACAGUAUCUUAACGUAUUGUGCAUGUCUUAAUACUGCAGUAUCUCCAACAUGCCUCCAUCAAAAUUGCAUGGUUGAAUAAUGCCUUUUAAUGGUUUAGUACAAGCGAAGUUUAUAAAUAUUCAUGUGUAAGCACCCUUAUUAGUAUGUGUUAGAUAAUGAAUAUUAAUGACUACCUUACUCAUGCAAAAGCAAGUGAACACUGUAUGAGAUGAGCAUGGAUAUUUUCAUUAGGACAAAGCAAGGAAGAGCAUAUCAGCCCAGCCUCUUGCAGGUGAUACUACUAUUGACAUUCUUCAUGCUGUAAUAUGUCAUGCUGUAAAUAAUAUUUAAUUGUUUUACUGCCAAUUAUCUCCCCCUGCCCAAAGAAAAAAUGUGAUCUGUUCAAGAUAUGAAUAUCUUUUUGUUUUAAGACUCCCAAUAGGCAGGAGUAUGAUUAAGCCAAAUAUUUGACAACAAUUAAACUAAACCAACGAACAUUUGCAUUAAUUUUAUGAACACAGUUUCAGUAUCACUAUAAUUUCAUAAUUUUAUUAGCAUGCAAUGCAUACCUAACUCGCAGGCUUAGUAUAUAAGAGGAACAAACUGAUACUAACCAUGUGUACUUAGAAGUAAACCCCACUAAUUUAGUGAGAUAUGCUUCCAAGUUAGUUUACUUAGGACUGUAGCCAGAAUUCCUAAAGGGACUCGAAAGUAUACAUCAAAAUAGAGCAUUAAAUAAGCAGUUAAUAAAUACAUUUUAAUAAUAAUAAUAAUUUGUACACUUAGCUGUACGGCUAGUUCACACAUGCUGGUUCACUUGAACAGCAGCAGUGGUAUGAUAGAAUCAUACAGAAUUGUAGACCUCAAAGGGCAUGUAGUCCAAUCUCCUGCAAUGCAGGAAUCACAACUAAAGCAUCCAUGACAGAUGGCCAUUGGGAUUUGAAUAUAUAUUGCAGAUAGGGCCUAAUUUACAUUCCCCAAACCAAUACACAAAUCAAAACAUAGAUAGCCUUUGAAAUUCACACUUCUCUGUCCAUUCCCCCGCUUUAAAAUGUAUAAAAAUAACACAAAAAUGCUUAGAAUUUCCAUGCAGAUCUGUGUCUAUAUCUAUACAUAGAGCAAACUGUUGAGGAAGAGGAGAAGCAAUAAUAAUAAUAAUAAUAAUAAUAAUAAUAAUAAUAAUAAUAAUUUAUUUAUACCCCGCCACUCUGGGCGGCUCCCAAUAGAAUGUUAAAAACAUGAUAAAACAUGAUAAAACAUCAAAAACUUCUCAAAAUCUUCAGAUGUUUUCUAAAAGUCAGGUACAGUGGUACCUUGGCUUAAGAACUUAAUUCCUUCUGGAGGUCCGUUCUAAAUCUGAAACUGUUCUUAACCUGAGGUACCACUUUAGCUAAUGGGGCUUCCCGCUGCCACCGCCGCAUGAUUUCUGUUCUCAUCCUGAAGUUCUUAACCUGAGGUACUACUUCCGGGUUAGCGGAGUCUGAAACCUGAAGCAUCUGUAACCUGAAGUGUCUGUAACCCGAGGUACCACUGUAGUUGUUUAUUUCCUUGACAUCUGAUGGGAGGGCAUUCCAUAGGGCAGGUGCCACUACCGAGAAGGCCCUCUGCCUGGUUCCCUGAUUCAUCCAUCAUCACCCUGAAUCUAUAGUUCAUUCAUUUGUAUCCUUUGUCCUCCUCUGAACCUCUAUGAAGACACACUGAAUCAUUCCAGGUCUCCUUCCUCUUUCCCUGCCUGUGUUUCCUGGGGCACCCACCCACCUUCCUUGGCUUUCCCUUCUGCCCCAAACAAUGCACCCAGCCCUCGUUGCAUUCCCUUUUUUCAUGGAAGGUGAUCAACGGGUUGUGAGGGAAACUUAGGCCACACUGUGGCAAGAAUGUGAGCAUUGAGCUGGAAGAAACUGGAGUUUAAGUUGCUGUUCCCUGCCCCUGCCAUUUUGAGUUUCCUACUCACAUAAGAGUCAAGUUUGCAUAUAAAUACCCUUUUCAGAGAUUGCUCACAUCAGCAGGAUUUUGCAUUUAUUGCAAUGUAUUUGUUGACUUGGUAGUGGUACUUUUCUUUUUUAAAACAUGACCUUCAGUCGAUCAGCUUUACAUUAUGGUGAAUAAAUAAUAUAGUACUUGUACUGUGAUUUCAAGUGUCCAGAGUGGUUAACAUAUAGUUCUUGUUGUAAUAGCUGCCUUGCGUAUCCUUUGAGAAAGACAUGGCAAGCAGGCCCAGCCCUAUGAUGAGGCAGAGUGAAGCUGCUGCUUCAGGUGGCAGAAGUUGAGGGGUGGGGACAGAGCUGUGAGUGCCCUGUGGCCUGCCCUGUGCCACUUUGCUAGCCUGCUGCCCUCAAGGGCAGUGGAAGAUAUUUUCCCAGUAUGGGCCCUGGAGAAGGGUGCCAUAUUGUCCUUCAUCUUGGGCAACAAAAUGUCUUGAGCCAGCCCUGACUAAUUAUAGCAAUGCUGUGAUGUAAGAGAGUGACAAAUAACCGACCCAGUGCGAUUCAAACUAUUGGCUUUCCCCCAUUCUUAAGUUUUCUUCUCACUUUUAUAGCAAAAAAGAGAACAAUUUUACUCUAAUAGUCAUCCCAUUUAAAAAUGGAGUCAAAUCCUAAGUAACCCCCCUCCCUUUGCGGGAACAAAAAUUGACACCAGGGCACUUAAGAGAGGCUAUGUCCCAAUCAAAAGGCAAUGAAGUGGGCGGAACCUAUAUAGAGCAAAUCUUAACUAGCAUGGCUGAGAACUUUUGCUAAAUGGGGCUCAUUCAUGAAUAAACUUUAUAGAAAGAUCUUGGCAAUGGCUAAGGUCGUGGCUGAGUACUGUCGUUUUAUAUCAAGUGCUUAUAUUAAGAAUUUCGGUGUUAAUUCUUCUUGCAGCAAAUUGCAGGAAAAAAAACAAUACUUCAGCAACACUUAAAGGAGAUCAACUAUAGAAACAAGAAGCUCCCCCACAUCAACAGCUUUUAGAGCUGGCUGUUGUGUCCUUGGGAGUUCACUGUUGGAGUUCAGUAACAACUAAGGAUUUGCAUGGGUAUAUAACUACAAAAGAAUGUUGCACUCUUUCUGUCUUUCCAUCUGUGCCACUGUAGAUAUGUACUCAAAAGAGAUUGAUCCAAACUGAAUUUGUGGUAGGCAAGAUGCUGGCAUACUUAUGUUGAUCUGACUAGAAACUUUCAAGGAAGUUCCCCCCGCUGCUAUCCUUUCCCUUCACUCCUCAUGGUGUAAACAGUACAUAAAGUAGCACUGGGGGGAAAACAAAUAUAUAUUUUGUCCCCUAACCAAAUAUUUGAGUUUGGUAGGGAAUUACAGCAUCACUAUUGAAGUUAGGACUCGGGUGGCACUGUGGGUUAAACCACAGAGCCUAGGGCUUGCCGAUCAGAAGGUCGUGGUUCGAAUCCCCACGACGGGGUGAGCUCCCGUUGCUCGGUCCCAGCUCCUGCCAACCUAGCAGUUUGAAAGCAUGUCAAAGUGCAAGUAAAUAAAUAGGUACUGCCCCAGCGGGAAGGUAAAUGGUGUUUCCGUACGCUGCUCUGGUUUCACAAGUAGCGGCUUAGUCAUGCUGGCCACAUGACCCGGAAGCUGUACGCCGGCUCCCUCGGCCAGUAAAGCAAGAUGAGUGCCACAAUCCCACAGUCGUCCGCGACUGGACCUAAUAGUCAGGGGUCCCAUUACCUUUUAUUGAAGUCGUUCCUUAGUUUAAAGAAGCAUCACCAUGAAAAAUAUGCAAAGUAAGACUGUAGACUUGGGAGUUAUAUUGGGGCCCCAGCUGUAAAGAAUCUAAAACCCUUUCCUGAACUUUUAAUUGUCAUUUAAAAAGGGUUGCCAUAUGUCCGCUUUUUCAUGGGUAGAGUCAUAAUAGCGAUCCAUUGUUAAAAGUAGUAGUCGGCAAAAGUGUCCUCUUUUUUGCUCUUCAAAAUAUUGUUGUUUAUCGUUUAGUCGUGUCUGACUCUUUGUGAACCAAUGGACCAGAGCAUGCCAGGCACUCCUAUCUUCCACUGCCUCCCGCAGUUUGGUCAAACUCACGCUGGUAGCUUCGAAAACACUGUCCAACCAUCUCGUCUUCUGUCGUCCCCUUCUCCUUGUGCCCUCCAUCUUCAAAGUCUUUUCCAGGGAGUCUUCUCUUCUUAUGAGGUAGCCAAAGUAUUGGAGCCUCAGCUUCAGGAUCAGGGCUGUCUUUAGCAGAUGCAGCGCUGGGGUGCAAAUAUCCACUCAGUGCCCCCAAAUUACCAUGGAUGGGGGGGGCAGAAGCUGCACAUUGCCAGCCAUGGUGUGUGUGUGUGCAACUCUCCCCCAUGCCGCUGAGGGAGAGCAAUCCCCGCAGAGGCUUGGGAGGGAAGCUGCGCGCCCACCAGCCCUAUAGUUAGCGGGGCGCAGCUUCCAUCCUAAGCCUCUGCGGGGAUCGCUCUCCUCCCACGGAGGCUUGGGAAGGAAGCUGCAUGCCCGCCAGCCAUAUGUUUGAUGGGGCGCAGUUGGCGGGCCUGCAGGGAAAGGGGAGGCCACCGGUAAAGCUGUGCAGCUCCCCCACUCGCUGGGGCGCCCUGAGAGUCCGGCACCCUGGCACAACGAACCACUAAGCCGUAUGGGAAAGACAGCUGUGUUCAGGAUCUGUGCUUCCAGUGAGCACUCAGGGCUGAUUUCCUUCAGAAUGGAGAGGUUUGAUCUUCUUGCAGUCCAUGGGACUCUCAAGAGUCUCCUCCAGCACCACAAUCAAAAGCAUCAAUUCUUCAGCGAUCAGCCUUCUUUAUGGUCCAGCUCUCAGUUUCAUACAUCACUACUAGAAAAACCAUAGCUUUAACUAUGCAAACCUUUGUCGGCAAGGUGAUGUCUCUGCUUUUUAAGAUGCUGUCUAGGUUUGUCAUCGCUUUUCUCCCAAGAAGCAGGUGUCUUUUAAUUUCAUGGCUGCUGUCACCAUCUGCAGUGAACAUGGAGCCCAAGAAAGUAAAAUCUCUCACUGCCUCCAUUUCUUCCCCUUCUAUUUGGCAGGAGGUGAUGGGACCAGUUGACUCAUGGGCUCAGUUGACUCAUUUUCUGUCCCUCUCCUGGCCCUACCUCAGGAACUGUGAUAGACUGUUUAAUUCAUCCCCUGGUGAAGCUCACAUGCACAGCACAAUAUGCUGAUGUCAUUUGCUGAAAUGUACACCCCUUUCAGCUCACUCACAGAGACUACUUGUGCUCCAAAGGAGAGGACAGGCUGUGCCAAUAGUUCCUAGCCCUGAUAAUUUCUACCGCACCCAAAAUGCCAACUCACUUCUGUGGACCUAUAUGCAGGCCAGAAAAGGGGGGUCGCAAUUUUGCUGAGUUUUACAAGGAGCAGGAGGAGUUCUACAUAUUUUUGAGAAAUGGCCACCACCUAGUUCCCUCAACAGGGCCUUAUUCAAAGCAUUAUGAAUAAUGGAGUGCAUUAUGGAGCAUUAUGGGAGACUACUCUGCUUCUAAAAGCAGGAUCACGUUGCAUUUACAAAGGGGAAAUGGCUCUUUUGGAUUCAGAUAGAAAAUAAAGAAUACCUUUGCUCUUUAACAAAUUAAUUCAUAGGAUGACGAUAGAGAGAAUAAAAGCAAGGCCCAAACUGACAAUUUUAUGCCCCUCUGCGUUGGCCGGAGAGCUCCCUUUGGGUAACAAUGUAUAAGGACUCCUGACAGACAAAGUGCGGCCCUAAUGUUGGCCAAAGGCUAAGUGGGCUUCCCAUUAAGCAGGUGUGCUAUGAGGGCUUAUAUAUCUUCAGUAAAGCACCUGCUGUUACUCAGGUUACACAAGCCACAUUUGGUGUUUAGGCAACACACCAGUUUCCCACCAAAGUCAAAACACCAUCCGGUAUUUGGGUUUCCCAUCCAUUUCCCACCAAUGUAGUUCACUUCUGCCGUUUGGAUUUUCCACCAAACAGUGAAAGGCUAACAGAGACUUGGCAGGAAAUCAACACAGAUAAGCUUCUGCCAAUCUCACACAUUGACACUUGCAGUAGGGAGUUAUCAGCUUGCCUAGGAAGCUAUCUAGAAUAUGUGUCUUGUGCGCAUAAGAUGUGUCUUGUGCGAUCUCCUUCCCCCUUUGUUUUGACUGAUCAGGGGAGGCUUGGGAGUCGUGGGCAGGAGGCCAUUGCCCAGGUUUUUUUUAACUCUGCGCAUUUAUGUUUCACAGGGUGCAAAAGAAGGGCUUUGCACCUUUAUACAAUAUGCAUGUGUGCUUGGGCCCAGGGUCUUUUGCCUCACCAUCCCCACACCCUGUUGCUACUCAGCUUCAAAAAAAAAAAAAAAAGGGUCCCCAGAUUCUUUGAAAGAAAUAUGGUAACCAUAUGUUAGUCCCUUUUCCAUAGAAACCAUACUCAAUGUAAAAGGGCAUACACUGACUUUCUUGCCUCCUCCUUAGGUCCCCUACCAUAAAAUUGGUGGUUGAGGUCUGAUGCUAGAACUGACUCAUUUAAAUGGGUAUGCCAGUAUCUAUUGCAGCCAGUACCUCUAUUCUGUGUACAGUGGUACCUCGGGUUACAUACGCUUCAGGUUACAUACACUUCAGGUUACAGACUCCGUUAACCCAGAAAUAUUACCUCAGGUUAAGAACUUUGCUUCAGGAUGAGAACAGAAAUUGUGCUCCGGUGGCGCGGCAGCAGCGGGAGACCCCAUUAGCUAAAGUUGUGCUUCAGGUUAAGAACAGUUUCAGGUUAAGAACGGACCUCCGGAACGAAUUAAGUACUUAACCCGAGGUACCACUGUAUUCUGUAAUGUCAGGGGAGGUUUGUGGGUUGCUUGUAUUAUCUUUCAAGGAAUUCUCCACAGUCCAAGAAAGGGAAGAUUAAGAAAGAAAGAGUAAAUUAAAGACCUUUAAAGCGUGGGGGUGGGAGACACACAAAGAUACAACAGAGUCAAUAUUUUCAAAUUACCAUCAUAAUGGAGCUUAAAAUAGUUUCAGCAGUAUAGUUUGAAUGUGUCAAUAAAGUAUUGGAUACAGAAGCACUGGCUGAUUAAAAUGUAUUUAAAGUUUGAAAAGCCUUCGGCAAGGUCUUUUACAAGAUGCUGUUCCCAAGUCAAACAAAAAACAAAACCUACAUAUCUAAGGGUCAGGAGGUAAAGUACUGUCAAAGAUCAAUAACUGGCCCCCAAACCUAGAAACAAGAGUAAAAACAAAUUGUUAAAUUUCAGCUUCAAGGUUGCAUAACAAACACAGAGAUCAGAUAAAUGCAGCUCUGCAACUGCAUUUAGACUUGCUUUCUUCAGAUAAACAAAUUGCAUAAUUUUGUCCCCAAUAAUAAAAGAAAGCAUGGAACUCUGUGGGACGGUAUAACUACAGCUCUCGAUUCUUGCAUGUAAAUUAGAAUGGGGGUUCACUUUUUAAUUCAAAGCUACCUAACACACACUUUCUGAACCAAUAUACAAACCAAAACCCACCUUUCAAUCAAAAUUCACACUUCUCCAAAUUCUGUAAUGCAGUUGUCUAACCCCCCCCCAAAAAAAUACAAAAAUGUGCACAUUAGAAUCAUAGAAUUGUAGAGUUGGAAGGGAACCAGAUGAUAAUCUAGUACAACCCUCUGCAAUGCAGGAAUUGUUUGGCCCAACAUGGGGCUCAAACACAUAAGUCUCAUGCUCUGCUGAGGGGAAAGAGUGCGCAAAAAUGUGAUUAUUAGAGGAAACAAUCUACAAAAAUGUAAUGUAUUGGGGGAAAUAGCUGGAAAAGGUGUAUAUUAGGCAAAGUCAAAGAGGGUUUCAGUGUAGCACAACUGGAUCAGCUGCAGGGGGCGCCACAAAAAUGCUGUAGAAUGGAGCACAAACUUGGGUGGGUGUGCCAAAUUUUAGUGUCACACUGGACACUUGAAAUUUGAGAGCCCAAAGUCCACCACUGGCAAAAUGGCGUAUGUUCACAGAUUGUGCCUGGAAUUGUGUGUGAACAUUAAUAAUUGCUUUUUAAAACAAAACCACAAGCUCAUGAGCAAAUGAGAUGGAAUGAAGUUAAGACUAGAGAAAUGAGAAGCCGGGAUAAACAAAAAAACUAUCAAGCUAACGUAAGUAGAAAUGAGACACAUAAAAGGAGUUUGAAUUAGCGACACAUUUAUUGGCAUAACAUCUGCAGGCAAAAUGAAAGCAGAGUGGGAAGCUAUUCUCGAAUGACUCCCUUGUGUUUGCCAAAUCCUGUCCACGUCCAGGGGAAUGAGAAGGCAAAGCUACAAGGCCUGGAUCCCCUCGACCAGUGAGUAGGGAGACCUUUCUCCACUGCCUCUCUGGGCCCCACAACUCCUGGCAAAUGAGACAGCUUAGCCUCAAGAAUGUUCUAUAUCCAGGAUAAGUCCUACAAGCCAACGAAGCUGGCUUCCAGAAAGGCCCCUUAGCUUCAGAGGUCCUAUUGGGAGGUCACUUGCUCACUUCUCCCAUACUAACUUUUCCUGCAAAUUCCUGCUCAAAAUGUGACCAGUUAAUGCGACACCUGUGCUGAAAUCCUUACUGUUUCUGGCCUGCAGUAAAGAGUAGGUGAAAUAACCUGUUCAACUCGAUCAAUCUGUGGACAAACAAACAAAAUGCUCCUCAUCCUUUAGGUGUCUGGAAAUCCUGGAUUGAAAACUAAAGUGGGAAGACCAAAAGUGACCAAAUAGAACAUGAUGUGGGUGUCUUUUGGGAAUUAUCAGUAUAGUGGAGUUCCAACCAUGUCUUCCUCAGAAGCUAGCUUCACCAAACAGUGCACAACAUUUUAUGUUCUCACCCUAAAGUGGAACACUUUUGCAGGGAAAUGUUCAAGGAAACACAAGCAUCAACCCAUCCUUCAACCCUGCACAUAUGCAAAAAAGCAAAAAGCAAAACACAAAGCAAAAGAAGAGCAAAAGAGACUUUGCUAUGUGCUUGAGAAGAAACAGAGUUGUGGAACACACACUAUUAAUAAUUGAAACUUGUAAAUAAAUAAAGCAACAAAGAGCUUACUGUCAUUGAAAUGAUUAAGUGCCUUUGGUCUUUUCUAGCUCUGCUCAGCAGCUGCCUGGGAAAAGAAGCAUUUCUAAACAAAGCGUUGCCUCCUUUUUGCUGCUGUACCCUCUGCCGUUGUAAAAAUGCUGUCGUUAAGAUUCUCCUCCAUCUUUUGAAACUAGAAAAGGGGGGUAUUUCUAGUUUUCUUCUUCUAAAGUUUCAAACAUACACACAGCAUAGCUUGUUCGCAAUAUCAUAAACAUUUCAAAGAUAUUACUGCCAUUAAAUUUGAUUUUCUAUAUUUUAAAAAAAACUUAUGAGGUGUUCCAUUGUCAUUUAAAAAAAAUAGUAGUUGUUUUAACAUUUCUUUUAAACUCCAGGCUAACACCUGCAAGCUACAUCUCCCUAGCCAUAGUCAAGCCUCGUCAUCCUGGGAAAUACUGACAAGUGGGGUGCCACAGGGUUCUGUCCUGGGCCUGUUGUUGUUCAAUAUCUUUACUGGAUGAAGGAAUUGAGUGGACACUCAUCAAAUUUGCAGAUGACAUCAAACUGGAAGUCAUAGCUAAUAAUACAGGAGAGAGAAUCAGAAUUCAAAGUGACCGUAACAGAUUGGGGAACUGGGUCCAAGCUAACAAGAUGAAUUUCAAUAGGGAAAAAUGUAAAGUUUUGUACUUAGGUAGGAAGAACCAGAUGCACAAAUAUAAGAUGGGGGACACCUGGCUUGCUAGCAGUACAAGUGAAAAGGAUCUAGGGGUCUUGGUGGACCACAAGCUGAACAUGAGUCAACAGUGUGAUGCAACAGGUCAUUUUGAAUUCUGAAUAUGUAUUCUACAGCAUUAGCUACUGUAAUGAGUAUGGGUUGCUCGUGCGUAAGUUGCCGCCUCUCCUGGCUUUGUUGCCUUGUUAAACCUUUCAGUCUGGGCAGCCCUUCACUUCGUGGCUGCCUCAGUCGCUAGCAGAAUCCGUCAGUGGGCGUUUCUUAAACCUCUUCCAACAUAAAAGUUGUUUGACGCCCAGUCUCCUCCUACUCUCCCUGCGCGGAAGUCUUCUGUGCAGGGAGGGCGUGGGUAGCGGAGGACCUGUGCUCUCCCCGCUGGUGUCCGGUGAAGAGUCUGGGAGCCCUCUCGCCGAUUCCCCCAUCUGCCCCUCUUUAUUCCUGGUGUUGCGCUGAAUUGCUUCCCCAUCUGCUGAGCUGCCUCUCUCCCUGCUGGGCCCUUCUCCAGCAUCAUUUGAGAGCCUUCCCUCCGCCUCUAGCUCCGAUGUCAGUUCCCUGACAGCUACCCUUCCCAGUUUGGUGUCACCUGCAAAUUUGAUGAGCAUCCCCUCAGUUCCUUUAUCCAAGCUGUUUUUGAAGAUGUUGAAUAAGAACGGGCCCGUGACAGAACCCUGCCGCACCCCACUUGUCACUUAUUCCCAGGAUACUGAGGAACCAUUAAUGAACACUCCUUGGGUUUGGUCAGUCAACCAGCUACAAAUCCACCUAACAGUUACCUCGUUCAACCCACAUUUUACCAGCUUCCUUGCAAAAAUAUCAUGGGGGACUUUGUCAAAAGCCUUGCUUAAAUCAAGACACACUAUGUCCACAGCAUUUCUCUGAUCCACCAAGUUUGCAAUUCCAUUUUUAAAAAAUACCAUAUUGGUCUGGCAUGUCUUAUUUUUGAGAAACGCAUGCUGGGUUUUAGUAAUCACAGUAUCCUUUUCUAAAUGCUCACAGACCUACUGUUGAAUUAUCUGUUCUAGGACCUUUCCUGGUAUCAGUAUCAAGCUCACUGGUUGGUAGGUACCUGAGCCUUCCUUUCCCCCCCUUUUUGAAGAUGGGGGCAACAUUUACCCAUCUCCACUCUGCAGGGUCCUCAUUUGUUCUCUAAGAAUUCUCAAAGAUCAUAGACAAAGGCUCUGAGAUUGCUUCCACGAGGUCGUUUAUGACACUAGGAUGCAGCUCAUCAGGCCCUGGAGAUCUGAAUUUAUUUGAAGUAGCUAGGUGUUCCCUUACUAUCUCUUUUUCCUGUCUUGGACCACAGCUCCCUCCUUACAUCAUUUAUUCUGUUAUCACUAGGUUGGUGAGAGGAAAUAUGAAAACCAUCUUCAGAUAUCUCAAGGGCUGUCACGUGGAAGAGGGAGCAAGCUUGUUUUCUCCUGCUCUGGAGGGUAAGACCCAAACUAGUCGCUUCAAGUUAUGAGAGAGGAGAUUCCAACUAAACAUCAGGGAAAGGUUUCUGAUGGUAAGAGCUGUUUGACAGUGGAUCUGACUCUCUCGGGAGCUUGUGGGCUCUUCUUCCUUGGAGGUUUUUAAGCAGAGGUUGGGUGGCCACCUGUCAUGGAUGCUUUAGCUGAGAUUCCUGCAUUGCAGGGGGUUGGACUAGAUGACCCUCGGGGUCCCUUCCAACUCUAUUCUAUGAUACUAUGUUUCUAAGACAGAGCUUGCUUUAUUUGUAUGGGUUUAAGCAUUCCUGACUCUGAGCUGGACAGUGACCCUUCUUUUCGUCCCCACCUCCUAUAAGUCAUUAGCCACUUUUCCCUGUGUUCAUCAAACAUUCUUUACCUUACAUUACCUUAUGUCUUCAGGCUGUUGUGGAAAGCAGGUUUUUCAUAUUCAACUGCAAUGGCCAUGAAACCAAAUUCUGGCUUACUAAAAAUGUUUCUUGGGAGAAAAGUGUGAUUUACAACUGUUCUAAUUAGGCUCUACUGUCAGUUAAGAGUUAACUUCAUUUGAUCUGAUUAUUUAACAAACAAACAAAGAGUUUUAUGCAAAAUAUAAUCCAGCCAUCACUUCCUGCUUCACUGAUCUUUUGUAGUAUUCUGUAUGCCAUCCUUCAUUUGCAUGUUGUCUUUUCAGAUUGGCAGCUCUUUGGGGCAGGGGCUUAGGGUCACAUUAGUAUCUGACCCACUGUCUGCCUGCCUGUCUGUAGCCAGAGCAGCACAGCAAUGCUAUAAUGCAAAUCCAGUCAUGUGGAUCUGAGGCCAGAACUAAGUCUACCUCUGCAUUUUUGACUGGCGUUUGUGAGAUAAAAUCAUCGAAUAAUUCAUAAGUUUUAAUGCAGAGAUUCUGACAGAUUUAAUAUCAUCACUUGCUUUUAUAGCACUUGUCCUAGGUACUCAAAUUGCUUUGCAUUAUGUGCAUUUUCUCAGUGACCCUUACUACAAUAUGCUAAAUCAAGCCAAUAUUAUUAACCCACGAGGGACACUGAGUUUCAGAGAAAACAUCCUGACUAAGGUCAGGCAAUAAGUUACCAGUAAUUCCUCAUGUCUGAACUACGAUCUUCCCUGCCUCAACCACAGCAAGCAUACCAGAUCUGCGGCACUGCCUUAAAACACACACAAACCACUUUCCCCUCCUCUUCCUACAAUAAUUUUUUUACAGUUGUAUAAGUAUUUCAGUUGCCCUUAGAUAAAAAAUAUUGCCCUUAAAAAACAAAUCCAACUGAAAAGAAAUUCAGGACUGCAACCUGAUUCAGACUAGAUAUAAUUCCCUCCACAUCAGAAACCUGCUUCUGAAAGAUCACUUGUAAUUGGUUACUAUGGAGGCCGUCUAAUGAAUGUCUUUAUUGUUUAGGGGAACUGGCUUCCAGUCAGUUUCUGGACCCCCUUCAAAAUUCCAGCAUUUGUAGGGGUGCCCUAUCCCUUUUUGCCACCUAAGCCCAAAUAGGAAUGUGCCAGCCACUACCCCUUAUGCCCUACCACUGCCCCCAACACUUCAGCCAGAUGGGCGGGGUAUAAAUAACAAAUUAUUAUUAUUAUUAUUAUUAUUAUUAUUAUUAUUAUUAUUAUUAUGCCAGAAGAAACAAGCUAAUACAGGCAUAGGCAAACUGCCCUCCAGAUGUUUUGGGACUACAAUUCCCAUCAUUCCUAACCACUGAUCCUGUUAGCUAGGGGUGGUGGGAGUUGUAGUCUGAAAACAUCUGGAGGGCCGAGUUGUCCUAUGCCUGAGCUAAUAGGAAGGCACACUUGGCAAACCCUCACCGUGAUCAGCUUGGCCCCAGCAGGUCAUGACUUGCCUGCAGAUAUCUCAAGCCUUUCCUUGGGCCUUGUGACAUGUGUUCUUCCUCUGCCUUGUGCCUCCACAUCCCUUCCAUUUGGGUGUCUUGUAUUUUUUAGUUUCCAAACCUGAGGACAGGACUUGUCUCACCUUUUUUGAAAAAAAUCAGUGUCAACUGCUUUAGGAGACAACAUCUGUCUGAAAAGCAGGGAAUUUAAAAAAUAAUAAUUUAAAAUUAAAAUUAAACUUAUUAUUGCUGCUGCUACUACUACUGCUGUACAUUUAAAAGAAUAUAUACGGGUGGCACUGUGGUCUAAACCACAGAGCCUAGGGCUUGCUGAUCAGAAGGUUGGCAGUUUGAAUCCCCGCGACGGGGUGAGCUCCCGUUGCUCGGUCCCAGCUCGGUCCCAGGUCAAAAGCACGUCAAAGUGCAAGUAGAUAAAUAGGUACCACUCCGGCGGAAAGAUAAACAGCAUUUCCGUGCGCUGCUCUGGUUCACCAGAAGUGGCUUAGUCAUGCUGGCCACAUGACCUGGAAAACUGUCUGCGGACAAAUGCCAGCUCCCUUGGCCUAUAGAGCAAGAUGAGUGUGCAACCCCAGAGUCAUCUGUGACUUGACCUAACUGUCAGGGGUACCUUUACCUUUACCUUUAUACCACCCUUGAAGUGCAUGGAAUUAAAUUUGUUCUGACCACUAUGGCACACUGACUAUCCUAGAAUCUUGGCAGGGUGCAUUCCAUUUCUCCAAGGGCUGUUGCUCAGCAGCGGAGCCUGUGACUGUUUGAACUGAGAUUCUUGCAUCCUCAUUGUGUAGACGUUUGCAGAGGUUUGCUUUAGGGACCCUUGCUUCACUUGGAUUAGAAUAUGGCAUCUGAAAGACUCCUGGAGGUAAGUGAACGUUGGCAUUUCCAGUGGACUUGAACUCUAGAACAAAAAUAAUGGCACCACCAAGUUUGGCAAAGAGCUAUCAGAGGUCAAAGAAAGUCUUGAACUUUGGGCAGGUUUAUGGAAGGGGAGAAUGAAUUCUGUAAAGGAAAACUUAGUCUUCAUAUUUUUAUUUUUUUUAAUGUUUAAAUUUUUUAUUUUUUACCAACAACCAAACCACAAACAGUGAAACCACACACCCCCAGGCAGCUGAUGCAUUGGGUAUACAUAAUCAAUAAUAACAUAUUCAAAUCAACCAUAUGUACAAUUUUAUAUACGUUAACACUGCUCCAUCCACAAGGUUUAUUUAACUUUUAACAUUUUAAAUGCCCCAAAUUGUUCAAACCUACCCAAAUAAUUCAAUAUCUUCUCAAACCAAUCUUCCUCUUUCUCACUGACCUUAAACCCUUUCAUUCUGUGUAUCUUCACAGUUAGAUAUUCUAAAAUUAUAAUAUUAUUCAGUUUUUUCCUCCAUUGGUUCACCCCUAACUCUUCCGCAUUUUUCCAAUUAUUCGCUAUAACCUGUCUGGCUGCAGUUACCAUCAAUUUUACCCAUUUACAUUCCUCUUUUGUUUUUAACUCUGUGCUACUCAGACUAAUAAGAACCAUUAAUUUAGAUAUUCCCACCUUCCUACCCACAAUUCCCAAUAUUUCUAUACCAAUCUGUUUCCAAAAUUCAUAACUUAACUAAGUUAUGUGUCCCACCACAUAACUUAGUCUUCAUAUUGUAGUCAGUUGAAUAUUAUUUUAAACAGAGCAUUCUUUAUUCUGUGUAUGUGUGUGUGUGUGUGUGUGUAUAUAUAUAUAUGUGUGUGUGUGUGUGUGUGUGUAUGAGAGAAUCCAGGAGACGGUUAACUUAAAUUUCUAAAUAAUGAAUAUUAACUUUAGUUUAUUAUAGUUGGAAAGGGAAAGAGAAAAAAGAGAGAAGAAAGAUCGCAUGAGCAGCUGGCCCAGGGGAUGGGUAGCCAGGUGGAGCUGGUCUUUCCGCACAGCUGAUUCAGGGAGCUCUGCUGCCCACUUCUCCCGUGGAGUCAGUCUGAUGGAAGGGCUUCUCCCAAGUGCAGACGAGGGGGAGACAGGAGGCCUGGUGGAGCUCUAACAUCCGCUAAGACAGGCCAGCUCCAUCAAGCUACCAUCGUAGGGGAGAUAGGAACAGCACUUCUAGACAUUGGGACCUGGUUUUUCAGUUUCCUUUUUCCUUUGCCCUCCUUGCCCCUUUUCCUUGUAUGAUGUAUUUCUGUUUGUUGGUUUGUUUAUUAGAAUGUAAGUCUGCAACUAGGGAGUGUCUUGUUUUUGAUUUCACGUAAGCCUCUUUGGGAGCCCUUUUGAGGUACAAAUGCUCUGAAUGAAUGAAUCAGCUGUCUGUGGAGACCAUCAGUUGGUUUCCAUUUUAAUGCAGACCUACCUCAUCUGUGCUUCCCAGAUCAACACACAAACAGAAAUUUGCUUUGAGAUGCUCACAUGUCCCCAUUUUGCAAAUAGGUUCUCCACUCCCCCUUGCCCCACGUACAUAUGAGCAUAUUUAGAAAUACAUCAUAAGAUACCUGCUUUAAAAACGUGGAGCUUAGGCUUAAUAGCACACAAAAUGGAUAUCUUAAUAGACAAAUUAAUCGUAUGCUAUAAAACCCUUAAAAUAAUGAACACUCCCACUUUACAUUGUGGGUGCCCUUUGCGGGAUCACGGGUGGUGCUACAGUUCCCAGGGAGCUUACUGGCAAACAAGGGCAGGCUUGCCUCUCAGUUUUAAUUUUUGGAGGUUCACGCCCAGCCUCAGUAAUCAAGUUUCUUGCUGGGAGGUGGGGCCAGCCCCAUUUAUAAAUAGGGGGUGGAACCAACAAUAGCCAGGCAGUCUGCUCUGGAGAUUCACCCUCCCUACCCUCCCUUUGUUUAAUGUUUCUUAUUCGCAGGUUAACUUUUUCUUCCUCUUUAGCGGGCUCUGCUAUGGUCUUUGACUGGUUGCUGUUGAAGGACCGGGAAGAAAUUUUCCUGCAUUGGCAGGUUUUGUCUUCCCCAUAGCAAUUCGUCACAACUUUGACGGUUAUGACCUUGGGUAGAAUCCUUUAGUCUUUUUUCCCCCUAUAUGGGGGUGUGGGCAUGAAGUAGUGACUCCCCCCCCUGUGGUGGCGAUUCCAGGGUCCCCCUCUUAAAGGGGUUAUAUAUAUGGGUGUCACUGGCCAUACACUGAAAGGUCGUCAGUGAUAUGGGGAUGUGGGGAUAUGGGCUUGGCUGCCUGCUAUACUUACGUCUCACAAAGCACCCCAUAUCCCAUUUACCCUGAUGAGUGCCAGUUCCCCCCGGCUGGGGGCCUGGGAGGGAUACACACCCAAGGCCUAAGCCAAGGUCUUCCUAUAUUCAGAAGUUUAAUAAAAUUGUGGCCUAAUUUUAAUUCCGUAUAAUGUUGUCAGAGCUUUAUUCCUUCCUUAUGAUCCCUGGGGGCCUGGGCUGUCGCCGCCUGGUCCAUGUGACAUUUCAAACCUUUCUUACAGAGAAGAGAAGCUGCUAUUUACACAAACACCCCCACAAUUCCUCUUCUCCCCUCAGCAUCUCAACAUGUUCUACAGUGUCACAUACCGCUGGCAGCACACCCAAAGGAUCCAGUGAGGACCGACGGAAGCAUCAACUGACAGCUGUUGUCGUGGGGAAAAAGGGUAAGAAGCUCUACGAGAUCUUUCCGACCUCCUGAAGAAGACCAAGGCAUAUGUGAGUUACUCAAGGGAAUCACUGCAGCCAUGCAGGGAUGUCAAAACCCUUCAGCCUGCCCCUUCCAGGCCCACUCUGCAAAGUGUCCAGUGGACAAUCAGGCAUCUGAGCGCAUAAGUGAUCUAGAGAACAGAGUUGGGCAAUAGUACAGCAGAUCCUAGUAGGCUUUGCAGUUGGCAUGGAUCAGCCAAUUGGUGCCGAUUGUAAGCCUUGUUUUCGGCAGGAACUGGCUGCCCUCAGGAGUUUGCAAUUGGGAAGAGGGCUGUUGCACCCAGGUCCUGCUUGCAGGCUACUCAUAGGUUGGCCACGACGAGAACGUAAUGGUGGACCAGAUUGGAUUAUCACAGUGGUGUCCAAACUUUUUUCAAAGAGGGCCAGAUUUGAUGACGUGAAGGGCCGUGAGGGCCGACCAAAGGGCCAACCUUUUUUUUUAGGAUUGAAGUUCUUGAGCUUUUUUUAUGAUUUUACCCCAAAGUUGUUUUUAGGGUUGAAGUUGUUGAGCUUCUCAUAAUGGUGACUGGGGAAGGCACACAGUGGGUUUGAAUUUGAAUCCAGAGGGAGACAGAUCUCCCCUCCCCUCUGCCAAGUACUUAGGACAGAAAAAAGCAGGAAAAAAUAGGUCCAAACCAAAUUUUGUGGUUGACAUCCAUCCUUUAUCCCCUCCAUUGGUUUCCCUAAAGACUAAAAGGGUGUGUGUGUGUGUGUGUGUGUGUGUUAUGUAUUAAGAUUAGUUGCAGUUCUCACUCAGGGCCACCAGUAUGUAAAUGAAGGAUUGAAAACUGUCGCUCCUGAUUGGUUAGCUAGUUGUGAGUUGCUACUGUUUCAAGUUACUUAGUAUUAUAUAAAGCAGCCAGCUAGGCUGCAGUUAGUCUGAUUCCAGGAGCAGUUCUAAUUGCUGCAAUAAAGAGCUGUGAAUCCAACAGAGCCGUGUCCUUCAUCCAUCUCUUCCACUAUUCAACAGUCUAAAUGGCUCAGGUGCAAGCCAUCUGAAAGCCGUAUUCCCUCCUACCAACCUGCCUGGGUUUUGAGCUCUUUGGGGAGGCCCUUCUCUCAGUACCGCUUCCCUCACAGACAUGCUUGAUGGGGCUGUGUGACAGGAACUUCUUAGUGGCUGCUCCCACACUUUGGAACUUCCUUGCUAGAGAAGUCAGACUCGCUCCCUCUUUCCUGUUCUUCAAGACUUUCUUGUUCCAACCGGCUUUGGUGAAUUGACUGCUUUGAAAUAAAGGGCUGGUCUCUUGCUGUUUGAUUGUAAUUAUAUGUAAGCUUUUAAGCGAGUUUAUAUAAGUAUAGUUUUAGUUCUCUCCAUGUUUAAUUGUUUCUUAAUGGUUGUUUUUUUCUGUGUUUUUAGUUCUUCUUGUUUUUUAUCUGUAAGUUGCCUAAAGUCCAGUCAGGGGGGAAAGCAGGUUAUGCAUAAAUAUAAUCAUCAUCAUCAUCUAGCAGUGCUUGGUGGCUGAAGCACUGCCAUCGAUAAUAGGCUGAAAUAUAAGCAAUGGAUUACUGAAAUAACUCAUGAUAGUGAAGUUUAUAUUAUAAGAACACAUGUAUUGUAAAACAGCUAAUAAAAAGAAGUAAAAAACAAACACCAGGAAAGGAGGGGUGGGAAGUCGAAAAGAAAUUUAUGUUGAUUUUUUUUUUGUAUAUGACAUUAAAUGUUUUGGAAUACUUUUAAUAAAAAUAAAAAUAAUAAAAUAAAUUAAUAAUAAAUAAUAAAAUAAAUAAUAAAAAUAUAAUAAAAAUGAUAAAUGUAAAAAAGAUAAUGGGUUGCUUGUCUUAGCAGUAACUUCUCUAGGUCUCUUCUCAGCCACUUGUAGCGCUUCCCACAUCCGCUCUCCUCUGGCCGAAAUUGGCGAGAGAUGGGAGCAUCCUGCAAGGUGGUGGAAGUGGUGGGCUGGGGUCUUGUACUUCUGCCAGCUGAGGCUGGUGCUUCAACACACCUCACUGGUGGGCCAGCUCUGGACAUUUACCUUCAAGGCAGUGUUGGGGGACUUUAGGUCUGCCAGGCAGCUUCAGCUGACCAAGGCACACUCACCUGUCCUAGACCUGGCAUCAUAUAUAACAUCAAAUGCCAUGCAGAUAAAGACAAAUUUGGGCCCAGAAGGUGGUUGCAAGCAGCUGAUCAUCAAUGCUUGCAGAAAGCUGUGUGCAGCUCCUUGGAACCCCAGUGGUCAUUCCCUAUGUGAGAAUCUUUUGGAGGCCAAGUUUUUCUUACCUUCCCAGACAUUUUAUCAACCAUGAUUUUACUGCUUUUGAAGUUGAACUAUUUCCCUGUGCCUUUCGGCUGUAUUUUCAUGCAGCCUCUUAAUGGGGUUAUGGUGGUUUCGGUACCAGUCUAUUUCUGUAAUUACUGUUUUAAUUUCGGAAUUAACGUUUAAAUUGUGAACCUCCCCGGAGGAGAUUGUUGGUUGGACAUUAUGGAAAUGCCAUAAAUGAAUACAUAAAACAGUUACCCAAAUAUGCCUAAGUAUAAGUUUCCUAUAUACAGUAUAUGCACAGGUCCGAAACUGUCAGUUUGCAUUUCUUAGUGCAGAAAGUAUUGAUUUAAUGUGUAGAUAUCUUUCCUGUUCUAAUUCAUUCAAGAGGGUUUCAGGAAGCUACUAGAAGCUUCUCUGUGAGAGAGAAACAGAGGCAGAAGGAUUAAUGAUUGUUUGGGUUAUACCGUCUGGGAAGCUGGCGUAAACUAGUUCUCUUAUCUCUAUUAUGCAGAGUCCCACUGACUAUAAAUAUAGGCCAGAAGGAGCCUGGAUUUUACUUUCUCUUUCUCUUCCUUCCUUCUUGUGUGGUGAUUCUGUACAUAGGAUGCUUAGUGCUAAGGUUUAGUCUUAUUAGGGAUGUGGGUGGUGCUGUGAUCUAAACCACAGAGCCUAGGGCUUGCCGAUCAGAAGGUUGGCGGUUCGAAUCCCUGGGACGGGGUGAGCUCCCAUUGCUCAGUCCCAGCUCCUGCCACCCUAGCAGUUCGAAAGCACACCAAAAAGUGCAAAUAGCUUAAUCGGUACUGCUCCAGCAGGAAGGUAAACAGUGUUUCCGUGCACUGCUCUGGUUCACCAGAAGUGGCUUAGUCAUGCUGGCCACAUGACCCGGGAAAACUGUAUGUGGACAAACGCCAUCUCCCUCGGCCUAUAGAGCGAAAUGAGCGCUGCAACCCCAGAGUCGUAUGCAACUGGACUUAACUGCCAGGGGUCCUUUACCUUUUCCCCCCUUUAAGCCUUAUUAUGAAUUAAGUUUAUAAAUGCUGCAACUGGAUUUUGUAUGGACUGAGCCAUGGAUUUGAUAAACCAUUAAACUACAUUUGCCUUCAGCACAAGUAAAAGCUCUGCUGGAUGAAAUAUUGCCUAUUGAUCUAUUUUUGGGAACUCUGCUGAACUCUACUAUGGUGUUUUCAGUUUUUCCUCCACACCUAUGACAGAAAUAAGUGGUAAUGGAACUAGCAUGGGGUCACCACCCUAUUUUUACACGUGUGGGCUCUGUUCAGAAGUUACACUAAAGCCACAAACACGACAGGCAGCCACAACUUACUACUCACUUGGCAAAAUGCAGCCUACCAAUAUAACAGCAUCUGGCAGGUUACAGUGCAAGGGUAAGAGGUAGAAUUCAGUGAUGGGCCAUCCGUUGAGCUUGCCCACACAUCACACAAAAGUGUUCUGGGUUUUGUUUGUUAUUUCUGUAUUAUUUCACUAUGAAUAUCUCGUUAAAGCAAGUUCAGUUUCUAGUGUGCAGUAUGAACUUCCUGGGGUGCCAAUUAGAAUGUAGUUAAAGGAUGCAUGACCCUCUCUACCUUCGUCAUAAAUUAUCCUCUGGGAUCGUUGCCAAAAAGGAGAGGUCAUGCAAGCUAUGUCACUAUUUUAAAGUGUGCUUUGCCGUAAUGUGUUCCACUCAAAUUUGUACAGAAACGAAGAGGUUUAGCACACACAUACACACAUGAAAAACCCUCAAAGCCCCUCUCACUUAUAAUUCUGUUGCUGUAUCCCAACUCCUAUAGAAAGCGUUCAGAACUAGGGCAUGAAGAUAAAACUGUUUUCAAGGCAAUUCACUUUGUUUUAUUAUUUGUUAAAUAAUAUGGACAAUUCGGCUGCACCACUGGGGAAUCAGAGAUACUCCUUAUUCCAAUAAGCUCAGUGUUCUGACAGCUUUAAAAAGCAUACUGUUAUUUGUUUCUCAAACUCAGCUGAAGACCAUUCUAAGCAGGGGGGCUUAAAAUUAGUUGAUUGUUCCACUUUUUCGUUGCUGAUAUUCCACUGUUCCCAUAUGCAUUCAAAAUGUAAAUGAAGGUCUCACAAUAGAUAGGAAGUUCCUCGAGGCAAAAGUGUCUUCUCCUUUGCAGUGAGCGGCAUUACACAAUGUUGGCAAUCAGAAAAUGAACAAUAAUAAUGUUUAAGACUUCCAUCAUUUUAAAGGACAUGCAGUGUCCCCAAUGAACCUUACUUGUCAUUUCCUUCUUAGCAAUUAACUUCAAGGCUUACAUAAGCCACAUUUUCAGCUCCCUUUUGUUUAUUUUAUCCUUUUUAGCCAUUAAUUUAGAAUUCCAAACAUUUUAAAAAAGCUUUCAGCUAAGUUUUAUGUACAUAAGAAGGGCAGCCACAUCAGCCUAUGGAGCAAACUCUCAUAUCCCUGAAUGCAUACUGGAUACACUAUUCUAAUACGCUAUGUCCAAGUCUUAUGUAUUUUGUUGGCAUUUGUCUGUCUUGAGAGAUAAUAGAGUGUGCAUCUGACGUGACUGUUCUGGGGUGCAAGCCAGGGCAGUGUGUAUGGGGGUCCUGGGCUGCCCAGACAACAAGACCCCCCUCUUGACCUCACUGAUGUAGUCCAAAGGAGAACAGAGCAAUACGUUUGGGAGCAGGUUGGCUGAAGGAGUUGCUGGAAGGAGGCCUACAAGGCACCAUCCAACUACCUUAGGGACUCUACUCCGUAUUUGUGUAGGGUUUUUACUCCUUAGCCUUUUCUUCUCCCAAAAAUAUCCUACAAGGCAACAGAGGUUUAGGAACAGAGCUUUCCUUCUCCUAGAUGGGCUACCUUCCCAGGUUGAUGAGCCCCAUCUGCCCCUCACUUGCCCAUAUAGCACAUGCAGAAACUGCCUUCUUGACUAUUGGACCCACUAUUGGUACGCUCAAUUUUUUUUUUGAUGAUUUUAUAUUUUUUUAAUAACAAUUUUAUUGAAAGUUUUUAAACAUAUUAAAUACUAAAAUUCAAACUCAUUUAUAAGAAAAUAACAAGAAACAAUAUCUAAAACAUAAUAAAGAAAAAAAAUCCUUACAAAACACAAUUGCAUAGAAAAGUGAAAGAGGAAAAAAGAAUAGAGAAAGAAUAACUAAAAAGGCCUUUUAUCCCAUUUAUAUUGUUCACAUCAUCUCAUCUAUCCACACAUAGGCAGAUUCCCCAUCUCUCACCUAGGUGCCUUCCACUUUUCCCAGUCUCCCACCUUGAGAGAGCCUUCUUACCCUGCCUUUCUUUCAGGUACCUCUCACCUCCAGCUGUGUCCUUCCUGUGUGUGUCUUCCUUGAUUCAAAAUAAAGGAAUCUUAAUAUAAAAAAUAUAAAAAUGGGUAAAAAGGAAAGGAAAGUCCCACCUCCCCGUUUGACAUUUAUCUUUAACAGCAAUUAUUCAGAAUAUUUAACAUACGCACUCCAGAAUAAUGAAGGUUUUAUUUUUAAUUGUAUUGUUUUACCAAUGUCCUGUUUGCCACCCAAAACUCCUUUGGAAGUAAUGGUGGGAUUGAAACUUAAUAAGCGUCAACAGCAACAUCUGGGAAGUCACAGGUUCCCUAACCUUGCCCUACCCUUUCCUCCAUAAUUUGAGCUGUGAGGAUGACUUUCAAUGCAGCUGGCACCAAGGGUAAAUUGCAGUCUGUGCUGUUGAUCAGGACUGGGGAGGAGGGCAGGGAGGUGCAUAUAAGCCAAAGAAGCAGGAGAAAGAGUGGGAGAACUUAACAAAGACAUUGGAGAGGGGGUUCCUUUGUGCUUUGUGCUGGUGACAUAAGAUGUCCAGAAUGAGGAGAGCAAAAUCUCAUGUUCUGGUUCAGAAUAACCCAGGAUGUAAGAACUCCAGGAUUAUCUUUCUAUCUGUCUGUCUGUCUGUCUGUCUAUCAUAUUUAUAUACCACCCUUCAUCACAAGAUCUCAGGGCGGUUCACAGAGAGCCCUGAGUCCUCCACAGGUUUCUUGGACUCUUAAGAAACCCUUCAAGUAUUCUUCUCCCUGAUUCCUCCACAGCUUCUUGAGUUUCUUUCUGAGAUGCCCUUGCAUCUGUGGACCCCAUUCCACCAACCCUGUGUUCUGGACAGGACAUAAUGAAGGAGAUGAAAUUUUGACCCCACUCCACCCUCUCUAUUUAUCCCUCUCUACUGCCAGCUCUUUAGUUUCUACAGCAAUUUGUAGAACUGAAUGAAUCCACAGCAUAGCCUCACCAUAGGUUCACCACCCAGUCUCUGGAACAGUCUUCAGAGUUAGCAAUUGAUGUGCCAUCUUGCUAUAUUUUCUUUGUAAAAUUCAGUUUUGUGGAUGGGGGAGCCUCUGAUCUCUUCUUUGUUGCUUCCCCAAGUACCUUUUGUGAGCAUUCUCCACAAAUAUAAAAUGAUCUGAAUGAUUGAAGCUUGAGUGCAUUUGAUAAGCACGCCUAUUUCUGGGCCAGGUCUGUUGCACAGACAACAGUCUAUCCUCCAGCAGAACAGACCCAGGAUCACAGUGGGAAGCAAUUUUCUUGGCACAUUUGAGCGAAGUCAUUUAUGUUCCAGAAGGUCUUAUUCCCCAAAUAAUAGCUUGCAGACGUGUAUAGAGACAUGCAAUCUGAGCAAGCACAGUAGCAGGGUUGUGUAACUAUGCCAAUUUGGCAUGUAUUACACGGCAGAUAUUUAGAUCUGCUGCUUCUAUUGCUGUCUAUGCUUCUUCUUUUAAAACUGGGAGCAUGAUGGGCAAUUAGGCCAGUGCAAGGGAUAAUCCACAACAGUGAUUCAGGUGUGCAUUGGAAAAAUUGUGUGUCUGAUUUUUACAGAUAAGGACCCCACACCUGUAAUGCCAGUAGAAAGACGUCAUCAUGUGUUUGCCCUCCAAAAAGUUCACAGUUGUGUUCACUGGAAAGCAUUUGACAAGAGCAGGCCAGUGAAGUCAAGGGCUGAAGCACUGGGACUCUGGGCAGGAGUAUUAAUGCAAAAGGCAGGUUGAGAAAGGCACAUAAAGCCAGGAGACAAGCAAGCAAGUGAUUCGAGCAGAAAGAAGCCAGGUGUGUGAUCUAUUUCUCAGAUAGAAGAAAACUGCCAAUAAAGUUCUAAGGGAAAAUAGGGAACUGUGCUGAGGGAUUUUUGAUCAGUGAAAAAUGCCCAAGAGGUAUUCUUGAUCAGAGAUUGUGAUGCCCAUUUGAGAGGUGGCAAGGCACUGCUAAAGAGUUGCCCCAGAACCUCUUGUUCAAAGUAUCUUCUGACCUUGUUGUUGUCAGUAUGAAAUCCAUUGGUGCCAACAGCCUAGUAUGAGACACAAAUCUGUGUCAAAGUACAGUGGUACCUUGGUACUCGAAUGUAUGGUAAUCCAUUCUGGAAGUCCGUUCGACUUCCAAAACAUUCAAAAACCAAGGCACAGCUUCCAAUUGGCGCAGGCGCCACAGAAACAAUAGUCGACAACCACAUGUGAUGUUUGGCUUCCGAAAAACGUUCAAAAACCGGAACACACACUUCUGGGUUUUCAGCAUUCGGGAGCCAAAAUGUUUGAGUACUAAGGCAUUAAAGAACCAAGGUUCCACUGUAUUGGGAUCUGUAAAUAUUACAAGCAUUUCCAAAGCAUUGACACACUUUUGGGACCAACAGGUUGGAAUGUUAACAGUCUACCACAGAGGGAAGCUUACUAGAAUUAUUUGUGUUGCAGAUGUGCAGAAGAUCAGAGCAAAAAUUGUCUAAUUUGCAGCCAUGGAAUCCCAAUGCACCCUAGGGCGGCUCUUUAUAAGCCAUACGCGGUUCACCUGUCUGAUGUGCUUGGGAGCUUGGUGCAGUGUAUGGAGGUGGAGCCAAACUGACACGCCUACUGACUUGCCUACACUGUGCCAAGCUCACUGCACCUUGCAGCUCCCCUCUUCCUCUCAGUACAGUGGUACCUCUGGAUGCGAAUGGGAUCUGUUCCGGAGCCCCGUUCACAUCCUGAAGCGAACGCAACCCGCGUGUGCGUGGGUCGCGAUUUGCCGCUUCCGCGCAUGCGCGUGAUGUCAUUUUGAGGGUCUGCGCAUGCGCGAGCGGCGAAACCCGGAAGUAACGCGUUCUGUUACUUCCGGGUCACCGCAGAGCGUAACCCGAAAAUGCCCAACCCAAAGCAUAUUUAACCCGAGGUAUGACUGUAAGUGCUUGCAACUCAGUGUGCUGGGAAGCCAUCAGAAGAUCAGUGCUCAACUCACACAACCUCACCAGCCACUACAGGCAACAAAAGCUUUCACACAACUAAUUCAGCCCUCAGCAGUACAGAUAAAAAAAAAAUGUACCAGCAUAAAUGAAUUCUGCUUCACAUCACACACACACACUUUUCCCAGAUUUCUGCUACCAGUGCUGAAAUAAAUUUCUACAGGGACAAACUCAUAUCUCUUAUUGUUCCUAGAGGAAGCUUUACCGACCUAACAAUAUAGCACUUUUUAGUCCCUGCCAAAUCUUUUAUAGCAACAUGGUAUGUGAUUGAGAUUUAUAGGAUUACUUUGCAGUCCUCCAGAUUUUAUUGUAAUCCACCAGAGCAUCAUGGUGGAUUGUUUCUCUAAACCCCCCAAAAAGGGCAUCUCUCAUGCCUAUCCUAAUUUUCUCAAAGAACAGUUCACAAAGGAUGUUCACAAAUAUUAGGCUAAGACGUGGUCACAUUUUGUGGGGGGGAAAUGUAAUGUACUCAGAUCAUUAGUUCAUGCAGCCUAAUUCUGUGCUUCAGAAUGAAUAAAUUCAGUUUAUUUAUUAGGUGGAUUGUUUUGAGAUUUACCCAACUUCUCAACAAUGCUUUUUAAGAAGCAUAUAAACCAAUAUAAAAUAUAACAAAAUUAAUUUAUAAUCAGAGCAUUAUUAAGGUGAUGGUUCAUCUAAGCAUAAUAAACAGCACAGAAUCAUAACACUACAAGCCUUGAUUAUUAGCAUUUCAGUAUCAUGUCAAAUGAAAGUUUUACCUUCCUUUGAAAUAACAACCGCAAGCUAACAAGAUGAGCCUAUCUGAACAGAGUCCUAAAGGUACGGAGCCACCAUUAAGAAGACUCUGCUUUCAUAUCGAACCAGAACCCUCAGCCAACCCUCUGAAAUUAUCUUAGAUCACAAAGGAGUGGAUGGGGAGAGAAACGUGGUGAAGGCAUUCCUUCAGAUAACCAAAGCCCAGAUCAUAUUGAGAUUUUAAAGCCAUAGUCAGUAUUUUGAAUUGUACCCAGACACUAACCGGUUACAACAGGUGUAACUGGGGAAAAGCUUCUCUGCACCAUUUGCAUACCAAACAUUAAGCCAAGUUUAUCAGCACUCCUAGGCAGCAAACCUGCUCCUUUAGGGAUGUGUGAUCCCACCUGGAGCAGCACAUUAACUUACUCCGAAACUGAUUGGCCCACCUACAAUCAGCACUCAUCCAGACCACUGCUAAUUCUAGAUAACUGUUCACAGAUUUCUCUGCUUUGCUUGUUGUCUACAAAAAGUCAAAACAUAAGUAGCAGAAGAUGUGCGGUAAUUUUACUGAACACUGUGUAUUGAAAACAUACUGAUCUUUAUUUCAGCUGAGCGCUGACCAUUUCGGAUACCUGUGGCUAUGUGAGCUAACAGGAACAUGAUAAUGGUUUCACACCAAGAUGCAAAAUAUCUGCUAACAUUAAAUAAGAUAUUUUAGAGGAGAAAACCAAUCUCCAUGUCUGGCAUGGUGCCACGUCCUUCAGUCUGAAUGUCUAUGGGACAUAUGUACAGAAUGCAUCUUCCCCCAAGCCUGCCUUUUGAGAUCAUCUUUGAUGAAUUUUCUACUACAGGUGUUUACAGAUGGAAAAAUGCACCAGAAGUCACUUUGUUGAUUUGGAUAGGGGGCUGCUUCAUUUCAGAAAAGACGCUGUUUGCUUCAGAUCCAAGGUUAAACCUCAAUUUGAUUCAGUUUUUGAAUCUUUGGGUGUCUCCCAGUUGAUAGUGAUUGGGAACUGGCUAUAAUCUUCCUUUAAAUGGCUUAAUUCGCUGAGAGGGAAGAAUGGACCCAAAAUUAGACAUAUGGCAGUAUGGUUUGAGGGUGUCUGAAAAUAAUCUUUAAAGUUUAAACUAUUUUUAAGGAGAUGCCGAUAACUUGUUUAUUUUUUUAGUGGAAACGGGAGGAAAUUGCAGACAUAGUAGUCCUUUCUGAGUGGGUGAAGCCAAUCCAAUUUCAGAAAAGUAAGUACAGAUUUCUUUUCUGAAAAGAGAUUUCAAAUGUUAAGGCUUUUUAUUUGUUUAGGGAAUAGACUAACUUUUUUAAAAAAUAUUUUUUGUUGAACUGGAUUACAUUUGCAAGUAUAGCAGACCCUUUGGAGGAAAUGAAGCAUGUCAAAUUUAGGAGUGAUAGGUGCAUUUCAAGUUGAUCUGAGGGAGCGAACUUACCUUGUUACGCUUAUCUUUACACAUAAACUGCCUUGGGGACAACAGAAGCUUUGCCAGGCAAUUGAUGAAUGGCACUUUAUUGAAAAAUAAAAGUAUAUACUAAUGUGGUGCCUGUGCACACUAUAAUACCAUGACUGUGUUUUUGUGCACAUGGAAUCGAGAGAGAGAUACACUAAACAAGGAACACAGGCAAAGAAUCAAACUGAUAUUAUACAAUUACUCAGAGGCACACAGGCAUACAAAUAUUUAACUUAAAUAAAAUGCAAGCAGAGCCAGAACGUGUGUGUGUGUGUGUGUGUAGGAAAGUCAGUUACCUAACAGUUUAUUCAGAAGAGACACAAAGGGAUUGACUUUUAUGAAAGAAUGUGGGCUGUGAUCUGCUAACCCCUCCCAUCAGUGCAAGGAUUUCUGCUUGUUCAACAAGACUUCCCUCCCCGCACCCUCCCCAAUUGUGCUCCAGAGGGUUGAAGGAACCCCCUGAACAGAUUUUUGGGGGGUGUAGGGUAAGGAAAGGGGGAGAAUAAGAUCACACAGGGAAAGCAGCCAGCACUGGCUUCAGAAUUCUUUUAGUGCUACUGUCCCUGAGAAAAUCAACUUGCAGCUUGCAACAGAGUACUGAAAACAGCAGAGCAGCUUUUGACAUCUUGCUUCAACAUUGCUCCCAAAGUCCUAUGAUUGGAGAACCCUUGUAAAGUCAUUCCCUGGUUGGAAGCUGUCAGUGCAUGGAAACUGCAAGCCCUUCCUCCCCACCCCUCCAGCACUCUCCUUCUCUCAUAGGCAACUGAAAACAAUUUCAGCUAUCAAAUACUCUGCUCUUAGAGCAGGCAGUACUUGAGAAGUCUCAGGAUUCUGCCAUAUCCAGAACUUGAAGUCUACUCAGAUGAAGAGCAAGGGGAGCAGGGCUCUCCAGCAGAUUUCCACAGUGCCAGUGACUCUGAGGAGCAACCAGACCUUGCUAUCUCUGCCAUAGGUCUUCAGGUUCCCACACCAGAUACCUGGCUUCCUAGUCAGCUCUCAGACUGCCCUGUCUUCUCCAAGGCCAGAGAAGCAAAGGAGAUGUCGAGCCAGGCCAAAGUGCCCAGCUAGCUGCACGUGAGGCUAUGAGUCAGGGGGAGUCCAUGGAAACGCUUGUCCAGAUCAGGGCCUGACUGAGAGCUAGGGAGUGAGGCUCCAGCCCCUGUGUAAACGGUCAGUCUGAGCUGCUUCACUGCUGAAACAACCACUCUCCUCCUUCCUGGCUCAGGAAAAUAGGUAGCUAGAGGGGCAAAUGGUUUGAUGCAACUUCAUUAUCAAAGGCAGUCUCAGUAAGAGCUAAGCGAUGGCUAGUGCACCCCACAAUAGUUGCUGGGCAGUCUUAUGAAAAGGCUAAUAAUAACAACCUUAAUGAGCCUUGAAGCGAGACAGUUCUAUUACCCUUUGCAAAAUGCACAGCUUUCAGUCCAUUUGGGGAACCUUUGAGAAAGUACAUCACCACUAUUAUUUCUAACUUCAAUCCUAGUCAGAUACAUUAUAUGCAUGCUUCUAUGGAUGAAAUUCAAAAGAAGUUACAAGUAUUCUUGACAGUUGACAGUGUCUAUGAAAAUCAUCCUUAUAACUAAAAGAGGCAAAUAUGGAUUUAUUUAAUUAGAAAAAAAAAUCUCUGGAUGUGAAGAAUAAUGUUUCAAAGAGAUACUUAAUAUAAGCAGAAAUGACUUUUCCUUCAUGGAAAAUUAAGUUUUUUCCCCCUUUCUAUUAGCAUUUCAAUUGAAAACAUUUCCACUCAUUUCCUUCUUAAUGGAAGUAUAUAAAUAGCAAUAGCCAUUAAGUACUGCAUUUUUCGAAAAGAUUUUUUUUUUUUACAUUAAGAGCCUUAAUAAAGUCUCAGAGGAGCAGCACAAACAGUGUACAAAUGAAACAACUAAUUUCAAUCUCAUUUAAUAUAUAUUGAUUUUGUAAGGAUUUGUUUUUAUACCUGUUUUAAGCCUUUAGCGUAGUUUUCCAGGUGGUGGUCGCCUUAAAUAAUAAUAAAAAAAUCCAGAGAGGAUUACAAUUUCAUAUGCACAUCUGCAUUAGGAGGAUUUUCCAAAAGGCUUAAAGUUUGGAACAUUAUGAGCAAUCAGGAGACUUUGAAUUCACUGAGACACCUUUGAAAAUGUUGUUCCAUAGAAUAGGUCUCUAUAGGAGAGUUCCAUUCUGGAACUAAAUGUUUCAAAUUUCUGCUAGAAAUGCUCUUCUCACAAAAGUUAAUUGUGAAAUCUUCUAUGGCUUAGUUUGUGCUUUCCAGCCUCAGGAGCCUGUUCCCGAGUUGUUGUGAAUGACUAGAACACAGAAGCUGGGGAAAAUGAAAUGGUAACAACAGUGUGGAAGAAAAUAUAUAUAUUCUGGUAGUAACUUUGGCUCACUUCGCCUCACAAUCUUAUUCCGAUCAGGUCCUGAAGUCACUUCCCUAAUAACUUGGUUGUUCUGGGGAAGCAGAGCUACUUCAUCAUCAACUGGUCUGUCUUGUGUUAUAGCUGUGACCACACUGAGUGACAUAUAGGAAGCUCUUUAUAAGUGGGGUAACGAAUAAAUGUACUUGGCCGGCUCCCAACCAGUCUCAGAGAGAACUUUUGACUAACUGAACACAAGGCUUCUUAUAAGACUCCUGGGCUGAUUAAGGAUGCCCCUUUGUCAAUGGCAUGUUGUCACUUCCAGCCAAGCCUGAAGACAACCCGUUGGCCAGUUCUCCAACUGCACUUCCCAUGUAGUGUGAUCUGAACUGUGGGUGACGCGAGCUCUCUCUUUUGCUGCUGGCCUAAGCAAUAGGCUAGUAGCCCUCUCCAGCAUGGUCAAACUAAGAUCACAUAUUACACAUGGAGAACAAAAUGAUCACAUUAUAUUUGGUGCCAGUGAAAGUAAGAAGACUGAUUAUGAAUGAAUGGCAUAUAGAAAGAACAGUUUCUGGCUUCUAGCAAAACAUUUUGCUUCUGGACUCACGAACAAUAGAGAGAGGAUAUUUAUUUUAGAUACACAGUGAGGGGGGGGGGAGAGAGAAUAUCUGCUCCUUCUUUAUAACUUACAUCUUUGACAAAUAGCUGCUCAAGAAAAAAAAGGUGUGAGAAAAAUGGCCAUAAAAGGAGGGAAAGGGUAUGCCUGAAAUACUGGAAGAAGUCCCAAGAUGCUGAGUGGAAUUUUUAUUUAAUAAAACACCAAUGUUAGAACAACAUAUUUAUCAGUUCAGAUGGGGGGAAAUGUCUAAAUGCACUACAGGGAGAAAAAGGGAAAAUAAUGGGAAAUCAAGUUAACCACCUUUUAUGUGAAAGAAAAGUAUAAUCAGACUAUUUCUGCAAUGAAUCUGUGCUACUCUAAAGCCAUCUGUACUAUCAUUCACACACACACACACACACACACAGAGAGAGAGAGAGAGAGAGAGUACAAAAGAUAGAAAGAAAAACCCUGUUUUGCUUUACUUUUAUUCGGUUCAGUAGUGCUGGCAUCCUCCAAAGACGAACAUACAGCAUUGAUAAAUUAUUUCUUCUCGUCAUGUUAUCCCUUUGCCAAGCUAUCUUCUUGCCCUUGACCUCUCCAAGGUCUUUGGUUGGGUGACCCUUCGUACGUGUUCUGCAGGAGGCAUUCAACCCAGUAGGUUACAACCAAGCACCCCAUGCUUAAGUUUUGUCACUCUAGUUCUGAGAGUCCAGGAACUUUAAUGAGGAUGAUACAGAUAUAUUACUGUGCGUAUGCAAAAACACACAGACAUACCUACACUGUGGUGCUGCAUUGGAAAGGAAGAUUGGUAGGGAUGGGCAAGCUUUGUUUCAGGGACAUUACCCUACCAUUACUGAAGUUUUCGUAAGUUUUCAAGGAGCCUGAGGUUUUGCCCAGAACAAAGUCUGAAAAAUGUUAUCAACAGAGGUCAAUAGUCAUCCUUGUUUUUCUCUUUUUAGAAAGUAAGUAGAUCUGUGCCUUUGGUAUGCCUAAACCAAUUUAUAGAUCCAUUGAAUUAAUUGUUCAGAGUUACGCAAUGUAGAACAAGUGAGUUAAACAGAGAUAUGGGUGUUCCUAAGUAAUAAUCAUACGCCGUAUGGUCUAUAAAGAUGGCAGCACAAUCUCCACCCCCACUUUUUCUAAGUGGCAUCUCGGAUAUGCAAGAUACCUAGGAGCUUGCUGCAAGCUUCAAUUUCUUCCCUCUAAAGAGUCAUUGAGUAAUUUCCCAAAGAUUAAGACAAACUCAGGGCUAUUGCAAGGAGGGUCUGAUUUAGAAUUGAUUUAACACCAUGUGUACUGAAACUGUAGAUGUGCUCCUUCAUACACAUCUACAGUUUCAAUACAUCUCCAAUCUCUUUCACAGCACAAUCCUAAAUGUACAGGUCUUCCACAAGUCUCAUUGUAUUCUAUGGAGCUCCCCCCCCACCAGGUGAAUGUGUAUAGCAGGGAUGGGGAACCUGUAACCCUUCAGAUGUUGUUGGGCUCCGUUCCUACCAGCCCCAGCCAGUAAGGCCAAUGGUUAGGGAUCAAGGGAGAUGGAGCCCAACAACAUCUGUAAAACCACAGGUGUCCCUCCCCCCAGGUGUCUAGGAUUAUAGCCUGAAUUUCUUCUAAAAGCAUGCGCAGGAAGCCCUGAAUUGGUUUGGAGCACUAGAAUCGGGGGGGGGGCACAUGUUCUUUCUCUCACUAUCUUUAUCUAUAUAUGAAAUAUACGGCUCUUUAUCUUGAUAUGAAAUUUAUACACCGCAGUUCAAAGGCCGAUCUGCCAAUCAUCUAAAACAAGAAUACGGUAGAAACAUACCGCAUAAUAUAAAGGUAAUGGUUCCUUUCCCCUGUUAUACUGUGAUCCAGUUCACUCUUACCCAUUCCCCACUGAAUACAGUAGAACACACUUUUGAUCUGAAGGAAUAUGAAUUGGACUGCAUGCCACUUUUAAAGCAUUUUGAAGUAUGGAGUUUCAUAACAAUAAUGAAUGAAUGAAUGCUCUAAAUGUAUUUAUUGUAUUUAUUGUAUUUUUAUUCAGUAUUUUUCUCUAAAGAGGCCAGAAAAGCGCACACUAUUCUCUCCUCUGCCUUUCACCUUCACAAUAAUAAGCAGGUUUUGCCGAGAGAUCAGUGGCGGCUCAUAACAUUUUGACUUGGCAGGGCUGCAAUUUUUAACCUUGCUGUUUUUGUCACGUGUACAGCACUUGUUUAGGAAACUGCGUCAUUACACAUGUAAUGUCCCCUUCUUUUUCAAAAAGGAAAAAAAAAGUCAGUUAUUCUCUGUACAUCUAUGGAUAAGGGGAAAGCUCUUUUUCUGCUUAGAGACACAUGGGCGGGACCUUUUUGCUACAGCUGUAUUUUGGGAUUUGGAUUGGCAGAGUGGCGCAGAGAGCUGAUUGGUCAGAGAACAGGAGAUUGAUAUAAAUGUCUCUGUAAUUCAAAGGAACUAUAAAAUGUUUGGUGUGAAAGAGUGUACAGUGGUGCCUCGCAAGACGAAAUUAAUUCGUUCCGCGAGUUUUGUCGUCUUGCGAUUUUUUUCGUCUUGCGAAGCACGGUGUCGGGAAAGUUUUGGAAAAGCUUCAAAUAUCACCAAAGUCUUUAAAAACCUCAAAAAAGGCUACCACACCGCGUUCUAUGAGUUGCUCCUCGAAGUCAAGUCGCAACUGUAUUAACGGUGUUAAGAAAAAGGAAACAAACUUGCAAGAUGUUUCCGUCUUGCGAAGCAAGCCCAUAGGGAAAAUCGUCUUGCAAGGCAGCUCAAAAAACAAAAAACCCUUUCGUCUAGCGAGUUUUUUGUCUUGCGAGGCAUUCGUCUUUCGAGGUACCACUGUAUGGCUUUGAGAUUUGGGGGAAGAUCUCCCCCCCUCCAAAAAAAAAUAUGUUUGAGAUUUUCUGUGGGAAGGCUGUGUUCCAGUGGAACAGUCUUUACUGUGAGAAAUACUGUGAAUUUCACUGGCCCAAAUCCACACAGUGAGAUUCAGGGCUGAGUAAGAUUUGGAACAAGGUAUACCUGAUCAUCGUGCCACUAGCAGUCACCUCGGCGCUUUAUGUGACAAUAAUAAUUGCAUUAAUAUCUAAAGCUGAGGAUAGAUGUAUUCCUAAGAGCAAUACUGGAUCCAUUAGACUUAGUAGAAAAACAGGAUAGAAAUAAUUAAAUGUGUCCCAUCUUAUGCUGAUGUUGUGGUAUGUUGGUUUGUAACUGCAAAGUAUAGCUUGAGUAGCUUUGGUGAGAUAUAUGGCACACAUGUACAGGAAGGAAAAUGAUAGGUAGUUGUAACAAAAUAUUUCCAAAAGGCUGAGUAUCAUUCAGCAAUCCCAGGACUGUGAACGCAGCUACAUUAGUAAAAAUAAAACGUUAUGAAUGUGUUAUAACACUGUGACACCAGAUGGCAAUGUAGAGCUGAAAUCGGAACUCUAUGAAAUUUUCCAUAGUGAGCUUUAAAAUGUUUUUUUCCAGAGCAUUUUCACAGUGUUUUUAUAACCGUGUAGAUGCAGCCUGUGUGCAACUAAAAAUUAUGUACGUUCAGACGAAUAUUUUCCCAUCUUUUAUGAAGUGAUUGCCCCUCUUUUCCCCCUCCCUCCUUCUGCCAUGAUUUAUUUCCCUCAUAUUCUCCACCUACUCUUAAAAGAAAAAGGAAUAGAUAAAACUAAAAACUGCAGGUGUGCUCCCAAGCCAUGUGUCCUCCAUGAUUAGCACACCUUAGGAUUUACACACCCUGGCAUGGGGCAGGUGGCGUCUCAGCCCAGACCACGUUAUUAUGCACGACUGCAUGGAGAACAACCAAGAGAGAAGGUGGUUUGUAAGAAGGUGAGAGGUGUCAGGAAAAUCAAUAAAUGCUCUAUGUGACGGCCUGUAAAACCAGCAUAACCUAUUAAAACACUGCAAGUUAGGGCAGCCCUAGGCACCAAUAACUCAUGCUUGGCAGACUAUGAACUUCUAUGUCUCCGAUUAUAACCUUUGUCAGCAGCCUCAGGAAUGCACAGGGAGCCAUUUAUACCUGGCAAAACGGACUAUUUGGAGAGUGAACAGAGGUCAGCACUCUUUAUGGGAAACCAGGUUGUGUUCAGGGGUAUUCUGUAACCCUUUAUAAGCAUUUAACUGUGUCCCUUGCCACCUGCCUCCACCCAUUCUUCACAACUGCUAUAUUUUCUAAUACAUCGUAUAAACAUUUCCCCUUAUUCUUGCAUGUGCUUCAUUUCCUUGUGUAUAUAAUAUAUUUAGACUUAGACACAUGAACCCAUAAAAUCAAUGCUUUGCAUAUCCCUUUCGAUCUUCCCACUCCCUAUUUUUUCAUUUCAGAUUUCUGUUUUCUCUCAUUUUCUUUAUCUCUUCGCCCUCAGAAGUACUGCUUUCAUGCUAUUCCCCUUCCUCCUUCUACUCUGACAAAAGGAGAUUAGAACUGCUGUAAACAUUACACAGAAUGAGCAGGUACAGCAAGGAGGCUGGUGUGACAAGUCUCGGCUGUACUACUUUAGAUUGUCUUAUUGUUGAAUGCUCCCCAUGCCUUGCUUUGUUUUAGGGAACAAUCCCAUACAAGCAAGACGGUGUGAGUUAAGCUGCCAUAACGUACACCAGAUCCAAACACUGUUCAGCAGCACUGAGCUGGCCUAAGCCUGGAAGUGUUGAGUGGGGAGAAAGUUUCUAAAAUAGUGUUUCAUCUACGCAGCCCUUUUUGCUGGGCUGGUCACAUGACUAGGUUGAACAGUCUUAGGAUCAAUCUUAAUUUGCCCCAUCUCUGCCCACCCCCCACCAACUCCAGUAUGUUCCUUUAUCUGGUCUUACUCUGGCUUAAAAUCCCUGGGUUCAGUGAGCCAAGAAGGGGGAGAUACAUGGGCAUAUAUCCAUCUGAAGGUGACAUAGGCAAGUUUCACGAGGAGCGUGCUAGAUCAUCCAGGCAUCCACGAUAUCCCAACCUGCUCAUCCCAGAAGAUCCUGCUAUAGAAUUGCUCUCUUAAACACUCUCUGUGUGACAAACUAGCACACAAGAUUAGUCGGUCCUAGCUCCUGCCAACCUAGCAGUUCGAAAGCACACCAAAAAGUGCAAGUAGAUAAAUAGGUACCACUCAGGCGGGAAGGUAAACGGCAUUUCCAUGCACUGCUCUGGUUCGCUAGAAGCGGCUUAGUCAUGCUGGUCACAUGACCCAGAAAAAUUGUCUGCGGACAAACAUCGGCUCCCUCAGCCAGUAAAGCGAGAUGAGUGCUGCAACCCCAGACUGUCAGGGGUCCUUUACCUUUACCUUUUUAGGUGGCUUAACAUAGCCAUCUCCCCAAUGUGAUAUGCUAAGGUCUGUUGAAAAUUCUAUUGGAAAUGGAAAUGGGUCCAGAAAUUGCCCCAAUCCCUGCCAGGAACAGAAACAUGGGUGCGAGCAGAAUUCACUAUUAUUAGUCUUUUUUGUCCACAAAUGUUGUAUUACUAAUUGCAUUAUUUUCUGCUUUGUUUUUUAUGUUUUCCUUCCAUGGAAAUACAUUACACAAUUCAUUACAUAAUUAAUUCAGCCAUGGCGGAUAGUAAGACAAAUAACCUAGCUUUUAGUGGAAACCAAACUGUAGCAGAACAGAGACAUAAAGGGAAAAGUGGCAACAUCACCCUCCAUCCUUGUGAUAACAAUUAUUUUCUGCAAUGUGACACUACAAUAGUGUAGUCCUGCACCCCAAACUCCGAGUGGUGUGAGAUUCCUGGAGUUCCAAGCUCUUACCCAGGGUUCGUGUUUCCUUUUAGAAAUGAGGCACAGCAGAGACUGUGGUGUCUUCAUAAUAUAUGGUUUAUUUCCACAUAUAUACAAUCUGAGUCUAUCAUGGAGGGUCUUGUUACUCCCACAGCCACAGCCUUGGAUUCAAACAGAAAUCAGCUAUGGCUCUCUCUAAGACUUUACCUGUACUCUAUAAAGGAUCGGGAGAAGACCCCAAAUAUCUCUCUACUUUUCAUUUAGGUCACAGGACUAUGGGACUUACAUCUGAGUAGACACAUAUAGAAUUGCGUCCUUGGAAUGCAAUUAAAAUGGAUUCAGUAUAUAUAAACAAAUGCAUUUUCUCAUUUGGAACCUUCUGCAUUUUGUUCCUUUUAAUCUUUUCUGCUUGUUAAUUUCUUUCUUUCUUUAAUGUUCUUCAUGAUAGCAUUAGGGAUCCUUUUACAAGGAAAUACAUUUGACCCAGGUUAAGUAAUAAUGGAGCUCAGUGUUCUUCAUAACUUUUUAAUAUCAGUUAUUCUGUAAUCAAUUUAAUUUUAAUGACUGAAGUUACAGUUACAUAAACUUAAGGCAAUAAUAUGAUUAGCUGAAAUUUUAAGUAAAUUACCCAGACAUUUGCAACCGCAAGACAGCUGUGAAAUAAGUUGAUUUAACUAAUUCAGAUGAUUUAGCUCAUCAGCCAUUUGAAUAUUUGCAGGGAACUAAAAUCUGUUUAUAAAAACAGUAUGAAGCUUCGCCCCACCCUUCUUCAAGAUGUUAGAAUGAGAAGAGAAAACCUUCUGCUCCUAUCCAUUCUCCAGGGCAGCCAGAUGCUUCUGUCCCUAAUAGUUGUACACUAGAUGGAAAUUCGGCAGGUGCAGCUCUCAUGCAAGCUACACCUGCUCAAGUUCCAUCUUCUGCACAACUAUUAAAGGGGCAGGAGCCCUGUUGUCUUUUUCAUCUGGGCACCCCUAAAUUCCGAUGGUCUCUUACAAACCAUUUGCUCUAACAUCAGAUGCUUUUGCCUGCUCAGGUAAGAUCAGUUGUUGCUAGAGCAAAUUGAUCCAAGUCUCUUUUUAAACACACAAACAAACAAAUUAGAGAACACCUGAAGAGGCUAGGCUGGUGUAAAAGGGCACCUGAUACUCUUACCUGCCCCUCUGUUUCCAAGUGAGCAUGGGGCAGUAAGCCAAGUAAUUCUACAUUGCCUAUAAUUCAGAAUGCUGAUGGCUAGGAGCUCAUUCACCUCCUUUAAAUUUUGCAGGACUUAAUCCAUGCAAUGGAAUAUUUGAACUGAGAAAGGUCCUCAUUAAAUCUGGCAAUUAUUUUCUGCUUCAUCAGUCAAUUAGUUGCCCGUUUUUAUUUUAUUUUUUGAUAUCUGUUAACUGGGCAGGACAUGCAGAGAUUUCUGGGUCCAGGAAUAGAGUUCAAAGUGAGUUCACAGAGUCCAUACAUUUCAAUGGUCCUGGGGGACAAAAGGUGCCAUCCAAUGGCAUCAGCACACUUGUACGUUUCCUGAACCCAUGGGAUGCUACAUGGUGUCCGAAGUGGACCUGCAGCUUCAGUGAGCCAAAAAUAUUUCUAGCAAAGUGUUUGCUGGAAGCUGCAAAAUGAAUUUCUUCAAGCCAUCUGAGAUGAGGGUGACAGGAGAUUUGAGAGAGGGCAGGAUGGAGUGGGAGCAAAAUCUUCUUCUGUACUUCGCUAUAUCCAGAGCAAACAACAAUCUUCUGUAUCCAGAAGAUUAUAGGGUUGCAAUUAUUUUGCACUACAUUGGUGAGAAGGCACUAGAUACCCACAACAACAUGCAAAAUGUGUGUGCAGUUCCAACCAAAAAACAAACAAACAAAAAACCCUUGCUAGAAGCCUUCAAAGAUUUCAGACAGUAUUGUGAGCCUAAGAAACACCCAGUGUUUAAAUGCUGUCAGUUUUAGCAAGUCAGAAUAGCAGACAGGAAUUGUUACCUGGGCGAGAGUAAGGAUCCAGCUAGUUCCCAGUUAUCUAAGGAGGAAGCUACAUCCAGUGAGGGAAUGUCACACACGCCACAACAAACAUAUGGUGUCAUAAAAUGGAGACAGUCAGUUUGAAUCAUAGAAUCAUAGAAUCAUAGAGUUGGAAGAGACUAGUUUGUUUCAAUACAAAUGCAUACAAGAAUAAUGAAGUGAAAAAACGUACAAGCAUAAUUAUCACUUAAAAAAAAAAGAACACACACAUAGCAACUCCACCCGACGAUCUCAGAUGCAUUUUCUGUUGACUUUUAAGUUAUGUGUAAUGUUGUCUUUCUAUAUUUUAACUUAGUAAUAGUUGUGAAUAACCCUAUUUUACACUUGUUUAGUGUGUCAGGAACAUUAUUAACUUGCUGACAAAGGAACAUUGCACACAGUUCCUUCUAAUUAUUUAAUCUAUUCCCAAGUCAUGAAACAAGAAAUCUCACCUAUUCCUUACAUAAUUGGAAUGCUGAAAUAUUGUAGGAAUCAUUUGGGGAGGUCAGAUAUGUAUACAUAGCUGAAGUUUUUGAUUCCUCGCAGAAGAAAUGCAUGUUGCAAAAGGAAAGAGUAGUCAGUCAUUCAGGUAACUUCUCCCUUAGUCUCCUCCUGGUUUGAAGCUUUUUUAAAAAUAUGUGGCAGUCAGUUUGUGAGGAGAUUCAGAUCAACCAUGUUGUUUGGUCCACCAUGACCUAACAUGGUAGUGGUCAGGGAUGAGCAGACGGCUUAUGAAGAAGAGGACUUUCUGUUUUGAACUUUUUGCUCCUCUGGUUUUGGCAUCAGUUUAAAAGGUGACAAAUGGAGGGGUGCACUUAGAACUCAUCUAAGAGCCAGUGUGGUGUGGUUAAGAGCAGUGGACUCGUAAUCUGGUGAACUGGGUUCACUUCCCUGCUCCUCCACAUGCAGCUGCUGGGUGACCUUGGGCCAGUCACGCUUCUCUGAAGUCUCUCAGCCUCACUCACCUCACAGAGUGUUGUUUGUUGUGGGGGAGAAAGGGAAAGUAGAUGGAUAGCUGCUUUGAGACUCCUUAAGGGAGUGAAAGGCGGGAUAUCAAGUCCAAACUCUUCUUCUUCAUCAUCUACACUCAAGCUUUUAAAUGCUAAAAAUGAGUUUUAAAAAGGAGUUUAUGAUAAUCAUAGCCAUGUGACAUUCUUUUAAAACGUUCUUAAUGUGUUACUAAAAAGUGACACCAUGCCAGAGGGUGCGACAGAGCUCUCUCCCUGUCAAAUAAGUGGGUAGGCAUUGUAGGAAAGGAAGCGAAAGAGAAAUCAAAUGCGUUUACAUUUUAGAAUGGUAUCAAAAACAUCGUUCUAAGGACGUUUAAAGAGUGAGUAUAGAUCUAGCCUGAGUUGACCUAGUCAGACUAGCCAUCUAGCUCAUGCCCGACUGGAGCACAUCAGCUGGUGAAAAAAAUCAUGUUAAGCCCAGUGAUGAGCACCCAAACUCCUUCUUCAUCCCUUCAUUCACCAGCCAAAAGUAAACAAGAAACCAGGAAGCAGUAAUUCUAGCAGCACUUUUCUUCUUUGGCAUUUUAAGGGUGGUUUGCCCAGGAUAUCAUACUUUUUAAGUUCAGGGAUGCGGGUGGCGCUGUGGGUAAAACCUCAGCGCCUAGAACUUGCCGAUCGUAUGGUCGGCAGUUCGAUUCCCCGCGGCGGGGUGAGCUCCCAUCGUUCGGUCCCAGCUCCUGCCCACCUAGCAGUUCGAAAGCACCCUUAAGUGCAAGUAGAUAAAUAGGUACAGCUUUAUAGCGUGCUACGCUGGUGCUGGCUCGCCAGAGCAGCUUCAUCACGCUGGCCAUGUGACCCGGAAGUGUCUUCGGACAGCGCUGGCCCCCGGCCUCUUAAGCGAGAUGGGCGCGCAACCCCAGAGUCGGACAUAACUGGUCCGUACGGGCAGGGGUACCUUUACCUUUACCUUUAAGUUUUAAGAAGAGCAGAUUUCCUGCACAUUCCAGGGAGAUCUGAUUAUUAAUAAAAAUGACCCUAAUUUACUCCAACUACUGUUUGAUCUAUUUCCCACCUCCAUCCACAAAGCAAGAGCCAACAAGCAUUUUGGAUUAUGCUUACUGACUAUGCGGCCAUCACAACCUGCUUACAUACAGUACCUUCCAACAUGCUUCCUAGAUUUCCAACACUUCAAAGAUGAAAACAAGGUCAUACCUGUGAGCUUUAUUCUUACAGUAUGGAUUACUGUCUAACCCCCCUCCCUAUUGAAAGUUAUCCUCUGCCAGCUAACUAUAGCCUAUUUGACAAGCAUCAUUUGGCAAUUUAAAUUCCGCCUCACUAGCUGUUGUUGUUGUUUAGUCGUUUAGUCGUGUCCGACUCUUCAUGACCCCAUGGUCCAGAGCACACCAGGCACUCCUGUCUUCCACUGCCUCCCGCAGUUUGGUCAAACUCACGUUGGUAGCUUCGAGAACACUGUCCAACCAUCUUGUCUUCUGUCGUCCCCUUCUCCUUCUGCCCUCCAUCUUUCCCAACAUCAGGGUCUUUUCCAGGGAGCCUUCUCUUCUCAUGAGGGGGGCAAAGUAUUGGAGUCUCAGCUUCAGGAUCUGUCCUUCCAGUGAGCACUCAGGGCUGAUUUCCUUCAGAAUGGAGAGGUUGGAUCUUCUUGCAGUCCAUGGGACUCUCCAGAGUCUCCUCCAGCACCAUAAUUCAAAAGCAUCAAUUCUUAGGUGAUCAGCCUUCUUUAUGGUCCAGCUUUCACUUCCAUACAUCACUACUGGGAAAAUCAUAACUUUAACUAUACGGACCUUUGUCAGCAAGGUGAUGUCUCUGCUUUUUAAGAUGCUGUCUAGGUUUGUCAUCGCUUUUCUCCCAAGAAGCAGGCAUUUUUUAACUUUGUGACUGCUGUCACCAUCUGCAGUGAUCAUGGAACCCAAGAAAGUAAAAUCUCUCACUGCAUCCAUUUCUUUCCCUUCUAUUUGCCAGGAGGUGAUGGGACCAGUGGCCAUGAUAUUUGUUUUUUGAUGCUGAGCUUCAGACCAGGAUAUGAAAGAGUAGAAUGUACGCUAUAUGGUGCAUUAGUUGUGUGCAUAUGAAUUUACAUGCAUGCACCUCCUCAUAUUCAGAAACUGAAUUUCUGUAGAGCAAGGGUCAGGGGGUCUUAAAACUGGAAGAAUGGCAACUGUAGGGACCUGCAUCCAUUUUUUUAAGCAAUUGGCUUUUAAAAAAGAAAGGAGUCAUGGCUCAGAGGUAAAACACCCGCUUUUCAUGUGAAGGUGACAAGCACAAUCUUUGGCAUCUCCUGUUAAAAGGAUCAGUUAAUGCAAAAGGCCUUCUUGCCUGAAGCACUGGAUAUCUGCUGCCAGUCAAAACAGACAAAUAAUCUAACCUGGUAAUGCUGUUUCCUAUUUGCAGUAAAAUCAAAAUAGGCUAUAUAUGGUGGUGCUUUUUCAGGGAUGAGUAUCAAAAACAGUAGGAAUGAGGGAGAAUUUGGUUUGGCUCACAUUUUAAUGUGGAUCUACCUAAUUCACACUUCCUGUGAACCAAAACAAAAUGCUUAUAUUGGGGGAAGACUUGAGUGCAUGAAAUAAGGCCAUCUGUGCACAUUUUACUCAUAGUACUGUACCUUAAUAAUAGUAAGAAUUACAUACAAAAAUACCGUAUUUUUCACCCCAUAGGACGCACCGCCCCAUAGGACGCACCUAGUUUUUUUGGGGGGGGAAUAAAGAAAAAAAAAUUAUUUCCCCCCCCAGGCAUGGGGCUGGCACGGGGGAAGCCUGAGCUUCCCCCGACCCCAGCCCCGAGAACAGCCUGCUAUCCGCAAGCCUAGGGAGCCCGGCGAGAAGUCGCGCCGGUCUCCCCAGGCUUGCAGAGAGCUGCGCGAAGCCCGGGCGCGCUCUUCAGCGCGCCCCAGGCUUCAGAAUGCAGGCAGCUCUGCGCAACCCUCGGGAGACCGGCGCGACAUAAACACAAAUGAAAGUAUGCACAUCUUACUGGGUUGCCCCAGUCACUCUGGGCAGCUACCAACAGAUAUAAAAGCAUAAUAAAACAUUAAACAUUUUUAAAACAUUCCACUAUCAAAGCUACAGUGGCGAGGUAGAAAUUUGGGGAUGCAGAUGAAGAAAAACAUUAUAUGCUAGAUCAGUGUUACCAACUCUUUGGGACUCGUGGGCACAAGUGAAAAUGGAAAAGAAUGUCAUGGGCAGCACCUAUUCUUGUGGCAUACCCAGAGUCUUCCAGAGUACCAUUGCACCCGGGGCACCACAGUGAUGAUCUCAGAGCUAGGUCCACCAGUCCCAGACUGAGCCAGCCCCACAAAUUCCCAAGUUCUAGCUCUUUGUUCCCCAUUUUUUCCAAUUUGUCAGAGUUCAUAAGUUCAGUCUAUGCUACAUUCUGAGUGCAGUUCCAUUUUUAAUUAUAAUUAUUUUUAAUUAAAAAUGUACAGUGACUUUGAAUGUUCUGUAAUAGUGUAUAUAUGCAGAAAUUAACAACAGAUUAGUUAUUAAUGUACUAGCUACAUGUCCAGUGCCUCCGUUUUUAUUUGUGUCAGAAAUAAAUAGAGAAUGGCCUGACUCUGACUCAACACCUGCAAUUUUUUUGUUCUGACUAAUAUGCUGUAUAUUUAUUACAUACAUUUCCAUCUGACCUUUCCCAUAACUUGAGGCAAUCUGCAAACAAGAUUCAACCAAGUAUACUUCAAGAUAAGCACAUGCUUACCUUUUCCAAUGAAAGCAGUGGGGCUUAACUUUAUCUGGCAGGUGCCCUGAUACACAGGUAAAAGCCCAAAAAGCCAUUCUCCAAAAGCAUUCUAUCAAAUCCAAAAAUACAAAACAGGUAUCUCAUAUUGGCAGUAAUAAAACCAAUAAACCAGCAGAUGAAAACAGACAGCAAUGCAGCCCUCUAACACAUCUUGGUCUUGUUUUAAUACAGUGGUACCUUGCGUUAAGAACUUAAUUCGUUCUGGAGGUCUGUUCUCAACCUGAAACUGUUCUUAACCUGAAGCACCACUUUAGCUAAUGGGGCCUCCCGCUGCCGUCACACGAUUUCUGUUCUCAUCCUGAGGUAAAGUUCUUAACCUGAGGUACUACCUCCGGGUUAGCGGAGUCUGUAACCCGAGGUAUUUGUAACCCGAGGUGUUUGUAACUCGAGGUACCACUGUAGAUGCAUUUUCUACUCAAGAGGAAACCCUGUGUGCACAUCAGAGUUGGACAGGAGCAUAGCUGUCAACUUUCAGAUUUGAAAAUAAGGGAUCAGCAGCCUCGAAAAUAAGAGAUCAGCAGCCUCACCUGUCCCGGGGACAGUCUAUGGGAUAUCUAACAAUCCGGGAUAGCAGCGGGAAGCAGUGGGAAACGGCGCUGGAAUAAGGGAAUUUCCCGCAAAAAAAAAGGGAAGGUUGACAGCUAUGCUUGGGAGGCCAAGGUUCAAACCUCUACUCAGCCAUAAAGCUCACUGGAUGGCAUUGGAACAAUGACUAUCUCAAGGGCUGGUUUGGUGUACGAGGCCUUGGGAGAGAGUAUGAGAUAAAAAUAUAAUUAAUAAUAAUCACAAGAAUGUUUGUGACCUCAGAAAUUCUGCUGCUGUAUAACUGGCGGGGGGGCAAUAUAUUUUUAAUGAGGAAAUACGGAAACAUAUAUAUUUAAAAAUGGCACACUAUUUGCAUGGUAUUGUCCCAUUCUUUUCGAGACAUAAAGAAUCACAAACUGCUCCCAGUCUACACACUGGUGUUGGCUCCUGGAUAAUUAGAGGCAUUCAUUUGCUGAACUUGUUGCAGCGGCAUCUAAUUUUGACUGUCCAAAAUAAGGAUAUAUUUGACAAUUAAUUGCAUUCUUAGAAGUAGUUUUACAAGCAAAAGUGAAUUCAUAUAAAUCAAAAGUAAAUCCAGGAUACAUUAACAGGUAGCUGAAGCGCUUCCUCUUAGUGUCCUGCAGUAGCUUUGGGCAGUUGGUAUAGCCUAAUUGGGAAAUAACUCUUAAUUUUAGGGUAAAUGUGUUGUUUAGUGUGCGGCCCCCGGUGAGCUUCUUCUGCCAAAACAGAUCUCCAGCCAUAAAAGAUAAAUGAAUCGCAGGCACAUGCUAAUUAAUUUGUCAUAUAUUUGUGCUAACAUUCUUCUGCAUAAAGCAAUAAGUCUUCAAGAGUCAAACUAGAAAAAAGAGACAAGGUCUUCAUUGUUUUGUUUCUUCUAAUUCAAGCCUCUUGGCGGGUUGCUGUUAUCCGUGGCCUUACACCAGCCAGGGCUGAUCUAGAUAAAGGAGACACUGAGCAACAGCUGCGUUUUGGCCAUUUCUGCCAGUCUUGCUAAUCCCUACUCAAACACAAUGGAUAAUCCCACAGUCCUCACACUCUGAAAAUGGCUAGUACAGUGGAACAUGGGGCCAAGUAGCUCCAGUAUUAUUUUUCCAGUAGGAAUGGUGACACCAUCUGCUGCUGCGUUGGUACUUGACAAUGUUGCAAGCCUGGGCUGGAGGGAAGGCACAGGAUGCCUCUGACUUAACAACAUGCUCGCCACUUGGCCACCCUUUGCCAACUCAUUAUUCUAUGACUGACUGUCAGCUGAUACAAAUGAAAUGGGUAUUCUGCUAUGUAUUACUGCAAUUUGGGAUCUAGUUGGCAAAUAUCUGUCUCGGGAGACAAUAGAGGAGUGCGCUUUUGGGGGUGAGGUCAAACUGUUGGAAGGUUGCAGCACCUGCUGUGGCUAUAGAGACAUGUUUUGUUGCAGCAGGGGCAGAUUAAGGUGCCUGUUUGUUUGUUUUUCCCUGCUGCAGGUACACUAUGGUGUUUCUUCUCUCUGUGCUCUUCUCAGCAGUCAUUCCUCCUCUGGUCACUGCUAUGGACACACAACUUGAUAUAUAUUCAUAUAAUGGAUCCAUACAUCUGCCAGCAUUGCUGGAUUUUUGAGGGCAGACUAUAGACUCUCUUUAGAGAUGUGACCAAGAGCUCCUGCACUUCAGACUUUGGCCACUGUCUCACUCCCGGAGCCCUGCUGUCUAUUACUGGACAGCAGUACUAGACAGCAGUUCUGAAAUUGGGAACUUAUCCUAGGACUGGAGGUGAAAUAGGCAAAAGAUGAUGUUCUAUUGACCUGGCAAGGGCAGUACAACAGGAUUCUGGUACUUAAACAAGUUUGACUAAUCCACAGGUUUUGUAUUACUUUCCAGUUAUUAGGACUAAUAUUAUUUCUUCCUGUUCUGUGACUGAAAUUCCAUUUCUAUGGUGUUUAGAAGAGGACUUAAUCUCUCUCUUGAGCAGUGUGGAUGGAAGUCCUGGGCUGCCCAGAGGACUAGACCCGCUUCUCAGCCUCGCUGAUGUGGUCCAAAUAGUACGAGAGCCUGAAGGGGACAUUGAGGUCCAAGCAGCCGCAGUCCUGGGUAGCUCACUAAGCUAAAUCCCAGGUUCAGCUCUUGUUCCAAACCAGAAAAUCCAUGAUGCUUCACUGAUUCACCAAUAGAGGUAGUUCACUUUCCCUUCAGAUUGUUGGCUAUAAACCAGCAGGGAAUUUAAAUCAUAUCACUUUUCAGCUACAAAGCUCUUUCAAGGCUGCCCUUGGUAUUUCCAAUAGAUAAGAAUUUCAGCCUAGAAAAUCUCUACCUGUCACCAUUUAUCAUGAUCACUUUAAUAGCAUCUCCUGUUGACCAGAUCAUCUGGUCUGCCUACUGCAAACCCUUUACUCUUCGCAGUCCAUUAAUUUUACAAAUUUUAAUUGUGUACAUUUUUGACAGCUUUAAUUUUCCUGAAAUCCUGGUGUGAUCUUAUAGUCAAGAGACAAGACUUCUAAUUGGUCCACAAAGUUUUCCUGUAGAUACUUUGAAACGAGAGAAAUAUCCAAAUUUGUGGAAUGAAUAAGGAUUAUAAAUGUUCAAGAUGGUUACAAAGAACACUCACUAGAUAUGGAUGCUUAUGGUGGGUUUAAGUGCCCUCCAGUAUAUUAUGGGCAAGGAGUGCCGUUUGCUCCACAAUUUGGAAAGGAUCUCCAUGGUUGGCAUCUAAUGGAAUAUUCUCAGAUCAGACCGUAGACAUGUAGAUUAGACCGCAUGUUUUCAAACAGGGCCAGAUUUAGGUUUGAUGGGGCCCUAAGCUGCUGAAGGUAAUGGGGCCCUUUAUAUGUCCAUCUGUCCUUUGUCAACAAAAAAAUUGUUGCUGUUUUUUGUGUUGAAUAUAUGCUAUAUGGUAAUUUAUGGACCUAAUAGGUAUCUAAAGCCAUUUGCACAUGCAGAAUGUAAGCACCCUAUAUAUAGAAAUGAGUAAACCACUGAUAUUUUAGGGAGCAGGCUAGCAGGCGGGGGCCAUUACUUACAUCAUAGGAGCCUACAAACACUGUUGCUGUAUGUAGGGUUUUUUUUUUAAUCUUAUAUUUGGAAAUGUACGUCCAGUUUUUUUCCUUUAAUUUCUUGGGCACCCCAAGAGAGUGGGACCUAAGCUAUAGCUUGUUUAGCUUAUAUGUAAAUCCGGCAGUGUGACUACAAACCAUUCCAAGCAUUGGGUUUUGGUUUUGGUUUUAUGAGGUAGUUUGUAGGCUUCCCUGGUUCUUGCCCCCCCCCCCCCAUUUCUUAGUGCAUGUGCCAGCUAGCAAGCAUGGGGUUUGCCAUCCUUGUAGGAAACAAUUCUACGAUUCUAUGAACUCUGUGAAUUGUAUCAAUAACCCCCACCCCCCAUAUCUAUGGCCAUUACCACCAACUAUUAUGGGAUCCUUGGCUCCAUUCUCACAGGCUGUACCUGAAACCUAGGGAAAACUUCAGUGCAGGUUACUAGUCAAGGUGUGUUGUGGGUAUCACCUGCCUCUUCACUGGAUGUCCUGCUGGGAUUCCAGGGCUUGUGAGCAGAGUCCAUGCAGCAAAGUUGUGCAUGUACUUGGCAAAUGUCACAAGAUCUGGGACUGGAAUAGCCACUGGAUUACUGAUUUUAGCGAUAUUUUUUGACUUCAGAAGCCUAGGGGGUAUGUAAAUCCAGAGCUUGUUUGCACUAGUGGAUAGAAUGAUGAAUGUGGAUUGAGGAGCCCUGGAUUCAAAUUUCUGCUCAGCCACUUUGUCAGCCUAGGCCCCCCUCACAGGGUUGUUGGGAGGAUAAAUUGGGAAAGCCGAUGCACGCUGUAUUUCAAGGGUAGCAUUUUGGGGUGCCGUGUGCACCCCGAAAAGUCUGUAACUAGAGGUGUCGCUUCUGUGCAUGGCACGCAGAGUGCUUAUGCGCAUGCGCAAGCAGCAAAACCCGGAUGUAUACACUUCCAGGUUUGCCGUGGCCGUAACCCGAAGAUUCCGUAACCUGGAAGUUACGCAACACGAGGUACCACUGUAAACUGAGAUAUAACCUUCCCCCAUGAAGAUCAGAGUGGCAGUAAAGAAAGAUGUUUUAGCCUUACCAAAGUUUUCUUCUAAUUCACUAACUACUGCUGUUGCCUAUUUCUAAGUUCCAUGUGGCAGAAACAAUUUUUAUUUUUAGGUAGUAUUUUAGAUUUUAAUGAAAAUGUGGUUUUAAUGACAGUUGUCAUUACGUUAAAAGCUCAGAGACAGCUGUUAAUGUCAGCUUCUGUGUUGUCGCUAUUCACUGAUCGUGUUUUCCUUUUUAAAAAGAGCUGUGAUAACUGCAUAUCAAUCUUUAACAACAAGUGGAGAAAUGAGAUUCCUCCCUCUCCCCCCCCCCCCCCGCCACCCAAGUCAAUACAGGUAACACACUGAAUAUUUAACGGACACAUAAUCUGUUGGAUGACAGAACAUUUCUCAAUAUGGCAUCAGGUACCUUUCUUUUUCAUCAUUGGCACAGAUUAAGGCUGUGUUUUGUUUUGCAAAAACGCAAUAUGCCAGCUUCUACCUUUUCAAGCUGAAAAUAAAAAUCAUUAGAAAGUGUUGUGGGUUAUUUUAUGAACACUUUCCUGAUCAAAAUAUUUGCUUUCUUGAUUAAAUUUGGUUGCCUCUUAAGCUGCAAUUCUAAACACACUUACCAGGGAGCAAAUCCCAUUUGGUUCAGAGAGGUUUACUUUGGAAUCAACAUACACAGGAGUGUGUUGUUAGUUGUUAAUAUGGAGGGGUUUUUUAAAGUGACAUAUCUUAGCAUUUGUUGAGACAUACUGUAUGAUAUUGUUGUUUGCCAGGAAAAUACUGCAUUGAAAUCAGGGCCUGCCAAAGAUGUUUGGCUUGCAAAGGGUGGGGUGCCUGAGAUCCGUCAACCUAUUCUGGCACCUGGCACAGAACUUCCCAUAAAUAUACCACCAGGUAGUAACAAUGGAACAAUGGCAAAAUAACUAACAUUUUGCUGUCCACACAUGACAGCCUGAAUCUGCUGCCUGAAGUGGCCAACUCACAAUGCCUAAUGGUAGGGCGAGUCCUGAUUCAAAUGAAUGUGAUGCCCCUCAGUUAACUUUGCAAUAAUAAUAAUAAUAAUAAUAAUAAUAAUAAUAAUAAUAUAUCAUUUAUACCCCUCCCAUCUGGCUGGCUUUCCCCAGCCACUCUGGGCGGCUUCCAACAAAACAUUAAAAUACAAUAAUUCAUCAGAUAUUAAAAGCUUCCCUAAACAGGGCUGCUUUCAGAUGUCUUCUAAACGUCAGAUAGUUGUUAAUUUCUUUGACAUCUGGUGGGAGGGUGUUCCACAGGGCAGGCACCACUACCGAGAAGGCCCUCUGCCUGGUUCCCUGUAACUUGGCUUCUCACAGAGAGGGAACCGCCAGAAGACCCUCGGCACUGGACCUCAGUGUCCGGGCAGAACGAUGGGGGUGGAGACGCUCCUUCAGGUAUACUGGGCUGAGGCCGUUUAGGGCUUUAAAGGUCAGCACCAACACUUUGAACUGUGCUCGGAAACGUACUGGGAGCCAAUGUAGGUCUUUCAAGACCGGUGUUAUGUGGUCUCAGCGGCCACUCCCAGUUACCAGUCUAGCUGCCGCAUUCUGGAUUAAUUGCAGUUUCCAGGUCACCUUCAAAGGUAGCCCCAUGUAGAGUGCAUUGCAGUAGUCCAAGUGAGAGAUAACUAGAGCAUGCACCACUCUGGCAGUCGGCGGGCAGGUAGGGUCUCAGCCUGCAUACCAGAUGGAGCUGGUAGAGAGCUGCCCUGGACACAGCAUUGACCUGUGCCUCCAUGCACAGCUGUGAGUCCAAAAUGACUCCCAGGCUGGGCACCUGGUCCUUCAGGGGCACAGUUGCCUCAUUCAGGACCAGGGAGUCCCCCACACCCACCCGCCCCCUUUCCCCCCAAAACUGUCUUGUCAGGAUUCAACCUCAAUCCAUUAGCUGCCCUCCAUCCUCCAACCGCCUCCAACACCACUCCUGUAGUGAUGUUGAGAAGGUGAGAGGGAAUUGCCAGAGCUCUCCUUAGAACAUAAUCCUCUCUCUCAGCUGUCCUCUGGGGGCAGCCAUUCCAUCAGCCUGCCUCAGCUGGACAGAGGGGGAGCAGAGCUUGUGAAAUUGGCUGAGCUGGAGGUCCAGAUCCGCCAGGCAUGUCCUGGCUCUGAACUGUGCCAGCUGGUGCCGGAGUUUUGAGAUUGUUUUUCUUCUUCUCUCCAUGUCGCCUUUCCCUUGUGUUGUGUGUUUUAGACGGUAAACCUGUGGGUAGGGAGUGACUUGUUUUGAUUUUAUGUAAGCUAUUGCGGGAGCCUUUUUGGCUAAAAUCAUAGAACCAUAGAGUUGGAAGCAUAGCUGUCAACUUUUCCCUUUUCUUGCAAGGAAUCCUAUACGGAAUAAGGGGAUUUCCCUUUAAAAAAGGGAAACGUUGACAGCUAUGGUUGGAAGGGAUCCCAAGGGUCAUCUACGCCAACCCCCUGCAAUGCAGGAAUCUCAGAUAAAGCAUCCAUGACAGGUGGCCAUCCAACUGUAGUCAAAUGCUGUAAACAAACAAACAAACAAACAAACAAACAGAUGAAUUAUUUAUUUUGGUCAUUUCCUCACUCCUUCUCUAUUCAAACAAUAUCAAAAGCAGCUUAUAAGGUACUAAAACAAAUGAACAAUUGUUUGAUCAUGGUUUGCGGCUGUAGCUGACAGUCUGUGCUUGAGUCUCCCAAUCUGAUUCAGGACUCAUUCCGAUGCUUUGAAGUAGCUGUGAUGUGGCCCAGGAGAAGCUGGAGCUAUCCUGUCCUGAAUCACAGUCCCAAACUGAUUUAGGGGUCUCAAGCAGUGUUUAAUUAGGAUUUUAAACCCUAAUUAAACAUGUGGUUGUGGGGUGGAGAGAGAAUCGUAUCGCCUCCUGUCCCCCCAUUCUUGGCCACAUGCUUAAGGGGAGGAGAUUAAAUUCAGUGUUUGAAAUUUGCUUGGCACAUUAUGCCUCUGGCUAUCGGCCACUUGGAACCAAGUGAAGAUGCCAGGAUGGUGCCUGACUUCUCCACCAUCUGGAGAUGUUGCCUGGGGAUCCUUGGAUCUUGACUGUUUUCACACACGAGCAACACAUUCUGUAGAAUUCUACCUGUUAUAUUUUAUCUGCACAAUCAGAAUGAAUUUCAGGAACCAAAAAGUUAUAUUGAAAAAUAUGACUUUUGAGCCAUCUGGCCCAAGAAUGGCAACCAGGCAUUCUGUUUUGAUUACGCUAACCCUGGUUUGAGGAGCCAUUUGGCACCUAGCUUAUAUAUCAGAGUUUCUAACACUGGUUAAAUUACAUUGUGUUUUCUACAGUACAAGAAUGUUCUUGAUUUUUAAUUGGAAGAGGAUUCCAGUGUUUUGCUUUCUUUAGUUCUUGCUAAGGCAUUUUCUAUAAAAGUAUUUAAGACCUUUGUCUUUAGGAGCCCAGGAAUAUAUUAACUGUACCUUAUAUUAUAAAUAUUCUUCACAUGGGGUUGAACUAAUAGCAGCAGCCCCAAGUGCUUGGCAUUAUGUAGAGCAACCCUGUAUUUAUUUGUUUGUUAAUUUUGCCACUGUCACCAGCAGUCCCAAAUGAGAGCAUAAAAAGCACAGUGUAAUAUCAACACAUUUUGUUUUAAAUCAGGUUUAUUUCCAGAUGGCUCAGCUUCUCACUCUAAACGUUUUGUUGGAUAUUUUGAUGUGACACCACCGGUAAUAAAGAAUCGUCUUUAACAUUGUCAUUUUUCAUUAAUCCUGCUGUUAAGCAACUACAGCCAGAAUUCAUUACAAUGGCUAUGGAUAUUUUUGAGUCAUCAAAUUGGGACUUCUCUCCCCCCUCCUUUUUUUUUUGCUGCACUGCAAAAUUAGCAUUUACACAACAGCCAGCCAAAGUUAAGUACUUUGACACCACAUUAGUUUCAAUGGGAAGAAUUAAGCAUGUGCUCCAAUAAUCACAGUGAAUGCAAAGGGCCCCAAAAGUGCUUAAAUCUGGUGGGAUGCACAUCCCUUUACAGAAAGGGAGAAUCAGAAAUAUGUGGGGACAUGGACAUAGCCAAGGGGGGGGGCAGGGGGCAGCUUCCCCCCUAGAUCAAGUAAAGCAAUAGAAAUACUCAGUGCUUUUUUUUUCUAAAAAAAUGUUUGGGGUACUUUCAUUUUCCUAGUCAUAUUGAAAUACUGCUCCUCAAUGAGACCAAACUUGGAUUCACAAAAUGUUUAGGGGUAUACAUACCCCCAGAAAAAAAGCACUGGAAAUACUCAACUAACUGACAAAUCAUGUUGGUUCUGUCCCCCCCCCAACAUAAAUCCUGGCUAAACCAGGGACUUAGGGGACCCCCAUUCAAACUCACUGUGGGAGCAACCCUAGGCACAAGUAGCUGCCGUAAAGCAAGCAGCAUUGGUUCAGCUGAUGUAAAAUUGCAAACCCUGUUCAGAAGCAAACUAUUUCAUGAUCACCUCUGCUACUUUUGUGGACUGCAGUAUCUUUAUCCAGAAUUACAAAAUCAAACCAUUUGCAUCUCAAAGCCGACCUAGAAAAUGAGGACCAAAACAGACAUGAGCUUAAAUGUGUGUCAGCCUUUUAUGUCAUAUAGUGCAACUGCCCUGUUUUGAGCCAAGCAUUCCAGAUUGACAGAAGCCACCUCAGCUUCUGAUGCCAACCGGUGAACUCCCGUUUGGGCUCUGCCACCACGGCCUCGGCCGUAAGGGUGUGUGGCAUGGUGGGGGCAGCCGGGGUGGCGCGUAAUGGCAGGAUGGCAGGAUGGCAGGGAGUGGCGGUGUGGGGAGGCAGUGACCGUGAGAUGGUACGGGGAGGUCGUGUCCGGAUUUGCCCUCCAGGAUGUUGUGUGCAGGAUUUGAAAAAUACAAGUUCCAUCAGAUGUAAAAAGGUAAAGGUAAAGGACCCCUGACAGUUAAGUCCAGUCACGACCAACUCUGGGGUUGCGGCGCUCAUCUCGCUUUAUUGGCCGAGGGAGCCGGCGUACAGCUUCCGAGUCAUGUGGCCAGCAUGACUAAGCUGCUUCUGGCGAACCAGAGCAGCGCACGGAAACGCCGUUUACCUUCCCACCGGAGCGGUACCUAUUUAUCUACUUGCACUGAGGUGCUUUCGAACUGCUAGCCUGGCAGGAGCAGGGACCGAGCAACGGGAGCUCACCCCGUCGUGGGGAUUCAAACCGCCGACCUUCUGAUCAGCAAGCCCUAGGCUCAUUGGUUUAGACCGCAGUGCCACCCAUGUCCCCCAUCAGAUGUAGGGACUGAUAAUUAAUGGGAUGAGAACAGGAAUGUAAGUGGAAGUUAACCUUAUCCUUUUCUUGUAGUCCUAAAGAAAACCCCUUUUCUGAAACAAGGGUUUGCAUAGGAAGGAAAUCAUGUGUUGGUAUGAAUGGGGAAUUUCCAAAACAAAGAGCAGCUUCAAAUAAAGCAGGGGGUGUUUCCCCUGCACCACAGAAAAGGAGGAAAGGGUUACAUUUGCUCUUCAUACUGGCUCUAAUCCUCUUAAUUAUUAGCACCCCAGCUGAUGCAAUUUGCAUAUUUAAAAGCCUGUAUGUUUCAUGCAAAGAUUCAUCAUGUCUAAUUUGGGCCUUGUAUCUCCCACUGAAAUUUCUCAGAAUAAGUAAAUACAGUCCUGGUAUUAUUUGAGUUUUGUCUUCCAUUUUUCCUCUCUCCUUGGGAUAUCACCAUAACUGGAUUUGAACUGGCAGUAAUCAAUUUACUGUACUUUAGAUACUGUGAAUCAACAUUAUAUAAUGUGGUUUUAUAGGAUUUAGCCCUGGAAAAGAAUGUGUAAAAUAUGUUUCUUAGCAACACAUGCGCAUUCAAGCUUGCAAAUCCAUAUGACUAAAAUAGACCAGAAACAUAUAACAAAUAAUGGCAGGCUUUCAUUAACCUCAGCAGGCUUUCUUUGAAUGCUGAAAACAGUACAAUUGGGGCAUUUAAGUGGUCAGUUUCACACAAGUAAUUGCUUAGACAAGUUUUUAAAUGUAGAUAUUAAUGGAUAUUCAUUGGAAUUAUUUCUUGUAAAAAAGGUAUUCAAUAUUGGCCACAGCAUCUAAGCAAAUAAUAUAUGUACACUACUUGAUUCUGAUGACUGUGAAGCAGUGAAGAAAACUGUUAGUUCAUAUCACUUCCAUUUUUCCAAAACUCGUGUCACUUUGCAUGCACAGUUCUAUAUAGCAGAAAAGUUGGUGUUAAACUUAAAAAGCCUGUCCCAAGACAUUUUGGUGUCUUAAAUGGAACGCCAAAUGGCACUCCCCUAUUCUGCUAGGGCCAACCUUAAAAAUGGCUUGUUGAAUCAUUCAGACACCGAUUUCUGCUUUCACCAGUGUUUAUAUGGGGGGAACCGUGUCUUUUCCAUACAAUUCUUUUGAUGUUUGAGGUGGCAUAGCUCAGUCAGUAAAGCAUGAGACUCUUAAUGUCAGGGUCGUGGGUUUGAGCCCCAUGUUGGGCAAAAGAGUCCUGCCUUGAAGUGGGUUGGACUAGAUGACCCUCGUGGUCCCUUCCAGCUCCACAAUUCUAUGAAUUCUCUCUUGAGAGUACAGUGGUGCCUCGCAAGACGAAAUUAAUCCAUUCCGCGAGUGUCUUCGUCUAGCGGUUUUUUCGUCUUGCGAAGCAACCCUAUUAGCGGCUUAACGGAUUAGCGCUAUUAGCGGUUUAGCGGCUAUUAAAGGCUUAUCGGCUUAUCGGAUUAGCUGCUAAAAGGCUAUUAAAGGCUUAGCGGCUUAGAUAAAGGGGGGGGAAGCGGAAAAAAAAUCUCAAGACUCGCAAGACAUUUUCGUCUUGCGAAGCAAGCCCAUAGGGAAAUUCGUCCUGCGAAGCAACUCAAAAACAGAAAACCCUUUCGUCUAGCGGGUUUUCCGUCUUGCGAGGCAUUCGUCUUGCGGGGCACCACUGUAAUGGAAUGUCAUUGAGUGCUUUCACUCUCAGGGAGACUUGAUCUACUUUGUCCAAAGAGCAUGGCAGCAAGGAUCUCUGGUUGGUAGCAACUUGUGAUUUUGUUAGCUGCUUUUUUCAUAUUAUUGCAUGCCAAUCUCUGAGCAGUGCUAGAUUCCAGGGGUUCCAGGUGCCCAGGGUGGAAAUAAGGCACAGCAUAAAGACUGGUGUCUUUAUGAUAUAUAGUUUAUGUACACAUAUAUGAGGGACUUGGGUGGUGUUGUGGUCUAAACCACAGAGCCUAGGGCUUGCUGAUCAGAAGGUCGGCGGUUCGAAUCCCCACAACGGGGUGAGCUCCCGUUGCUUGGUACCUGCUCCUGCCAACGUAGCAGUUCAAAAGCACCUCAAAGUGCAAGUAGAUAAAUAGGUACCACUCUGGUGGAAAGGUAAAUGGUGUUUCCGUGCGCUGCUCUGGUUCGCCAGAAGUGGCUUGGUCAUGCUGGCCACAUGACCCGGAUGCUGUACGCCGGCUCCCUCGGCCAGUAAAGAGAGAUGAGCACUGCAACCCCAGAGUCAUCCGUGACUGGACCUAACGGUCAGGGGUCCCUUUACUCAGGGGUUUACUUUACACAUAUGUAAUAUUGCAGGUAUUAAUACUGUGCAGUUUGAAGUGACCAGAUCCAUAAAAGUGAGUCCCUUUGGAAUAAAAACAUUGUCAAGGCCCAUAAUUUCUUCUUCAGUCUACCCUUAGGACCUCUUUUCCUAUCUUGAGCUGCAGCUUCUUCCUUGCACCAGGUUGGGUACUUCUUUCCUUUUGGGUGAAGACAGAGACACCUUCCCUUUGUUCUCUCAAUGGCUCAUCACAUUUCCAUUAUUUUCUUAAUGGCUCAUCUCCCAGGCAAUCUCCUGAACACGGGAAGCUGGGUACAGGGAUUAGGAGUUUGGCGUCCCGUUUAACACACACAGGCCUUGAUUGGAUUCUAACACUCACGGGACCCAGGAAUUUAGGGGAGUCUGGCACCCACAAACUCAUAAGAAUAUUUUCAUUAGAGAUGGGGGUUGAGGCACCAGAAUUAUUUUAGACAUAUUUAUUCAGAAGUAAGUAAUACCAUGUUCAGUGGAAUUUGUCACUAAGUCAGGGUGCGCAGGAUUGCAAACAAGAAGAAGGAGAGUUUGGAUUUGAUAUCCCGCUUUAUCACUACCCGAAGGAGUCUCAAAGCGGCUAACAAUCUCCUUUCCCUUCCUCCCCCACAACAAACACUCUGUGAGAUGAGUGGGGCUGAGAGACUUCAAAGAAGUGUGACUAGCCCAAGGUCACCCAGCAGCUGCAUGUGGAGGAGUGGAGACAUGAACCCGGUUCACCAGAUUACGAGUCCACCGCUCUUAACCACUACACCACACUUUUGAACAAGGGUUCAAAAUGGCAAAAUGGUCACCAGCUUUAGAAAUAUAUCUCCAACAGUACCAAAUUCCUAAUUAAGCAAAGCAAUCGUGGCUGCCACCAUUGUGCUUCUAUAAACUCAUUUUAUUAACUAUCUAAUUCUGAUUCUUCAGUAGAACAAAGUAACACAAACAUUUAAAAGAAGGCCUCUUGCCCAUCAAGAUUAGUUUCAGAUGACAGCCUCUACUGCACAAAGAAUGUGGAUGAAGUAAUCUAUGCUAUGUGAAAUGGGAGGAAGAAACAUAUCUUGUCAAUUUCUUUCUUUUCUCAGGUUUGCUUUUUGCAAAGCAAAACAUUCUGCAGUUUUCAUCAAGCAGGAUAUCAUGGUAGACAGGACAGAUUAUGUGAACAAGGACAUCUGUGUUUGGCAAACCUAGAAUUCGUAGUGCCCUAACAUUCUUCGACUGGAUAUUUAUGCAGCCAGACAUUCUCCAUCCAGUCCACUUCCUCUGUCUCACUCAGCAGCACUUUUCACCUGUUCAGUGAAAUGUGGGAGCGGGGAAGUAAGACCUCAUCUGCUGCCUCUCCUCCAAAUCUCCAUGAAUCCAUCCAUAGGUUGGAAUGUAGCAUUGGCACAUGCAGCUGUACUCAUUGUUAGGGCUGAGCCAUGGGCAGAAGUCUGAGGUGAGCAAGGAGCAGGAAUCAGAAGCCAUGGGGCAAGCCAGUUUUUAGGACCCAAAGAGGCAGGAGCAAUGAGCAAGGCAGAAGGUGGAAGAAAUCAAGGACUCAUUAACAUGCCACAGCUCAGGAACACAAUGGUGCUCAAGCAGGACUCAGUUUUGAUGCCCAGAAAGUUCUAUGGAUCAACUGGAUGGGCAGAGUCAGAAAGCUGCUACAUGCAGUUCAGUCACUGACCACACAGAGCUAACAUACACAGAUCCCUGAAACACACAGGUUCUGUACACCCAUUUAGGUUUCUGCAGGCUUCACAGUUGUGCAAAGACUAUACAUACAACAUAUACAUGCAAAAGUUCUAUUCAGACCUUUCUAUUAAUAUGUGGAGCAGGGACAGUGGAUAAGAAGAUCCAAAUUCCUCCCAAUAUAGAUCUUCUGACUGAAUUGGUUCAUGAAUCAUAAAUGCACCUCGAAAUUAGAGACUGUUUUAGGCCUCAUUAUUGAACCUGAAGCACGUGAAACGCAACACAUGAAGGAAUAUGAAUGCUUGUCGAGGACAGUUUCCAAAUGUCAGACUUGCUGCUUGUAGCAUUUGCUUAUGUGUCCUCUAAAAAGUUGUGGUUGAGGAAAUUCUGUUUCCAAUUCAUUCUUUUUAAAAAAAGAAAGAAAAAAAGAUUGCAUGCUAUAUAUGUAGGAAGAUUUCAGGGGUAUUAUAAACUCAUUCCUAAAAGUCAAAAAGUAUAACUUGUGACAAACAGAAGCUAGAUUGACUCUGUGGGUAGGUGGAAAAUGAUUCUGCGAGAUGGAUUUGUCACAGGUCUACACGGAGAUGGAAGUUAAGGAAGCUUCCAGCUCACAAUCAAUACAUUAAUCUGUCUAUUCUAGUAAAACAGGUUAGAGGUAAGUGUGCAUUGGUGCUUCUAACAAUUUGUGUCACAAUUUAUCAAAACAAAACAAAACAAAAGUUACAGAAUGGAAACCAUAUCCUGUUUUGAGUUUCCAUAGACUUUUAUGGAUUAUUUUCUGCUGGAAGAUUCAAUAGACAGAAACAAGCGGUACCUGUGCCAUGGAAUUUCAAUAAUGGCAUAAAGGUUGAAGGUUGACAAAUUCACAGUAAACUGACCCAACCAUAACUUGAUUGUCAAGUUUCCUCUUACUUUCCCCAGUUCAAAACUUAGGUCAACCUGUGGCUAAAGAUGGCUUGAUCCCAAGUUCUCCACCUCUGCAUCCCUGGUCAGAAAAUUUAACUGGAAGCUGGAGCUAGAUAGGCCACAAACGGAAGGUUGGAAAUUGCCUGGUAUUUAUAUCAUGACUGUCCAAUACUGAGCCCUCCUUUUUCCCUUCCUGCCAAUCACACAGACUUAGGCUAGACACAUUCCUAUUCCCUUCUGUGACUAAAAGGGUGCUCUGACACAUGAGUGAAUUCAGAUUGUGGCAGCUCAUUAAGGUAGCAUCCAACUCUGUUUGAUUUUUUUAUGGAUUUUAUCACCACCAUACAUUAGCCACUUAAAUUCUCACAUUCACCUUUCAUUUCCCUUGAUUCAGAAUUCAGUUUUCCUGCAGUAUGAUUACUACACUUUUUAGCACCAGCAGUGUUGAAGACUGUACAAAACAUAGGAAUAUACGGCCUACGUCAAAAGGGUUUAUAAACAGAAAGCAGAACAAUUGAAGAAGGCAUCUUGGUUUGAAUGCAAACCAGAGAUAAGAUAGGGCAACAUGAGCAAUCAAGCACCUAUAAAAUUUCCAAGAGAUCCAGUGUGGUGUAGUGCUUAAGAGCGGUAGACUCGUAAUCUGGGGAACUGGGUUCGCGUCUCCGCUCCUCCACAUGCAGCUGCUGGGUGACCUUGGGCCAGUCACACUUCUCUGAAGUCUCUCAGGCCCACUCACCUCACAGAGUGUUUGUUGUGGGAGAGGAAGGGAAAGGAGAUUGUUAGCCGCUUUGAGACUCCUUCGGGUAGUGAUAAAGCGGGAUAUCAAAUACAAACUCCUCCUCCUCUUCUUCUUCUUCCAAGGAAAAAAGGAAAAAAGAAAACGAUUACUGUAUUUUGGUUUUAAAUGGAAGCUGUUUUGUCUUUCAUCUGUUUUCAUUACAGAUUGACAGAGAUCUCUGAAGGAGACUUUCUAAAUUCAGAUGGAAGGAUAUCAGGGUGUGUAGCACAGGGGAGUGUAUGACUUUGAGAUUUGUGGGGGAAGUUUUUUAAACAAUGCAUGAAAUUCCACUUGACAGGGCAGUGGCCCAGCAGGCUUAGUGGCGCAGCAGGACAGGGAAGCCCCCCUGUUUUGAGACCCUAGAGAGGCAAUUAUCAGAGACAACACUGGAGUAUGGGAAUCAGUGCUUUAAUUCAAGCUGCCUCAUCCUUUCCUAAAGAGGCAGAUUAAUGUUAGGAUUCCAAGACAUACAAUUAAAACACCACCCUGGGAAGUAUAUUCGAGUAGUAACUAUGGUGCAAAAGGUGGUUUCUUCUUCUUCUUCUUCUUUUGCUCACAAUAAAGCAUUAAAUGAAAUGAAAGGCGGUGAAAGAGAAAGGCAGUAUAUUCUUACAAACCAGAGCUAUGUAAGAUUUGCCUUGUUAAAUAUUUCUUAAGCAAUUUUUAAUUGACAACAUAUGUUCAACAUCACAUAGCAACGUGUGCAAAGCACUUUACAUCUGUCAUAGCCUCCUGAAGCUAAUCCCUCUUUAAUGUGCUCGCUUCCUUUGUAUUGCUGCAGGCUUUGUUUCUGUUUACUGUCUUUUGAAAGGAAGAGGGGGAAUCAAGUUAGCUGUCAGCAAGAACAAGCUUAUUCUACAAAGAUUUUAAUUCUAUUAAUCUUUUGACUGGCUAUCUUUUUGGAAAUCAUUUCCAAGGGCAAACGAUGCACAUGGAAGGAACAAGCCAAAUCUGACUUUUUUCAAGGUGAAAUUGUGCACUUGUAUAAUUGGGGCUUUCCUAAAGAAAAACUAAAAUAUGGAAAGAAAGGAAAUUCUGGGGGGUGGUAGGGGACUCGAUUUGAUUAUAACCAAUGUGUUUAUAUCUAUCUAUCUAUCUAUCUAUCUAUCUAUCUAUUUAUCUAUCUGUAAAAGUUAGUUCCUAGCAUUUAAUCACCAUCAAGUAAAACCAAGAAACAGAAUCAAAGAUUUUUUUUGGGGGGGGUCUCCACAAGCCUGCUCUCCCUCAGUCCCUUGAGAUCAUGAUUAGCUUUUGGUAAUGGGGAACACAUCCAGGUUUGUAAAAGCCAGCCUUGCCUCCCCUGCCCCCAUGGUAAAAUCCUCAAGCAUGGAUGCACAUUUGGCGGAUGGGUAAAAGGACAACCACAAGGAGGUGAAUUAUGAAAGUUGGUGGGACAAGGGUCAAGGUCCAGCCAGCUUCUCUGAUUAGGUUGCUCCUAUUCAUAGCUGUCAACUUUUCCCUUUUCUUGCAAGGAAUCCUAUUCGGAAUAAGGGAUUUUCCCUUAAAAAAAGGGAAAAGUUGACAGCUAUGUUCCUAUUUAUCGCGGGUGGUGCUGUGGGUUAAACCACUGAGCCUAGGGCUUGCUGAUCAGAAGGUCAGUGGUUUGAAUCCCUGCAACGAGGUGAGCUCCUGUUGCUCAGUCCCUGCUUCUGCCAACCUAACAGUUCAAAAGCACGUCAAAGUGCAAGUAGAUAAAUAGGUACCACUCCGGCGGGGAGGUAAACGGUGUUUCCGUGUGCUGCUCUGGUUUGCCAGAAGCGGUUUAGUCAUGCUGGCCACAUGACCUGGAAGCUGUCUUGAGGACAAACGCCGGCUCCCUCGGCCUAUAGAGCGAGAUGAGCGCGCAGCCCCAGAGUCCGCGACUGGACCUAACGGUCAGGGGUCUCUUUACCCUUUACCUAUUUCUCAAACAUGACUUAUUAUUAAAUAAAACCGAAAUAUGAAUAUGGAGAUGAAGAGGAAAUUUGACUCUCAGUGGCUGGGUGUCACCAGCCCACAUCUCAGUGGUGUCAUUGAGUGUACCCUUCUUCUUUCCCUCAAGUUAGUGGAUAUUUACACUUCUGGGGGGGAGGAUAAAGUGGUUCACCUGAGGGCAAAACCUUUAUUGCAGGUCCUGUCGCCUGUUUACAGACAUUAUUGAAAUGCUACUGUGGGAUGUUUGCCAUAAAUAAGUCUGUCAUCCAUCUGUCGUAGUAACUAGCACAUUGCUAGUAAAGUAUAGAAUACUAGCAGCCUUGUAUCUGGAAUUGCUUGAGAAUUUUAAGGAACCAAAAAAUCAAUGCAGUUUUGCAAUCAGUAGUUUAAAUCAGCGCAGUUUUGAAAGGUCAGUCCAUCAUCUUGUUACAAAAUGGCAUCCAACUGCAUCUGAAAAUAGAUACAAUCCUGAUCUGAGGAACCACCAUGCAAAAUUUGGUUAAAAUCCAUGCAGUUUUGAAAGGUCAGUCCACCAUCUUUUAAAAAAUGGCCUCCAAUAGUAUCUAAACAUAGACAAAAACCCACUCCUCACUCUUGGGAAUGGUCAUGACAAAUUGGAUGACAAUAUAUUUAGAGGUGUCCAGAUUAGUGCAUUUUGGAACUGUCAUGCUAAAUCUGGCGACAAUAUCUUCAGAGAUGACAAAAUAGCUUCAGUCUUUCUGGACUGCAAUACAGAUCAUCAGUCCUUGCAGGAUCAUGCAUUGCAGAACUGAAUAAAAUGCAGGGGCAGGCAAGGGCAAGAGGAAGAUCCUGAUGUGCAUGCGCUCAAAGGCACAACAUUGUGAGUCACCAGCAUCAAAGCAUUUCCAAGAACCGUGUGCUCCUGUUGUUGUGACAGACAGAUCUGAGAAUUAAAUUAGAACACAUGGCUUCCAAACAAGGCAUGGUGUCAUGCUCAGAAAAAUCUUGGCAAACUUCUGCUACAGGAAAGUAAAGAGACUUCCUUGCCUUCCAUCAACUCUGUGACACAUCGAGCCAAUGGGAAGGCAUUCUGUGAAGGAUGGGAUUGUAGUCAUGCAAACACAGAAGCGGCACUACCCUGACCUUGUCUUGAUCUAUCAGCUUCAAGUUUUGAGUGAAGACUCGCAGUAGCGUGCAGCAUUAUGAGGCAUUAGUGCCAAUGAUUGACUCGGAAAACAUUAGCAAAGGGGUAGAAAAAGUCCUUGCACACUGAUUCGCAAUACAUCUUUGCUUUCUUGUAAAAUUAACUCUGCAUCUUAGUGUCAGAUAUAUGACUUGUCUGCUAUGACUGAGACACUUCCUUUUGUUUAAUCAUGUGUCAUUGCAAAUAGACUGUUCAUGCAUGCAAGGAUAGAGAGGCUAUUAGGGAUAUUUUUUAGGUUCCAGAUGAGUAUGGUGGAGAAGAAGGUCAUUCUCUUCGCUUAUCAUAUGUAGGGUUCACAAAAUUAUGGGAUGGGGAAACCCUGGCUGCAUGGUUUGCUAGAGAGUUUUGCUUAUGCAUCUAACCACCACUGACAAGGUUGUGUAGUUGUUUAUCUAUUUGACACCUGAUGAGAGGGUGUUCCACAGGAUGGGCACCACUACUGAGAAGGCCCUCUGCCUGGUUCACUGUAACCUCACUUCUCACAGUAGGGGAACUGCCAGAAGGCCCUCGGAGCUGGACCUCAGUGUCCGGGCUGAAUGAUGGGGGUGGAGACACUCCUUCAGGUAUACAGGGACAAAGCCAUUUUGGACUUUAAAGGUCAGCGCCAACACUUUGAAUUGUGCUUGGAAAUCUAUUGGGAGCCAACGUAAAUCUUUUAGGAGUGGUGUUAUAUGGUUCCAGUGGCUGCUCCCUGUCACCAGUCUGGCAGCUGCAUUCUGGAUUAGAUGUAGUUUCCUUCAAAGGUAGCCCCACAUUGCAGUAGUCCAAGCGGGAGAUAACCAGAGCAUGCACUACUCUGGCGAGACAGAGCAUGGGCAGGUAGGGUCGCAGCCUGCAUACCAGGUGGAGCUGGUCGACAGCCGCCCUGGACACAGAACUGACCUGCGCCUCCAUGGACAGCUGCGAGUCCAAAAUGACUCCUAGGCUGUGCACCUGGCCUUUUAGAAGCACAGUUACCCCAUUCAGGACCAGGGAGUCCCCCACACCCGCCCGCCCCCUGUCCCCCAGAAACACAGCCAUCCUUUGAAAUGUGCACUUCUCUGAAUUUUGUGUUGCAGUUCUCCAGCCAAACAAUUUUUUAAAGGGUGUAUUAAGGAAAAUGGGCCUAAAGUGACCCACAUUGGUGAAAAUAGCACAAAAGUGUAUUAUAUUAGGGGAAAUUGCUUCACAAAACAUACACAUGUGUGUGUUAGGCAAAAUUACAGACAAAAAUGUGUGUUAGAUAUUUACACUGAAAUGCCAGUGAAUUUUCAUAAUAAACUGAUGUGGAAUUGUGAAGAACUGAGCAUGAGAUUGGAAAAAUGAGAAUCUGACAGACUACUGUCAGAUCCACAUACUGUUUUCAGCUCAAAAUCUAUGACCAUAGCUAGUCCUGCAAUGAUACAAGGGGCCACCUAAUUCACUAUUGGAUAGUUGUGAAUUUGAAAAUCCCAGAGUGCUGAAGUUAAAGACGCAAAUAAAAUCCUGGGACAUUUUUCUUUCCCCCACAAAGCUGGUAAUAGGUUCACAAUUAAUCAUUUCUGUCUUUAAAGAUGUGGCUUUCCAGCAAAUAAAGUUUUAUGUCUUUCAACACCCAGAGUAACAGGAAGACACUUAGAAAAUUGUGGGAAGGCAUCCAAUCAUCAAAGCACCUCAUAUAUAAUCAGAUAAGAAUGUGAUGGAUUUAAAAGUCACUGAAACAUUAAAAGAGCAAGUACAUGUUAACAGUUGUAUGUAAAGCUAAAAUGAAUAGGAACUUAUUUCCCUUUCAUAAAUAACAUUAACACCAGCUUUUUUGUUCAGUUUCCUUGAAAAUGUACAGUCCUACCCCUUAGUUCAUCCUUAUUCUUGAUCUACUCUACUGUAAUGGAAUUUUUACACAGAAUUUCCCAUUCUUUCAAAGAUCAGCCACAAGGGAAAUAUUUUUACUUUUCACCUCUAGGGCACAUGUUAGAAAACUAGCAUGGGAAAACCAUUUGGCGGGGAAAUAAUUGUUUUUAUCUUUAUAUGACAACCUUAUUUUAAGGCCCAAUUGAUUUAUGGUUGUUAUUAGAAAAUCAUUUGUCAACUUAAGAAGAAAAAAAUGCACAUGUGUGAAACAAUGGGGGUUAAGCAGGUCCCUUUCGAGACGCAUCAAUCCAUUUGCUAAAGAGCAAAAGCUUGUUCUAUUCUCGUUCAAGGCCCCUUCAUACAAUUAUAUCAUAUUGCAACCAGAAGCAGGUGGUGAAAUCAUUUUACCCCAUAGCCUCAAGAAAGGAAUCCAAAAAGGUCACAUUUGAAAAGGUCACUAAACCACUGAAUAUAUUAGUGCUUAAGGAAGGUGCUAAUGGGUUUCAACAUUGAAAGUUCCAACAAUAAUGAUAAGAAGGAAGAAACAAUGCAGCUCAAAAAUUGCACUCCUUUCCCCAAUAUUUCUACAUUUUAAGCAUUUGUUGCUGCUUUGGUACUGCUUUGGUACAUCAGAUUGUAUGAAACAUUGCAUUUUUGGUAUUGUUUUCACUUUGUUUUUAAAUUGUUGUACUUUUUUAUUAGCUGGCCUAAGCUGUUACAACAGGAACUGUGGGGUAUCAGAAAAUAAACAACAAAAACCUUUUGGCCUUGUUAACUCAUUUUAACGCUUCCAGAAGAACCCCAAAAUCAAAGGAUCUGUGGCUAAAGCAACAUCUGCUGCCCAUUUAAUAGACUCCAGUGGAAAGUUGUCAAGUUGAAAUUCAUAUGCAGAUUUGACAUUGUUGGGCUGGGACUGGAAUGACUAGACCACAACUGAAAGUAUCUGACCCUCUUUGUGUGUUUUUGCACACUGUUCAACUUACUUGGCCAACUUCUUGUUAGGUUAUUACACCCACUAGGACUGGGUAGAAUAAUAGAAUAAUAGAACUGUAGAAUUGGAAGGGACCACGUCUAACUCCCUGCAAUGCAGGAAUCUUUGGUCCAACAUGGGGUUCAAACCCACGACCCUGCUCUACUCUCAUGCUCUACUGACUGAGCUAUAAUGAAUGUUGACUGGCUGUUGCUUGCAUUUGUGCUCUACAUAUCAGUGGGGCAUGCUUAUUUCUUGCACUGUUGGGCCUUCUAGCCUACAGUAAGACAGCACUUUGUGCAGCAACAACAUCCUUUCCCAAGCCAUACGUGUCAAAUGUUGUUUGGGAUUUGCACUUAAGUCUCCAUCCAACACCUAAUCUGAGGUUCAGAUUUUCUUUUGAAGGGGGAUUUGCACUGCUGCCCACCUUCAACUGAUGGACAGAGCAAUUCACAAGCAAUUCAGACUAAAAUAUGGAGGCCAACCUAGAGCAUUUUCACACCUGAGGCUUAACUUGUGUGUUCCUACAUCCUACAGAUGCUUCCUACAGGCAUCCUACAGGGAGGCAGUGUGGUGUAGUGGUUAAGAGCGGUGGACUCGUAAUCUGGUGAACCGGGUUCGCUUCCCCGCUCCUCCACAUGCAGCUGCUGGGUGACCUUGGGCCAGUCACACUUCUCUGAAGUCUCUCAGCCUCACUCACCUCACAGAGUGUUUGUUGUGGGGGAGGAAGGGAAAGGAGAAUGUUAGCCGCUUUGAGACUGCGUCGGGUAAUGAUAAAGCGGGAUAUCAAAUUCAAACUCUUCUUCUUCAACAUCAUCUGGUUGGCCACUGUGGUAACAGGAUGCUAGACUGAUGCAGCAAUUGGUACAGUGGUACCUUGGUUCUCAAACUUAAUCCAUUCUGGAAGUCCGUUUCAAAACCAAAGCGUUCCAAAACCAAGGUGAGCUUUCACAUAGAAAGUAAUGCAAAAUGGAUUAAUCUGUUCAAGACUUUUAAAAACAACCCCUAAAACAGCAAUUUAACAUGAAUUUUACUAUCUAAGGAGACCAUUGAUCCAUAAAAUGAAAGCAAUAAACAAUGUACUGUAGUCACACAAAUCGAUCGAUCAGUAGCUGACAGUAGCCCACAGUCACAAAAACAAAACGAAAAAGAGCCACAAAAACAAAAAUGCAAAAUAAAUAGCGAAAACAGACAGACCUCAGCGUAACACUCAAAUCAGAAGUGUAACACUCAAAACGAAGCACGUUCAGCUUCUGAAAAAGGUUCGCAAACCGAAACACUUACUUCCGGGUUUGCAGUGUUUGGGUUCCAAGGUGUUUGUGAACCAAGGUACCACUGUAUUCUUAUGCUAUGUUAACCUUUUGAGUUCUCCUCAUGUCAUUUGUCCGGUUAUUGUUCAUGAGAAAAAAAUGGAUGAGAGGCAUUUCUAAUGAAAAGGAACAUUUUGGCAAAUGUAGGUUUUAUGUCUGAAUUACAUACCUGAUAAAAUGGCUCUUGCUCCAAAGUGUUGCAUGUGGAAAUGUACAAAGUCUCAUUCAGUCUGAUCCAGGUUGCUCUUCAUGGGUAGGAAUGAUACUUACAUAUAUUUCAGUGCUCAGAAGCGCUAUGUAUCUCCAUUCAGUUUAGCAAGGGAAGUUUUGGGAAUUGGAAACAGAGAUGCGCGCGCACACACACACACACACACACACACACAACUUUCCACAAUUUAUUGCAUUUGUAUCCUAUUCCACUUCCAGUGAUGUUAACGGCUAUGUUUCACGCGCACCCACUGGGGUGAAUGAAAUUUAGUGCAGCAUCCCAGUAUGUUGGUCAAAAAGACACCGUUCCUAGCACAGCAUUAUUGUUAACAUUAGAAAAUGGGACAGAAGUGUGCAAUAUUCCUCACAUUUGAAUGCGCCCUUAGUCUGCCAGUGAAGGAAGAGACUUAAGGCAACUUUCACCCUUCAUUUCUUCUGCUUGGCAAUGCCAUGAGUCACCUGCUUACCAGCUUCAAGACCGUUUUCUGGUUAAAGAAGCAAAUGGUUGCCGUAGCAGCAAGCAAGCAGGGAGGAGCAAAAAUAACAUAUCAGCUUUUGAUUUGCUGGCCCGCUAGUGAAGAAAGUGUUGUGAGCUCCCCCUUUCACAUUGUGUAUGUAUCAUCUUGGAUAGUACGUGUAGUUUUAAGACAGCUAAUAAAAAAGGAACUAUGAAAAAUGUGGUACUGAAGAUAUUUGACAGCCAACAUAUAGAAAUGAUUUGACAUUACUGCAUAGAAAUCCCCGAAACCAUCAGUCCUCUGUUUUGGGUUGCAGUUAAAAAGACAAGCUGGAUAGUUACACUCAUGAACAUAAGACACAAUGGCCAUCAGGAGAAGAAAUAUCGGUUCUUGACUUGAACACUUUUACACUGGAAAAGGGCUGGCAAAGAUUUCUGAAGAAAAAGCAUUCGUGAUGUCAAAAAAGCAAAGACUGUGACUGAUGAAAUCAUACAGACACGCACUGAAGGUAACGCGGCGAUAUCAAAUUGCAAGCAAAUUUGGAGCAAAAUGCUAAAAGUUAACAGGCAAACAAGGUAGAAUUUGGCAAUCUACCCGUAAAUAAAUAAGCUAUUUCUCUUUUUGUGAAACUUGUUUGCUAAACAGCAUGGUAGAUGUAAGCACUGAGCAACGCUAGUCCUAAAAGGAGUUACAUGAAGAAUGUUUUCAUUAAACUUUUUAUCUUCUCUAUACAAAUUAAAUUGGGACUUCUACUCUGGGUUAAUGAGGGUACGCACAGGAAAGUGAUGGAUGGCUGCUGAAAGACCCUGUGUGAGAGGCAGGGAUGCGAAGAUCUCCCAGGGUGGGAGGCUGGGAGAAGAAAGGUGAGAGAAGGGUCCACCCCCUUCUGUGUGUGACAUGGGUUGAGAUCUGCCUUUGAGAGCGGGCUUUCUAAUUUCUCCCCUCUUUUUCUUUUCUUCUUGCUUUUUUCUUUGUUUUUAAUUUUUAUUUUAACUUAGAUUAGCUUGUUUUUAUUGCCUGAUAUGAUAAAAAAGUGCAAUAACAACUUAAAUUGGAAGCAACAUUUUUACCAUAAUUUGAUAAAAAGUUGAUGGAGCUCCCAGGUGCUCCCUCUUCUCUGCUCACCCUGAAAACUCAAGGCUUUGGUUCUAUGAGAUAAGGGCUGCCUUCAGAUGUGGGGCCUAUUGUGGUAGUUUUACUGCUUAUAAUGCCCGUGCUUCUCUUCCAAUUUUUCUAUUGUUCCUUUUACACUGCAGGAUCUGUUGUGAUAUGUAACUGUGGCCUUUUCAUUGAUAUACUGCCUCAGAGCGGAAAAGAGCUGUAUGCCAGGAUACAGCUCCUGAUUUUGUCAUGUGAGCGUCAGUGGCAUGAUAAUAAAAAUGGCAAAACAGAAAAAUGCUUUUUCAAGUUUGUGGGGUUCUCAACAUCCCCCUCCCCGAAACAAAUUAACAUGGGAAUGAGUGCUAAUCUUCUCCUAGAUUCCAUUCUGUUUCCUGAAGAGGCUUUUACCAUGUGUCAAAGAUCACAUAAACAUAAUAAUUAACAGGUAAGAAAACAUCAGGAAGACGGAAUGAAGUGCCCUCUGAAUGCAGCCAAGAAUUGAAUGUUGGCGAUUCAUUAAACCUGUUAUGAUCUUAACGACAGCACUACACAAUUUCCUUAGGGUUUGCAGGCAGUGGAUGCUGUGAAAUGACAUAGCCGUAUUUUUUUAUCAUUCUGGAAUUGGGUUGGGAAACAAAGAAAAAUGAGAAUUCAAUGAGGGCGAGCUUGGCCUCAGAGUCUGCUGGUGUCAGCGAUUGAGGAGGGGUGUGUUGCCGCAUACCCAAGAAUGCCCCAUGGAUGACACAGAGGAAGAAGACUUAGAUCCAGGACAGUGGUGGUGGGAUAUGGGGGACCAGUCUGUGGAAGGAACAAGCUGGGAGAUGCUAGAAGCAGGGGGUUGAGGGAGCAUGGGGGUGGGUGGAGAAGAAGAAAGCUGUUCCAGGACAGGACUGGAUGCUGAGAGUCUCAAUGCGAGUGCAGACUCUGACAGAGAGGCAGAAGCUGUUUCUAUUGCUCAGCAACUGGAUAGUCCUGUUCCAACUAGCUCUCCUCAUCCACUAACCCCCAGAAUGAGAAGAGUCCUGCACAUUGCUGAGCAAAAGGCCAGACAGGCCAAGAGGGGAAGCCCUCCCACUCGCCACAGUUUGCCGUGAGUGAGGGUGCCAGAGAGGGGCAGGAAGGGCCAGACGCCAGUUACAGCCAUGUCUUCAAGUAAGGGAGACGAGCCUAGAGGAACGCUGUUGUGUUUUUACUUCUGUGAAUAAAAGUUCAUUGCAUUUCACAUCUCAAGUCCUUUCCCCUGACCUGUGGAUGACCUGCAUUCUCUUGGCAGCCCCUUGGCAGCCAGGCCUCUGUAUUUGCAAUGCUCUUUGGAGACGGGAGACGAUGAAUAAUAAAAUGGGUGUGUUGAAUGUUGCGUCCGAUUGACAUAUUGCAAUUUUCAUUGGCCAUUUUCCAUGAAGCAAUCUUCAGAUUCAUCUUGAAUUUCACUUGAGGCAAUUCGGUGCUAACGUAGAUUGUGCAACUUGUCCCUCCCACCAAGAUGUUUCACUAAUCUGAUCUGGGGCUACCAACUUGAAUAAAAUAUUUGGGGCGGGGGACAUGUAAGCCCCACACCCCAUUUCAAUGACAAUGCCCAUCAAAAAAAAUUGGGGGGGGGGUAUCCUCUCAAAUAUGGGGUGUGUGUGAAUGUAGCUUGGCCUCUAGGAAUUGGCUCUUAUGAUCUGAUCAAAUUUUGUUGGCUUUCCUCAAAAUUCCUGUCACCUUCACAGGAAGGAACAUGAAAUUCUGAGGCACUGCUGAUGUAAAUUUUUUUAUAUUGCUGAAGGCAAUGCAACCCAAAGACCACUCAAAAGUAUCUGCCACACAAUAGCUAUAUAUAUAUAUUAUAGAUGAACCUAUUGAGUGUUAACUUCUGCAAUCAACUAUUCUGCACUGAAGCAUUGUGUUUUAGGGAACUGACCAUUGCAGUUAGUUUACUUUCUUUUCUCUCAACAUUUCUUAGACAGUUCCCUCUCACAAUGAAUCUGGCUGCAUCUCCUAGCUGUAGGCUUUCGGUCAAAGAUUUGGCUGAUUAUUUCAAAUUAAUACACGAUCUCUCAUUUGUACAACAGCAGGCAAGGUACACCUCUCCUCUCUACCUUUUUAGUAUGUAUUAAAACCGUUUUAUCUAUAAAAUGUCCAAAGUGACUAAUAGCAUCUGAAACCUGAAAAACAGGGCAACAGUAAUAAUCAUAUCAAAGUGGCAAACAGCAGAUAAAAUCCAGAAGCAUGCAGUCAAGAGCUAAAACAUUAUAGAUAUUUAAGAUAGGCCAGCAGAAGUUUAAAUUUUCAUGGGGCAGCCUCAAAAUCUAAAACCAAGAGGAUUACAACAACUUCAGAACAGAAAGGUCAACUAAGUGAGAAGAAUUGGGAGUUUUGCCCCGGUGGAGUGGCCUGUAAUCACCACUAUCACCUAACCUGUUGAAAAUAUGCACAUCCUUCCGUCUCUCUUUCAUUCCUAUCAGGGAUGGAGAGAUCAUGUUCUGCAAAUGUUGCUAGGCUACAACUCCCAUCAUCACUGACCAUUGGCCAUGCUGGCUGAUGGGAGUUGGAGUCAAGCAAUAUCUGGUUCUUCAUCCUGUCUCUAUAGUUCACAAUGAAUUUCACCCAGGAACCAUCUGAAAUGCUUCUAUUUGAUUUAUUCCUAUUAAAGUGCAGCACACUCUCCUUUUGGCUAGUAGAAUGUCACAGUAGUGCUGAGUUUAUUAUUAGUCAUUCCAUGGCUCCAGGAAGCAGCCCUUGAUAGGAAAGCUCAGCAAAUAAUGGAUGGCACAUAGCACAUAUUUGUAUAAACACUGCUGAUCACUCUUCACUCACAAAUGGAAGAACAGAGGUGGGAGCCAAGUGUGGGUAAAUAAUGAUACCAAAUGAGAGUCAACACAUUUAAAACACAAGGAAGGUCAUGGUAAACCACAGUUACGUGGGAGCACAGCAGAUAAGAAACCGAGCAAGUGAUUAUGAAAUAUCUGUAUCAAAAUAGCAGCUAGAUAACAAGCAAUAUCGUAAUACUAAUGCGUUUCCCACUAAAAUGACAAGUUCAUGUUUAUAUAAAUGCUGCUGUAUAGAUGGGCUUUAGGUAAAGCUGAAAUGGAAAUUCUCAAAUGUUCAAUAUUUGGGAAUUUUCAGAUUUUGGCCUGAACAUAUUCAUAUGGGAAACCUUCAAAAUCACAUUUUGAAUGUGACAGGUUUAAUUCAAAGUGUGAAUGUUUUAGAUUUCUUGGCAUCCCUCGAGUGUUUCAAUCUUGGCAGGCAACCAUUGUGAAAUCUCACAAGCUGUCAGAUGUCAAAUAUUAAUUACUAUAGCAUGUUGUCUACCCUAUGCUGUAUGACAAAAAAUGCACAUACCAUGACGUAACUAUCAAAUACUUUGCAGUAUUAAAUGCCUUUGCAUGCCAGCCACCAUAUAUAGCACACCACUGGUUUUCAGAGUGUCUUCAGAUCCCAUAAAAAUCCCUAGAGAUGACUACAGUUUCUAGAAAGAUGAAGGCAUUUGUUUAAAACUGGGGUACAGAAAUAGAAACCUGUUGGGCUACAAGCAGAAGGGAAAUGGCCUAAAAAGGAAAAAUGGGGAGAAUUCAGGAAACUUUCACUUACACAUACCUUUUAAUACUCGCUAAAAUUCAAACUACAGAAAAAAUUAUAUGCAGCACUACUCCUCUUGUUGAGAUCUAGAUGGUAAUUCCCCCCCCACCCCAAUAUUAUAGAGUAAGCCCUCAGGGCUAAAUUAGGUGUGUAAAUUCAUGUCAAUAGAAGCCAAGAGGACAUCUGGGGGAGAGGUAGGAAACUGUUUUUAACUGUUUCAUACCCUGCUAUAGUCCCAACAUCAUUUUCCAUUGUGAAGCUCUUUGAAGAUUCAAGGAUCAGCAAACUUUUUCAGCAGGGGGCCGGUCCACUGUCCUUCAGACCUUGUGGGGGGCCAGAAUAUAUUGUUUUUUGGGGGGGGGCGAAUGAACGAAUUCCUAUGCCCCACAAAUAACCCAGAGAUGCCUUUUAAAUAAAAUGACACAUUCUACUCAUGUAAAAACAUGCUGAUUCCCGGACCAUCUGUGGGCCGGAUUUAGAAGGCGAUUGGGCCACAUCCGGCCCCCGGGCCUUAGGUUGCCUACCCAUGAUUUAAAGGGUCCCAACCAGCACCAGUAGAGGCCUCACUUGAAAUGACAAUAGGAGCUUCAGAGAGGAGAUUUUCGUUGAGGUCAUGGCAGGGAGAGAAAGAGUUAAACUUACCGUAUUUUUUGCUCUAUAAGACGCACCAGACCACAAGACGCACCUAGUUUUUGGAGGAGGAAAACAAGAAAAAAAAAAUUCUGACUCUCAGAAGCCAGAACAGCAAGAGGGAUCGCUGUGCAGUGAAAGCAGCAAUCUCUCUUGCUGUUCUGGCUUCUGUGAUAGCUGUGCAGCCUGCAUUCGCUCCAUAAGACGCACACACGUUUCCCCUUACUUUUUAGGAGGGAAAAAGUGAGUCUUAUAAAGCAAAAAAUACGGUAAUUGUGAGUCAACAAGGUCUGGAUGUCGCUAUUAGGUACUGUAAUGAGUAUGGGUUGCUCGUGCGUAAGUUGCCGCCUCUCCUGGCUAUGUUGCCUGGUUAAACCUUUCUGUCUCGACAGCCCUUCACUUCGUGGCUGCCUCAGUCGCUAGCAGAAUCCGUCAAUGGGCGUUUCUUAAACCUUUUCCAACAUAAAAGUUGUUUGACGCCAAGUCUCCUCCUACUCUCCCUGCGCAGAAGUCUUCUGCGCAGGGAGGGCGUGGGUAGCGGAGGACCCAUGCUCUCCCCGCUGGUGUCCAGUGAAGAGUCCUGGAGCCCUCUCGCCGAUUCCCCCAUCUGCCCCCCUUUAUCCCUGGUGUUGCGCUGAUUUGCUUCCCCAUCUGCUGAGCUGCCUCUCUCCCUGCUGGGCCCUUCUCCAGCAUCAUUUGAGAGCCUUCCCUCCGCCUCUAGCUCCGAUGUCAGUUCCCUGACAUCCACGCACUACACUAUCCCCCCCCCCCACAUAGAAAUGCACCUGUCAGUUUAAUUUUGGGGGUCUGCCUUGGUAAGUUUUAGGCAUUCAUGGCACCCCAAACAUGCACAUCUAUCUAGACACACACGCAUACAAACAUAUGUAUCCUGUGCAUUGUACACAAUAAUAUGCAUGGUAAGAAAGGCAUGCAAAUAAUAUUCACUCAGGAUGAUAAUCAGGGGGAGGGGUCUUUGCUGCGUGCUCCUGACACCUGCUGUGGUCUUUACACCUUACAAGCUCUAACACCAUGUACUCUGAAGGUGAAGAGGGGCCCAGUUGAACCAGUAGGCUGUUUCCUUGUGCUAUAGACAUUUUGCACAUUUCCGGAUUGAACAUCACAACUCGGCUCAAACAUCUGUUGUGGUUAUACUUGCUCAGCAUUUCAGAGCAGGGAGACAUAGGGGGCCCUUUUCAAGCAGCUCCUAAAGCAGUCUGCUGGAUUAUCUAUACCACUUCCUUUUACACAAAGACAACCCCAUCCUUGUCCACAUUACAUAUUGGACGUUAAAUUCUUUCCCUGCGAGACUAACUUUUCUUUUUGUUCUGCCUGAAUUCUUGUCCUCUGAAGUCUCAGAUUUAAAAAGAGGAGAGUUCAUUUGGUAUAAUCGAGCUUCAAAAAGAAAUCACAGUCUGUUUCUCCAUUAUAAGCAGGAUUAAGAACCGCAAAAAAUGAGCUAGUCCACUGCGUUUACUCCUGAUCUUCCAACUGCCUAGCUGAGAAACAAGACAAUUGUCAUCUCUUCAUCCUCAGUUUUAAGUCUACAAAAGUCUUUAGCAUAAGUAAUAUGUAUUAAAGUGUCAAUAAACUGUCUGCAGUAUUUGAGGCCUAGUUAGCAUUUUUAUUGAGCUCCUUGUGUUAGCAUUUUCUGAAAUUGACUUUUAUUAAUUACCAAUUUAAAUCCAUAACUCGGAUAGCACAGGUCACUAGUAAGUGGGUCAUUUCAACAUUAGAUGCUUUUACCAAGAGCAGUGCUUAAACUUCAGCAGAUUUUGCUGGUAGCAAUUAAAAUAAGCAUGUACCAUAGCCUAUUUAUCAUGGCAACUAGACAAGUUUAAGACAUUUACAUGGUGCUCUUGAUGAAAGGUAGCCUUCCACCCUAUGGCUGUUGUUCAAUAACAUGCUCAUUUCCCAUAAUCGAGCCUAAUUAAGGGAAACUGGUUAUUUACCUGUUAGUAAAGAGGGGGAAAAUAAUUUUGAGUGUAAAAUGCAGCCUGGGGAGAUAUAAUUGCUAAAUUCUUGACUGGCCUCCGUGGGAGAUUUGGUGUGGAAAUUAUUGAUAUUGUUCAAUUAUGCUAGUGCCACACAGUGUUGGAUUCCAUUUUAAAGGGUUGUCAGCAUUUCUUCUUCAAAGCUUAGCAGUAAGUUGUAUUUAUAAGGCUGCAAGAGAAAACUUCACCCUCCUCUAAGAAAACAAAAAAGUCAAUAUAGAAGGAAAUGUUUGGAAGCUUAUUUGAAAAGAAGGACAGUUUUAGUCUAAAUGUCUAUGUUUUAUUCCCAUCCCAUUUCAUUCUUUCCCCGCCAUCUAAAAGGUCUCCAAAAUGACAUUCAAUACUCAAAUCUUGAAAUAUGAAAACUCAUUUAUAUGCUACCUUUUGGCCCUCAAAAUGCCCCAGUGUGCUUUACGGCAUUAAAAACUGACAGUCUAAGCAAAUAAAUGACAGUGCGAGCCUAUAUAUCUCCACACGGAAGUCCCAUUGAGUUUAAUGGGGCUUACGUCCAGGUAAUGGAGUAUGGAAUGCUGUUUAAGACUCCAGGCCUAUUCUCAUUUACCUGGUAGUAAGCCUCAUUGAACACAAGGAGACUUACUUCUGAGUAGACAUGCACAGGAGUUUAGUGUUACUCUGUUUUAAAAAAUCUAAAGAAAAUGAAAGCAAACCUAUAAGAAAUAAACAAAGCCAUUGUAAUCCACAGGCAAUGAUUCCUCCCUCCCUCCCUUUAUCAAAUUGGUAACGGAAGCUGAUAAAGCCAUGAGAGCCAUGAGGCCAUCUUGGUUGUGAGUCCUGGGAGGGUUGACUGACUCCAGCUACAAAAGCUGAGGCUGCUGAACAGACUCUUGGGGUAUUGUUUAGGGACUUUUUUUGCUGUUGUUAAUAUUAUUUGUUAUUUAUAUUUAUAUUAUUUGUUAUUUGUAUCUUUAUUUUUAGAUCUUAUAACGAUUGGUUCUCUCACACACAUCCAGAAAAAGAAAAAGACCGCAUUGGCUUAGGGACAGGGGUGGAGACAAAAUCUGUUCAGCUGGCAUUUCUUCCUUAGCAUAGAGAGGUUCUAAAUAUUUAAAGAAAUUGAUAGGAACCUAUCUAAUUUGCACUUCCCAAAGCAAUAUGCAAAUGGAAAUGUGGCAAUCCUUCAAAAUGUGCACUUCUCUAAAUUUUGCAAUACAAUUCUCCUGCCUAAAAGAAUUUUUGCAAAAAAGCAUAUAUUAGGGACAUAAAAUACACAUUAAAAUGUUUAAUGCUAAUGAAGUUUCCUCCGCACUUUCCUUAUACGUUGACACGUAAAUUAAUUUAAGAUGGGAAGCAUGAAACUGCGAAAAAUUUGACAGAUUUAUUGAUUCUCUACUUAGUCAUACUUUCUAGAGGUUUUUAAAGGCCAAAUCUUCCAUCAUCCCCAUUCCUUUUCAUUGUGUCAUAUAUUCUACAAAUGGUCGAACAGACUGUGGAAUAUAUCCAAGAUGUUUGCAGGUCAUCAUUGCUUGUUUGUUUGUUUUUAAAAAGAAGAAAAUUUCACAAGAAUCUCCGUAGCAGUGUCCUCCACUUGGUAUCCUCCUGGUGUUUUUGACCACAGAUCACAACCUCUCUAACCAUUGGACAUGCUGGCUGGGGCUGGUGGCAAUUAGAAGCCAAAAUCAUCUGAAGGGCACCAGGUUGGGGAAAGAUGCCCUGUGAGGUAAAAUUUGUCUUUUUUUAAUUUUUUGCCCUAUUUUCUAUGUUUGCAUUACAAUACAAACACACGCCCCCCCCCAAAAAAGAAAGAAAUAUGAGGACCACCCCUCCUCCCACAAAGCAAAUGCUCCCAACAAAUUACAUGGUGGGGUUUUUCUAUGGGGGUGGUCGGUGAGGAAGCAAAGCUUUAUGAUAGUAAAUACUGUACACAGGUUUUUAUGCUUCCUGUAUAAAAUGCACUAUAGAAAUGUAAAGUACUUAUUAUCUUGUUUAUUGUAUUUUGACUUGUGGGAUAAACCUCUAACUGAUUGUCUUGAGAAGAGGUAUAAUCUGUUACACUCGACUAACAGUACUAUUUCCUUCUUUCUUAUCUUGUAUUUGGUCUGUUCAGACAUGUUUGUUCUUCUUGCUGAUCUUUUAAAAUGUGUUUAGCAAAGUAAAUGAUGGAUGGAUUCUAUUAAUGUUCUUUAAGUUCAUGUGAAGUUUGCGGCGCACUUUUUCUUUCUGCGUGCCUUAACGUUGGGUUGUGCGUUUUCAGCUUUCUCAAUAGCGAUAAACAGAAGUUAGCCAACUGCUUCCUUGGAUGGAGAUGCACUCUCCCUGAGGGAGCAGGUACACAGCUUGGGGGGGGGCUUCUGGAUUCAGGUAGCCCCAGGUGGCCAGAAGACCCUUUACCAGCUACACCUGGUAUAGUAGUUAUGACCCUUCCUGCAGCAGGAGAGCUUGAGCACAGUAGUGAAUUCAAGACUGCAAUACAGUGGUGCCUCGCAAGACGAAAAGAAUCCGUUCUGGGAGUCUCUUCGUCUAGCGGUUUUUUCGUCUUGCGAAGCAAGCCCAUUGACGGGAUUAGCGGAUUAGCGCUAUUAGCGCUAUUAGCGGCUUUUAGCGGCUUUUAGCGGCUUUUAGCAGCUUAUCAGCUUAUCAGAUAAGCAGAUAAGCGGCUUAGCGACUUAGAAAAAGAGGGGAGAAAGGAAAAAAAAACCCCAGGAACUCGCAAGACAUUUUCGUCUUGCGAAGCAAGCCCAUUGCAGAUUCGUUUUGCGAGGCACCUCCAAAACGGAAAACUCUUUCGUCUAGCGAGUUUUCCGUCUUGCGAGGCAUUCGUCUUGCGGGGCACCACUGUACUGCAAUGCAUUCUAUCUGGGGCUUCCCUUUCACUUGAUCUGCAAGCUGCACUUAAUGCAGAAUGUUGCAGCACAAUCGCUGACAGCAGUGAGGCUGUGGCCUUCAUCUAGACUUCCUUUUGUUAUUGUUUUUAAUUAAAGAUUUUCUGGAGUUCCACACUUUCUAGGCACAGGUCUAGGCUUUCCCGGCAGGUUUUAUUUUGUCCCAGUGCUUUCUCCAUGAAAAACUGCAUUCUACUGCUAAAUCAGAGCAAACAGCAAUCUGCGGAAAAUGUGACUGUCAUUUGCUUCAAUUCAGCAGUAAAAUACAUAUUUUCCUGGCAAAAGAACCCAAAAAAAGUGGGGGGAAAUGCUCAGACAUGGAGCUUUAAAUCAAAUCAAAUCAAAUACCUUUAUUGGCAUCACAGUAUAAAACAUUUCAGGUCACUGGGAUAAUUAAAAUGACAAGGGUGAAGCUGUUGAGAGUCAUAAGAUCCCACUGUGAUCGUGUGCACUUAGAUAUUCUGCUACGCCCUGUCUGUUCCCCAAAAAGGAUGCUUCAUUGGGAACCCUUCUGGGUAAAAUUGUGGCUAAGAAGGAAGCUACUAAAGCAGUGAUAUCUUUCUCCCCAUCUGCCAGGAGAAACCUCAUGGACUUCUUCUCAGAGUUAUAGGCCGGAGGUCCAACAUUUUGACAUGGAGCUUUCAAACCUGUGCCUAGAAAUGUACCACAAAAUGAAUUCCUGUCUGCAUAUUCAACUUCUCCCCAAAGAUCUGCACUGGUUGCCCAUUUGCUACUGGACCAAGUUCAAGGUGUUAAUGUUAGUAAAGUCCCGAACAGCCUGAGACCAUUUUACUUGUAGGAACAUCUUUUGCUCCAUUUAAGCCCACUUGGUCGCUUCAGUCUGCAAAACUGGCAUGGUUAGAGGUCCCACAAAAAUACCCAUUCCACACUUGUAGGAAUUCAAUCUUUUAGUGUUGCAGCACCUACAUUUUGGAAUUCCACUGUAUUCCUUUUGGCCCCUGCUUAAAACAUUUUUGCUUGGAAACAUUUUUCUUGAUAUAGACCUGAUACAUCUCAAUUAUCUAUUCAUAUACAGAGUAUAUAGCUUGGUAGGCCAUGAGUAGAGACAGCUGUGGAUACCCUAUAACAUUCCAGACUACAGAAAAUAUUUCUCAACUGAAGAAGAAACAAUCAGAGGAGAAAGCUUAAUAUAUGAGUGCUCUGUGCAUAUUUCACUCUUAAUCUGAAAAUGAUCAACUUUAUCGUCUUGUUCAGAGGAAGACAAUCACAAACAUUUGCCAAUAUUGCUGAAAUAUCAACUGAAUGGUUUUGCUACAAAACAGUUCUUAUUUAACAAAGCUACCGCCUCUUCCUUCAGCAUGGCAAAUAUAAUCUCAUUGUCACUUGUAGGAUCACCUUACACUGAAUACCAGUUCAAUCUGUUACUGUUACAGUAGAAAUGAAAUACUCAUUCUGCACUUGUAACAAAUUGAAGCAUUCAUACAAUAGUUGCACUCUUUCCAAAAUCCUUUGCCGAGGCCAUUGCAAAAUAGCUUCAGCCAUGUGUUUGACAGGCCAUCCUUGGCUUGCAUCAGCUACAGCAGGCAAUAGCAGAGAGGUACAGUGGUACCUCGGGUUACAUACGCUUCAGGUUACAGACUCUGCUAACCCAGAAAUAGUACCUCAGGUUAAGAACUUUGCUUCAGGAUGAGAACAGAAAUCGUGCUCUGGUGGUGUGGCAGCAGCAAGAGGCCCCAUUAGCUAAAGAGGUGCUUCAGGUUAAGAACAGUUUCAGGUUAAGAACGGACCUCCGGAACAAAUUAAGUACUUAACUCGAGGUACCACUGUAAUGGGAGAAUAGGAAGUGGUACCAAAGUAAAAAUUUCCUCCUCCUGCCCAUGAGAUGGAAUAAAUGGCUGCUCACCUCUAUAGCCUCUGAUGCAAUAAAUACCUCCCAGGACUGAAAGAGGCAGGGCUUAUGAAAAUCCAACCAGCCACUUAUGAAAGCUUUUGCUAAUUUGCUUUUCCAUUAUUCAUUCUAAUUAAGGGAAAUUUGAAUAUACAGGUAAACCAGAAAGAAGAGGAUUUAGGCUUGACAUCUCUUUCAGGUGGCUGCCUAGGAUCUUGGGGAGUCCGACAAUUCAGGAUUAGGCCAGCAGAUGGAAAGGAGAUUUGCAAUCUUACCAAAAGGCUAAGGAAUCUACAAAUGAUAUAGAACAGUCUAUCAUCACCGAUAUCCCAAAAUGGAGACUAAAUUUAAAACUGGUCACCACAGAUGUGUGUUUAUGGUGUCUGCUGCACCUGGGUAGAAAAGAUAUGUCAGUAUCUUUUCAGUAAUAACCCCUACUUAAGUUUGUUGCAUGAGGACAAUGAUUAAAAUUUUAUUAAAAAUUUGUUAACAACAAUAAAAAACAUUUGUUUCAUUACAUAUUUUCAAAACAAAGAAACAAACAAAAAAACAAGCAAUAUACAGUUUUUGCCCACCACCAGAUGGGACUUACAGUGGUGCCCCGCAAGACGAAUGCCUCGCAAGACGGAAAAACCGCUAGACGAAAGGGUUUUCCGUUUUGAAGUUGCUUCGCAGGACGAAUUCCCCUAUGGGCUUGCUUCGCAAGACGAAAAUACCUUGCGAGUCUAGAGAUUUUUUUCGCUUUUCCCCCUUUAUCUAAUCUGCUAAGCCUUUAAUAGCCUUUAAUAGCCUUUUAGCAGCUAAUCCCCUAAGCCUUUAAGCCUUUAAUAGCCGCUAAACAGCUGAUAGCGCUAAUAGCGCUAAUCCGUCAAUGGGCUUGCUUCGCAAGACGAAAAAACCGCUAGACGAAGACUCUUGCGGAACGGAUUAAUUUCGUCUUGCGAGGCACCACUGUAUUUGCAUGCACAUAGAUUUAAAACAUUUUUCUUUGCUUGCUCACACUUCAAUGUGUGUGUGUGUGUGUGUGUUUGUGUGACCUCCUCAACUUCUAUGUAAAUUCAGUAAUGCAAAGUACACCAGGGUAGAUUGGCAACUCAUCUCUCUCAUAUGUUUAUCCAAAGCAUAAAUGCCAUUUAUGCCAACUUCCUUUUAACUUCUACAAUGUUUAUUACACAUAAUUUCUCCUAUAGAAUAGGCUGCUGUACAGACAUUCCCUUCCCUUUUGUAGGGAUGAGUUGUAUCAGAGCACUACAGGAUUAGCAAGGACUGUACAGUUUGAGGGCUCUUUGAAUCUUGCUCUGAUAAAUCCUCAAAUGUCAAGAUUAAAGGGCAGAAUUUCAGAAGGUAGAACUGCAGGAUGCCAAGCUCGUCCCUUGAAAUUAUACCUCUGCCUGCUUCCUAUCCCUCCCCCUACCUCACAAACCUGGGUUAUGGCCAUCUAUCACGUUGGUGGUUCCAGAAAAAUGUCUCCUAAUCCUGCACUUCACACACCCCAACCAUCAGAUCCCUUUCCUGGCUGGUGGCUCCAGAGGCCUGUCCUGCUCUAUAGAAAUAACUUGAUGAUCCCCACUCCACCAACAAUUUUGCAUGCGUCUCUGGCCAGCCAUUUUCCCCAUCUGCUGUCUCAGCAGCCAAAAUAUAUUUGUUGGCAAUUAAACUAAUCUUUACUGGCUUCACAAAGACUUGAAUUCUACCUGGCUUUCUUCUGUUGGGUUUUUAACGGAUGCUCUGGUUUGUUCAGAACUGCAGGCAGCAACCACGUGCAAAGACCAGCCCACCAUCUUUCAGGGCAUAGAGGGGGAGGCUCGUGUGAACGGCCAUGAUGUUAUUUCUUGUUGAGCUACAGAUGUAUUGCUUUAGCUGGAACCGCUGAAUUUCUUCAAGACUGACUACUGUCAUCUCUGCUUCAAGGAUAUAUAUCUGCUGCAUAUUGCAAGCAUGCUGUCCUUUUGUUGCUGUUACUUUUGUCUGGAAUAAACCGCAGCACAAAUCAUUCUACCAUAGCAAUAUAAAUCAGCCUCUCAUGGUCAACAAGCCUAAGAGACUGAAUUUCAACCAGAGAGGAGGGGUGGGGGAGAGAGAGAGAGAGAGAGAGAGAGAGAGAGAAAGCUUACUUCCCAGAGAGCAAGUUGUUGGCAUUUAUCUUAAAGGAUUGUCCAUUCCAAGUAGCUAAGAUUAAUUUUAUCUUACGUAGCAUAAGCUAGGAAUGGGAAAACUGUCUCCUCCAAAUAAACUGCAAGUUUUGUAGAGGAUAGAAAAUCCAGGCCAAAUACAAGCUAUAAAGAAAUAGAGAAAUAAUACCUAUGAAGCUUACGUGAACUUGCCUUCUGGAGUCAAUCACCGAUAAAGUUAUUUCCCCCCCUGGGAUUAUGGCAGGGGAGGAAACGGUAAUCUCAUUUCCGCACACGCCACCAUCCCAAUUACCCCCCUCCUUGGAGAUACCCUGCUGCCUAGUGGGAAGGCGAAGGGAGGGGCACGGUGGCAGGGUGGUACCCGCGCAGUGGCAAGAGCACCAGAUUGGCUCUGCUGGUGUGUUUUCUCCCUGACAACCUCCCUGCUGCCUCGUGCUUCCCCCUCUCAUCAAGAAGCGGCGACUCAGCAUCCGAGAGGUCAACUGAGAGCUGCCACCCUGAUCCUACCCCACAAUCUGCUACUGGUUUUAAGACUAUGGGACGUGAGCCAAGAAAUCAUUUGGUUUGAAUUUUACUGCAGCCAUGAACGCCCCUGCUGCUCUCUCUCAGCCACCCAUCUGAUGCAUAAGGCUAAUAAUACUAUCAGACCUUACAGAGUUGUAAGGUUUAAUGGGCUAAUGCCAGUGGAAUGCUUUAAAUACAGGGAAAAGUUAGGGGGGAAACAUUGCUGUAGGAAGUUAUGUGUAUGUUCAAAAGAUGGGGUUAAUGGGACCAUAAGCAGUGUUUCUCACCAUUCAAGAUAGUGGAAACAGUAUUCAGAUCAGCCCCAUAUGAGCAGUCAGGGCACAAUUCCAAUUCCUUACUUCCACACGUAAAAAAUAGCUUUUCAUAUCCCACUGAUUUAUCAGCUAAAACGAUGGUUUGGUACCAUUUUCUUUAUGAAAUGGUCACAUUCAAACACUGGGUGGUUUCUGUAAGGUGCUUCUUUUCCCCACAACUAAUUUUUUUUAAAAAUAAAUAUGCCAUUCUGUUAAGUACCAUGAUUUAAAUCACACAUUUACAAGUUGUUUCAGUAUUACCGAAAGACAUUAUUGAAUUAACAUAUUUUACUCUGAAAAUUCACUAGGGAUUUAUGUAAAAUACAUUUGCAUUUUGUACUUGAGUGCUUCCCAGUCAAAGUAUUUCUUUUAUUUCAUAUCUGAAAUAUAGUUUGCCCAGCUCCGAUGUUGACCCAUUUUAAAUAUGGUCAUUCUUGAGGUAUCUUAAUUGGAAAAUCAGACUUUUACAAACGUUUUGUUUUUAACCUUAUAGUAUAAUACCUUUGGCUCCAAUCUGCAGAAUUUUAAUCUUUCUUAAUUUCCAUUUAAAUCAAUGGGGCAAAAGUUCGUUGCAGUUAUGGCUGGAAUGAAAAUGUUUGUGCAUUUUAUAAACGGUUUUGUCCCCUGAGAAAAGCACCUCUUUCAGAUAAUUUGGAGGGAGAGUUCCUAAGGAUAUAGAAGUAUUCAAACAAGCAUUCUGUGGGGACAGGCUUUGAUUUGAACAGGUAUGAGGAAGCCAGGUCCCUGCUUUGCCAAGAUGACUGGGCUAUCACUUCCUGCUUUGCUGCACUGUGCUACAACUGUGACAGCCAAGGUGGAAAUGAAACAACCACAGGGAGGGGGCACUGGUCUGGUUGCCUUAGCAACAGGGGUAUUUCUCUCUCUCUUCCUCCAUUCAUUCUAAGUGAAGGCAAUGCAAUAGGCCCCAUUUGCCCUCUGUGCCACUGGCAAUGUGGGGCUGAAAUGGUAUCUAGAGAGAACUAAUUACCUGUGUGCUGAUUCUUGUGAAGCUAAAACAGCUGCAUCCAUGCAGAAGAGGGAGGUAUCAGGGGAAUGUCAAAAUUUGCAGAAAUACAGACAAUCACCCCUCCCUUUCAAGAAGGGAAUACAGUCAAAACUCGCGUUACAGAUGCUCCAUGUUGCGUUUUUUCGGGUUACAGAUGUGCCGAAACCCAGAAGUACCGGAAGGGUUACUUCCAGGUUUCGGCAGUCACACAUGCGCAGAAGCACUAAAUCAUGCUUUGCGCAUGUGUAGAAGCACGGAAUUGCAACUAUGUGGUGGGCCAGACUAUAUUUGGAGGGUUAGGGGAAUGAAUCAAUUCCUAUGCCCCACAAAUAACCCAGAGAUGCAUUUUAAAUAAAAGGACACAUUCUACUCAUGUAAAAACAUGCUGAUUCCCGGACCGUCCGCAGGCCGGAUUGAGAAGACGAUUGGGCCGCAUCCGGCUCCUGGGCCUUAGAUUGCCUACCUCUGUUUUGGUUGAAGCCCCCACCCGAUCACAGGACCAUGAGCCCUGCCACAAACAGGAAGGUGAAGGGGAUAUACUUAAGGAGGCACCGUGGGAAGGCAGAUAUUGAAGGACUCAAUAUCUGAGUGACAGAGCAAGGCUUUGGCUGUAGCUAGGAAGAGGGUAAUUUGGACUCCAUUUAUGGCAGCAAAGUAGCUUGUGCAGCUUUAAAAAAGUGCAGCUUUUUAGAAUGGCUUAAGCAAUAACAUAUCAGGGGGAAUGGGGCAAUGAACAAUGCAGAUGUUCUCAAAGACAUUUUGGUCCUCUCAAAUGGUAGAUGUGUAAUACAGGGUUUGACAUAAAUUGAUCCACUGAUAUCAAUAGCAGUUAAACAUGAUGUCCUCUCUCCAGAUUGUCACAGAGAUCUGUGUCCCCGUUUUAUGCUACAAGCGGGCUAGAGUUAUCCCCUGAUAAAAGCUUCUGGUUGCCUCUAGGAACUGCCUAGCUUAUAGGUUGUCUUCAAGCUACCUAGGGGUGAUGCACCAGUUAUUUCUUGCUACAGUAGCCUGUGGCUAAAAUGUAAUAAGGACAUAUUGUCACUGCUGCAAAUUUUCACCUAAGGUGAAAGUCAAGAAGAAUUUGCAAUGGCUUCUCUGGGGAAACCACCUAUAGGGAUUUUGAGGAAAGUCCAAAGAGUCUUGAUAAGAAUUGCAAAAAAAAUUAAAAUCCUCAGAGAGGCCAUUGCCAUCUGUACUGUGGAACAAACUCUGUGAAUCUCUUACACACACACACACACACACACACAGAGAGAGAGAGAGAGAGAGAGAGAGAGAGUUUUCUGUGAGCAGGACCUGCCCCAGUCAUUUCAGCACCAACUUAAUCUUCAUCUGAUACGAACACAAAGGUCUGAUCCAUGCCAAGAUGUGCGCAAGCUUUCAAAAAGUACUGCAGUAGAGGCAACUUAACUACCUGUGACACAUGUGCAUGAUAAAAACGUAUGAAAUCUUGGAGCUUAUGUAGCAGACUGAAAGAGGGCUAAUAAUGAAGGGUAAUAGGAUGAAUUACAUAAAGGUAACAGGUAGUAUUAAUAUCAGGGAAAGCUUCCUGACAAUUAUAUCUAUUAGCUUUUACUAUAAUCUCCUUAGGGAAAGUAAUGAAGGCUCGUUAGCUCACAUCUUCAAGAAUAUCCUGGACACUACACAGGAAGAUAUGGCACGGGAAGAAAACAUGAUGGAUGAGAAAUAAAAAAAAGCUGUUGGUCCACUUAAGCCACUUCUACCCACUUCAUGCUCUAAGCACAUGGAUUCUACACUAAAAUCCUGCAGCCAAAAAAUCAAGGCAUUGUGAAAAGCGUAAGUUAUGUUCACUAAGCUAUUUGACUAUAUAUUUGUGGGGGGGGGGCCUAGUCACAAAAUGAAUUUCUUUUGACACAAUUCAUUAUAUACAGUUGCAGCCUUUCUGAAUACUCACAUAUCUGAAGAAAGUUGCAGAUCACUUCUAGGAAGCAGUUGCCCAGGUAGGCACAUGAGAGCAGCAAAAUAACCAGAUUGUACAAUGGUGGUUGGAUAAAAUCAAGCCAAGUCUUUAUUGACAGCAGCAGGCAGGGUAAGGGUUGGCAUGGCAUUAGGGCCAGGUUCAGUUCAUCAUUUCAGAAGUCCCAAGAGGAUCCGUUGGGUUUGAACUGCCCCAAACCUGUUUCAUGGGAGUUGGCCAGUGCUGAACCUUGCUGUGGUGCAAGCCAAGCAAGCAAGUUGUCACUGGGUGACCAGGGUGCAGAUUCCAACCAGACAGAUACCCCAACCCAAGCUUGGAGAUGUCAUGGUCAAUAUUGCCCUCUGACCUCUUACGAGGGGCCCCCUAUACUAUGUUGAUCCUUCCCAAUGCCAUGACGCCCUCAUACAAUGUUCUUCACCUAACAAAGCAAGGCCAUAAUUUCACUGAGGGAAAGGUGGAAACCCCCCCCCCCAACCAAGUGUCUAUCAGGUUGAGAGGGGAAAACCAAUUCUUAACAGCCCGGUUAACCAGUGACCCAGAAUUGCUCAGUGAAGGCUCUAACCCGAGGGUGGGUGGAAAGCUUUCAAGUCCAAGUGGCCCUAAGCUGCAGGGGAAGUUUCCCCCCACUCCUUUGCAAGGGCUUAUGAGACAGCUUUUUCCCAUGAGCCCAUCACACAGGCAAGACACUGGGCAAAACUUUGCCCAGUAUUUUGCUGCAACCUGUGGGCCACAGCACUGCUGGGCAAAGGCAUCUUGCACUUACUGGGCAUGGAAUGAGGCCUCUAAGCAAAUUAUACAAUUGUGAUGGGGGGCUGAAGUUGGCUUGGAAGGGGGUGUUAUAAAUAAGAUUAAAAAAUACAUCACACAAUCAAAUGUUGGGUACCAUGGGCUGCAUCAAUAGGAGUAUAGCAUCUAGAUCAAGGGAAGUAAUAGUGCCACUGUAUUCUGCUCUGGUCAGACCUCACCUGGAGUACUGUGUCCAGUUCUGGGCACCACAGUUCAAGAAGGACACUGACAAACUGGAACGUGUCCAGAGGAGGGCAACCAAAAUGGUCAAAGGCCUGGAAACGAUGCCUUAUGAGGAACGGCUAAGGGAGCUGGGCAUGUUUAGCCUGGAGAAGAGGAGGUUAAGGGGUGAUAUGAUAGCCAUGUUCAAAUAUAUAAAAGGAUGUCACAUAGAGGAGGGAGAAAGGUUGUUUUCUGCUGCUCCAGAGAAGCGGACACGGAGCAAUGGAUCCAAACUACAAGAAAGAAGAUUCCACCUAAACAUUAGGAAGAACUUCCUGACAGUAAGAGCUGUUCGACAGUGGAAUUUGCUGCCAAGGAGUGUGGUGGAGUCUCCUUCUUUGGAGGUCUUUAAGCAGAGGCUUGACAACCAUAUGUCAGGAGUGCUCUGAUGGUGUUUCCUGCUUGGCAGGGGGUUGGACUCGAUGGCCCUUGUGGUCUCUUCCAACUCUAUGAUUCUAUGAUUCUAUGAUUCUAUAUCCAUAGGGAAUGAAAUAUCAACAUCUCCAUACAGGGUUGGUGGAGAAAUUAAAUUAAGUUUGCACAUUCAGAAGUGUGUAUUAGGAGAAAUUCACUCUAUAAAGUUGUUGGCUUUUCAUGUGGAUUUUUUUAAAAAAGUGCAAUGUGUUGUGAAUAUAGUGGAGGACCAAACGUAAGAUGACAGCUUCACCCAUCCUUAUCUCCAUAUUUAAGUAUCACAGCACAAGCACAAUUCCCACUCCCUAAAAGAUGUGACUUCCCCAAGAACUCUUCACCUCCAAAUUCUGUUGCGCUGCCCCAAUAUUGCAUGUUUUAAGUCUUUAGGGUUGGCAGGUCCACUGAUCAAUCUCCAAAUGGAACAUAUAUAUCUAUAAUAUUUUAUAGAAGUAGCCAGAUGUUGAAACAGAAUGCUCCGAUAGACAUAUUAAUCAACAAUAUUUCUGUGAUUGAAGCAGCAGGAAAAAAUUGCUGCGACAAUCAAGGAAAUUGCUGUUGCUCGUGGGCCAGUUCAUGCCGUCUAUAUAAAAAAAAAACACCCCUCCGUUUACAGUGGCCUGUUAGGCACAGAAGUGUGGGGGAAGUAAUAUAUGAGCUGUUACAACCACAUUGGCAGAUGCUGCUUCACAGCAGUCAUUCACACAAUCUGCGCUAUCAUACUCUCAAGAAUCACUGUCAAUGUAUGAGCAGUGAUGACUGGCUUAUAUCCUCCGUAUGUGUGUGCGUCUGUCCACUGGGCAGCUCUACACAGAUGAUUUUAGAGCAUGUGAAUGAAAUCUGUGUGCAUUAUCUCUUAGCUCCUGCCACUUUAGGGGAAGGGCCAUGGGUUAGCGGGAGAGCACCUGUUUUGCAUGCUGAAGAUCCAAGGUUCACUCCCCAGGGGAUUGGAGUGUCCCUUCUGAAAACUGCAGAGCUGCUGCCAUUGCUUAGUCCUUGUAUACGGUUCCUGCUUUCCACCUCUCACAUUGGAUUCCCAAUUUAAUGGUUAGAGUGCUGGACUAGGCCUGGGGAGAGUUGCCAUACAUUCUCUUUUUCUAGGACCCCCCCCCCCUUUUUCAUGAUAAGAGUCAUCGUAGAUAUCCAUAGUUAAAAGUAAAAGGUAAGGGUAAAGGGACCCCUGACCAUUAGGUCCAGUCACAGAUGACUCUGGGGUUGCGGUGUUCAUCUCACUUUACUGGCCAAGGGAGCCGGCGUACAGCUUUCAGGUCAUGUGGCCAGCAUGACUAAGCCGCUUCUGGCGAACCAGAGCAGCGCACGGAAACGCCGUUUACCUUCCCGUCGGAGCGGUACCUAUUGAUCUACUUGCAAUUUUGGCAUGCUUUUGAACUGCUAGGUUGGCAGUAGCAGGGACCGAGCAACAGGAGCUCACCCUGUCGCGGGGAUUCGAACCGCCGACCUUCUGAUCGGCAAGCCCUAGGCUCUGUCGGCAAACGUGUCAAAAUAUGAUGCUCCCUGAGGGACCUUGGCCUGGCUGUAUUCUCUUUCUCAGCCUACCACACAGGGUUAUUUCUUGUGAGGAUUAGAGGGUUGUAGGCAUGGAGCAAAAACUAUGUAUGCACCUUGACCUCUUUGGAAGAAAGGCCAAUGAAAUGAAAGAAUGAAAGUUGCCAUACUAGGCUAUUGCCCAUGAGCUGUUUUUUGCUUGUGAAUACAAUGAAGCAAUUUGCAAACUUGCUGCUUCUAUGAAUUCUUUAUCCACGACAGUGAAUGUGUAGUUUUUGCUUUGGGAACAGAAAAUCACAAGUAUUCAUAGCAUCCCAGUCCACUAUUAAACACUAGCAAUAGCCAAGCAGCUGUGCAACCCUUUGCUGAUGAGCGCAUCAGUUUGUUAUCAGAAAACCUAAUGUUACAACCUCUCGGACACUGUUCCAUGUGCUUUGAUGACUGGGGUGUAAAGGCUGCUGAUAGGUUUGUUUGCUUCUUUGUGGGGUUGGGAGGGGGUAGGAACGAUGUCAUAUUCAGGAUUCAGGGGUCAUUUUCUAAUUCUGGUUGAUACAUUUAGUUCAGGUCUCUGGCUCCUAGUGCUUUUAUAUUUCAUAAGUCUCUAAUUUAUUUAGCGGGGUAGGGGCAUUCAGUUUUAUUUCAGCUAAUGGUGAAAAAUAAAGGAAUGAAUCGUGAUGUUCUGGAAGGGCUUUGCUGUCCUGGAAGAACCUUGCAGGAGAAAGUUAUAUAACAGUAACUCUUAAACUUCCAGUUUUUGUUGUGGGAGAAACUUGUUUACAGAUAUAGAUGAUAGAUAGAUAGAUAGAUAGAUGAUAGAGAUAGCUAGAUAGCUAGAUAGAUGUCAGUGAUCUCAGGUUAGGAGAAACAUUAUUUUACCACUAAAGGCAUCAUAUGAAUAUAAUGAAAGCUGUCUUUUGCAACUUACAUAAUAAUGUGUAUCACAGUGGGAUAAAUAAAAUAUGCAGCAGUGGCAAAGAAUGGGAAAUGAAACAUUAUUCUUGAUCGUAGUCUGCAGCUGGUCUUGGGAUCAGUUUGUUCAAACAGCAGAAUUAAGUGGUAAAGCCUUUUCUGGACUAAAUUAUUUUAAUAUCACGUUUAUGUAUGGGGGAGCAGUAAAUGUUGGGAGUUAAAACUUAAUCUUCCCAUAAAAGCCUGUUGUAUCACAUGAUAGGAGGAAAGCUAUGCUGAAUCCUUCUCCACGAGGAGUUAUGUCUUGGAGGGCAUUUCUGAAAACAAGAGCACACAAACACCUGCCCAUGUAUAUACAGGGUAUACCUGCCAGUUACAGAUCAGGAAAAACUUCACAUGAAUCUACCACUUCAUAUAUAUUUUCAUGACCAUCCUGGUUUUCCACAGCAACAUGUUGGAGGGUAUAAGAAUGACACAUGUCACACCAUUCUGUGCAUGCAAUGUUUCACCAGGAGAUCUCUCCACACACACGGAUCACCUGUACUGGAUCAAAGCAGAAGUUGCCUAUUUCUUCACAGUAGUUCCACUGAGAACGAACACAGAAAUAGGUUAAGAAAUUUGUAAAAGGCAAGCCUUUAUGUGAUUAUGCUUUUACAUUUCUUGCUACAAAGUGUACAUCAUUUUUAAAGCUUCAGGAAGGCCAGGAACUUUGCCCAUGGCUUUUAAUUGUUGUUUUUUUAACAUUAUGCUAAAUUGUAUUAAAUUAUUCAUCUUAUGACUGGCAUUAUUUAGGAGCUUCACAUCUGCCUUUAGCUGCAGUACAAAGGUUAAGUUGUUAAAAAUCCCAGUUGCCAACCCAUGUUUGUAGAAUUAGGUUUCUUUUAAAGUGCCAUUGCCUUACUUAGAUAGUUGGUAAUUAGAUCUGGGCAUUAGCUCUUUAUUUUUUAUUGAACUUCAUUUUUAUAUCUAAAAGAACCUUUGGAAUACAAGUCCCACAUCUGAGUGGUGUGGUUAUCAGAAAGUCUAUCUCCAUGGAGUACUUCAGCUGCUGAUUUUGAGGCAAUACAACACUGCAUAUGUACAUCAUCAUCAAUGUGUAUUAUGUGCGCAUCAUACAUGUGCAAUAUUUUAAAUAUUAUGAUACAGAUAAAACUGCCACUUCAAGCCUGUCUGCAGAAAGUUUCUAUUAAAGCGAAUGUCACUUUUGUCGUUGAAACCUUUUAUUUACAGAGCCGUGAGAUUUACAUCCAAGUAAUUGAGAGGUGUGGUAAACUAGCCUGUGACAACUGACUUUGUGUUAUCAACAUUAUUGUUUGACAAGCAGCUUUUCAGAGUACAGAAAAAAUGCACACCAGUGCAAAGCUUUUCUGAAGCCAAAUAUUUUCCAUGCCACGUCAACACAAAGUACUCGGUGAUCUUCAGUACAUUAACAUUAAUUUUUCCUUUCCAGCAAUUUUCAUUUGAAUUACUAUUUUGAACAGCAAAACUUCUUAAGUGCAGUGAAGCAGGAUUACUUUAAGAAUUUUCAUCAGCCUAAGCAUUCAUAUUUUAAGUGGUGAGUAACAUGAGUUCAAAUUAAGGAUGAUGCAGAUAACACUUAGAUGCUUAUAUUCUGCUGUGGCUUUGGCAGAAAAUGUGCCACAAAGUACUGAGCUGUCUAAGGCUGAAAUCCUUUGGACACUUCCUUGUGAAUAAAUCCAUUGAACUAAAUGGGACUUACUGCCGAGUAAGAUCAUGCUAUUGGUGUUCCAUUUUGGCCCACAAGCAUAGGGCGCUAAUGAUCUGUGGGUCUAAUUGAUAUGUUCCUGGCAGAGAUGUGCAAGCCACCCAUGCUUUGCUCCCAAAAUUAUACUUUUUAGAGAAUUACAAGAAUUCAAUGUGAGUUGUUGAAAGGACCAAUUAUUAUUAUUAUUCUCCCCCUCCCCCGUUCCCUACAAGUAGGGUUGGAAGGGGGUUCUGUUUGUUCCCCUUUGUGUAGCACACCAACCCAAUUCAAAAUUCAUGCUGGUGAAUGCAGCUAUCAGUCAGAUUACACACUUCUCUGAAUUUGUGCACUUUGGGUCCACAAAAGAAAAAUAUGUAUUUUACAUGUGAAAUGUAGGCAUUUUACAGAAAAAUAAUAAUAAUAAUAAUAAUAAUAAAUUUUAUUUAUAUCCCGCCCUCCCCAGCCAAAGCCAGGCUCAGGGCGGCUAACAACAAACAAAUAAUCAAACAAUCAAAUAAUCCAACAUUCUAAAACAUUUCAUUAUAAAAUUAAUUAAAAUCAAAUUAAUGGCAACCGUUAAGCAAAGUUCUGUGCAGGUUGCCAGAGGAGGGAGUCAGGCUGGGCCCUGACCAAAGGCCUGGUGGAACAACUCUGUCUUGCAGGCCUUGCGGAAAGAUGUCAGGUCCCGCAGGGCCCUAGUCUCUUGUGACAGAGCGUUCCACCAGAUUGGAGCCACAGCCGAGAAAGCCCUGGCUCUAGUUGAGGCCAGCCUAACCUCUCUGAGGCCUGGGACCUUCAGGAUGUUUUUAUUUGCAGACCGUAGGUUCCUCUGUGGGGCAUACCAGGAGAGGCGGUCCCGUAGGUACGAGGGUCCUAGGCCGUAUAGGGCUUUAAAGGUUAAAACCAGCACCUUAAACCUGAUCCUGUACUCCACCGGGAGCCAGUGCAGCUGGUAUAGUACCGGAUGAAUGUGAUCUCGCAGCGAAGACCCCAUAAGGAGUCUCGCCGCGGCAUUCUGCACCCGCUGGAGUUUCUGGGUCAGUCUCAAGGGCAGCCCCACGUAGAGCGAGUUACAAUAAUCCAGUCUGGAGGUGACCGUCGCGUGGAUCACAGUGGCUAGGUCAGGGCGAGAGAGAUAAGGGGCCAACUGCUUAGCUUGGCGGAGAUGAAAAAAUGCCGCCUUUGUUAUAGCUGUAAUCUGCGCCUCCAUAGAGAGGGAGGUAUCGAAGAUUACACCCAAACUCUUUUUUUUUUUUUAAUACAUUUUUAUUAAUUUUCAUUGAUUAUACAUAUAUACAGUCUAGAUUACAUAAGUUGCAUAUAACAUAGCUGUUACAAAAUCAUAUAUAUAGUACACAAUUAUUUAUAGGCUCCGCCGAGCCUCGGACUUCCCUUCACUUUAUUGAUAAGUAUCAGAUAAUUUCUAAAGUUGCAUGUUUUAUCUCCUUUACAUGUUUGCCAAACACUGUUAGAGUUAUUCUAACCCUGCCAGAGUCCUCAAAGUUCUAUACUUAUCUCUUAUAUACGUCAGAUAUUUAUUCCAAUUUUCAUGAAACUUCUGGUCAUCCUGGUCUCUUAGUCUUCCUGUUAUUCUAGCUAGUUCAACAUAAUUUAUCAUCUUGUUCUGCCAGUCGUCUAUAGUAGGUAUUAAUUCUGUUUUCCAGCUUUGGGCCAACAUAUUUCUAGCGGCCGUUGUGGCAUAUAGAAACAGAGUUUUAUCCUCUUUUUAAUUUCCUUGCCAACUAUUCCUAGCAGGAAAGCUUCAGGCUUUUGGGAAAAGUAUAUUUAAAAAUCCUUUUAAGCUCAUUGUAGAUCAGUUCCCAAAAGCCUUUUACUUUCCUGCAUGUCCACCACAUGUGGUAGAACUCACCAUCUUCCUCUCCACAUUUCCAGCACUUCUUAUUCUUCAGUUUGUAAAUCUUAGCCAAUUUCACUGGUGUGAGAUACCACCUAUGAAUCAUCUUCCAGAGAUUCUCCCUUAAUGCCGUACACGCCGUGAAUUUCAUAUUUACAUUCCACAAUUCCUGCCACUUUACAAAGUCAAUGUUGUAACCAAUGUCUAUGGCCCAUUUUAUCAUAGCCUCCUUCACCUCUUCGUCUUUUGAGAUUACACCCAAACUCUUAACGGACGGUGCUGGCACUAAUUGCACCCCCGCAAGAGAUGGGAGUUGCCCCCCCAAUCCCAUAUCGUCCCGUCCCAGCCAGAGGACCUCUGUCUUCGAAGGAUUUAACUUCAACCGGCUUCCGCGUAACCAUCCAGCCACAGCUUCCAAACAUCUGGUCAGUGUGUCUGGGGCCGAGUCAGGAUGGCCAUCCAUCAACAGAUAGAGUUGGGUGUCAUCGGCAUACUGAUGGCAACCCAGCCCAAAACUCCGGACAAGCUGGGCGAGGGGCGCAUAAAGAUGUUAAAAGCAUCGGGCGAGUACCGCACCCUGAGGCACUCCACACACCAAGGAGUGGCGGGAUGACAAUUCCCCCCCCAGCGCCACCCUCUGUCCCCGACCGGAGAGAAACGAGCGCAGCCAUUGAAGGACUGUGCCCUGGAUCCCCACGUCGGCAAGGCGGUGGUCCAGGAGUUCGUGAUCAACCAUGUCGAAGGCUGCUGACAGGUCUAGAAGAAUCAGCAGCCCCGACCCGCCUCGAUCCAGCUGCCUGCGGAUAUCAUCUGUUAGGGCGACCAGAGCCGUCUCGGUCCCAUGACCAGCGCGGAAGCCAGACUGGAAUGGAUCCAGAGCCGAUGUUUCAUCCAGAAACCUACCAAGCUGUUCAGCAACCGCUCUCUCAAUCACCUUACCCAGGAAUGGAAGAUUCGAAACCGGGCGGUAAUUGGAUAGAUCUAAGGGAUCUAAUGAUGUUUUCUUUAAGAGCGGGCGCACCACUGCCUCCUUCAAUUCCCCUGGAAAUAUCCCGGUGCCAAGGGACAAAUUGAUGAUAUCCCCAGGGGGGCCCGCACCUCGUCUGGACACGCUCUAAUCAGCCAAGACGGGCACGGGUCAAGAGGACAGGUGGUGGGCUUUCCAGCUCGGAGGAGUCUGUCCACAUCGGCUGGGGAUAUCCGAUCAAAGUGGUCCAAUACUGGACCCGAGGACAGUUGAGGGGCCUCCAGUUCCUUUAUUGUAUCCAAAUUGGCAGGGAGGUCAUGGCGGAGCAACAGGACCUUCUCCGCAAAAAAAGCUCGCAAAUGCCUCACAGCUGUGUGUCAGAUUGUUAUUUAAAUUUGGCUGUCCUUCAAGGGACGUUAAAGACCUAAUCAUACUAAAUAAUUGCGCCGGGCGAGAGCUAGCGGAUGCAAUGGAGGCCGAGAAGUAAGACUUCUUAGCGGCCUUCACCGCCAUCUCAUAGGUUUUCAUAAAAACCCUAUAAGAUGUUCUUGAGGCUCCGUCACGGGCACCCCGCCAUACUCGCUCUAGCCGUCUGAGGUCCCGCUUCAUUUUCCGAAGCUCCUUGGUAAACCAGGGAGCCCGGUUUCUGCGGGGUCGCAGAGGGCGCUUAGGUGCGAUCUCAUCUAUGGCUGCCAGGAGCUGGGUAUUCCAGCCCUCAACAAGCUCAGUCAAUGAGUCGCCAGGGGGAGCAAGGUCCCGCAAGGCUUGACGGAAAUGACAUUGAAAAAUGUGUGUUUUAUGGGAGGGACAUGUACAAAAUGUGUACUAAUAGCAAUGUUUUAGUUGCGUGUGUGUCCUUUCAGAAAGUCCACAAAAAACCAGGACAGAAUAGAACAGAACAGAACUGUGAUUGAGUACUUGAACCUGACUUGGAAUGGACUUACGUAAGUUGGUUUAUCCAGCCCUGCCCACAAAUCUCUAAACAGAGGCAGAUUUAGGCUAGCAUGACCAGUUUGCCCGCACUGGAUGCCAAGCUGAGAGGGCAGCACGGGGGGGGGGGGGGCGGACACAACAGUGAUGUAGAAUGGAAGAUGAGAGGCACGCGGUGUGUGCACCAAAUUGUGUGCACAUGACCUUCUAAUGGAUCUAAAUGGCAGAAGAUUCAGUAUGGAUAAAAGAAAACACUUCUCUAAGCAGUGUGUCAUCAAUUUUCAGAACUUACUACCACAAGAUAUGGUAAAGAUAAAGGGACCCCUAACAGUUAAGUCCAGUCGUGAAUGACUCUGGGGUUGCGGAGCUCAUCUCACUUUACAGGCCGAGGGAGCUGGCAUUUGUCCGCUCUGUAGACAGUUUUUCCGGGCCAUGUGGCCAGCACGAAUAAGCCGCUUCUGGCGCAACGGAACACCGACACCAGAGCAGCACACGGAAACGCAGUUUACCUUCCUGCUGGAGCGGUACCUAUUUAUCUACUUGCACUGGUAUGCUUUCGAACUGCUAGGUUGGCAGGAGCUGGGACAAAGCAAUGGGAACUCACUCCAUCAAGGGAAUUCGAACCGCCGAUCUUUUGAUCGGCAAGCCCAAGAGGCUCAGUGGUUUAGACCACAGCACCACCCGUGAUAUGGUAGUAGCCACUAAUUUCUCAGGUAGGCAUCUAACUGGCCAAUGUACAAAUCAGGAUGGUGAAUUAUAUAGGCCUAUGUAAUUUGAUCAAUUAGGGGCUCUAUGUUUUUGUUUUUAUUCAGUUUCUUCCUUUUGUGCAACAGACAACAAGAACAAGGGAAGGGAAGGGGGAGGGAUGAAGAAGGGGAACCAUAUAAAUACAUCAAUUUCCAGAGAUGCUUCAAAAGCAAAAAUCUUGAUAUUUACAACAGUUCAAGUGGUGCCACAGAAUAUUGCCAUUUCUAGGCAUGCAGCUUAAUAUAUACAGACAUUUAUCCAGAAGUGACUGACUCUGAUAUGCUACACAUUCAAAUGCAGACAGUGCAAUGAGGUUGUCAGUCCAUUGCGCAACAGCUAUCAGAAAUUUAUCCUUGCAGGCUCAGUCUUGUGUUGCUUGUACAGCUAUAAAUUUUGAGCCAGUUCCCUCCAGAGAACGUUGUAAUUAGUAAAUGGGUCCUAGUUAAUCAAUGAAUGUCUCCCAGUCUCCUGCCUUUCUUCCAACACACCAUAUUCACGCUGGGCUUUGCGUGGUUGAGGAAAACAUUGGUAACUUUCUCUUUCACUUAAGAAUGAAUUAUAGUUCACAGGCUGGUGAUUUUUACAUAAGAAUUCAAAACAUUUAAGUAGAGGAAUAAUUUGCCUCUUUCUUUUUUAGUAAUAAAAUGAGGGUUUGAACUGGUACACGGUAAACACUAUGGUGAUAAACUGGCAAUCAGAAAAUGAUGCCAUAAAACAAAAGACAAAGAAAGCAGCAGACUUCUGGAGGAAACAUGAAAAAACAUUUAGAUUUUAUUUCUGGGCUACAAAUAAGGAGAACUCUUCCGAAGAUUUUGCACCAUACUGGAAAAAAGAGAACCCCCUUUCUCAUACGCUGCUUAAUUUCUGCAUUCAGAAAGAAAGUACUUAACAUGUCAAGUAGUACUUAACUGCAUUAGCAAUUCCAUCCUUUUCAAGGAGGAUUAACAAUCCCUCCUCAUUCAAUGUGAAUACAGACCUGAGGGGGGGAAAUGCAGCUGGCGGGGAAGAAUUUGAUUUUGCUGGAUCUGUGUGUUUGAUUAUAGGGCUAAAUAAAGGAUGUGACCCAUUUAUUUUUAUUAUUCUUAAAAAGUUACAUGUCCUAUACAUCCAUUUUGUCUGAAAGAAAUUGAUUAGACCCAAUGCAUACCAUACAACGUUAUAGUAUCUUCAGAAUCUGAAUAGCUUUAUGGAGUUAUGAAAUCACUGUCAAUGAGGAAAUAAUCGCUGCGAGGGAGGGAAACUGAUGGAAUUUUCUUCCAAGUAAGGUAUUUACCAGCGUCUUUGUGUAGCUUCUCUGUGUUUAGCACUAGAGUCUUUGUGUAACCUUAGUGAAAGACUGCAAGAACUACAGAGUUUGUUAAAGCGACAUUAUUAUUAUUAUUAUUAUUAUUAUUUUAAACCCACAAUUUUUUUCUUCAGUGGCUGCCACUUAUAUUUUAAUCAUACAUUCUAAAAUGAGAAAACACUGAAAGUUAAAAUUAAGGGAGAGGUGGCAAUUUUAAACUCAAUUAACACAUGGCACUUGGAGGGUAUUAAAGAAAUCCAUGCAAAUAGGGGAAAAUACAGUCACACAUCUUCUUUACAAGCAUCAUAUGCUUCAAAUCUAUACUGUGGAUGAGGGCCUUAGAAAUUUAUUUAUUUAUUAUUUUGAAAUUUUUAAACUGCACUUUCACAGAAAAUAUAGCAAGGUGGUGUGCAACAUAAAAACACAAGGUCUGUAUUUAUUAUCCCAAAGCCAGACGGCACUGGUACCUUCUGUCCAGGUGAGGAAAGCUCACCUCCUUCCUUGGCUAUUAACAUCUUGCAUUAACUGAGCUAUUUCAUUGUGGCCACAGGCCUGACAAGGCACCUAAAGCAAGAAAAGGUCUAGGAAGAUAAUUUCCCCUUUUUCCACAGCUGCUCCUUCAACACCUCCAAGUUCUCCAACAGACACCUCCAUCAAGAACUCUAAAACCCAGCAGCAAAAUUAUAAUUUUGAUCUUUAUUAUUACAUUUUUACUAGCUGGGUAGUAUGGAUGUGGAUUGGUAGGGGGGAAACACCACUUUGAUUUUCUUCUUCAGGCAAUCAGAUAUUAACAAAGUAGAAGGGAAUAAGAACUUCCAUGUGCAUGGGAAGCAGAGGGUUACUCCAAGGUGGCCUGUGACUUUGCCGUCUUUUUCUUUCAUCUUCUCUCUUAUGACCGAUUCUUAACUGGGCAAGGAGGCUGCAAGAACAAAGCAUGCCCAACAUGAAAAUCUAAGAAGGUGUUGAUGCUGGCAAGGUGACAUGGAAACUACAUCCACCUCAGGGAUGGCAUACCUGGGUAUUUCCUAAACCACCAUGCUUUCUGAAAAUACCAAUCAGGAGUUAGAGCAUUUUAACCUCCUCCUAGGUAGUCAAACUCUAUGUUUGGCAAAACUAUAACCAUAAGGCAUUUAAAAGAGUACAUCUCAUGAAUGUGUGUGGUGUGAGGGCUUCAGUCAAAGGUAGAAAGGUAAAGGUAAAGGACCCCUGAUAGUUAAGUCCAGUCGCAAACGACUCUGAGGUUGUGGUGCUCAUCUCACUUUACUGGCCGAGGGAGCCAACAUUUGUCCGCAGACAGUUUUUCCACGUCAUGUGGCCAGAAUGACUAAGCCGCUUCUGGUGAAACCAGAGCAGCGCACGGAAACACCGUUUACCUUCCCACCGGAAUGGUACCUAUUAAUCUACUUGCAAUUUUGGCAUGCUUUCGAACUGCUAGGUUGGCAGGAGCUGGGACCGAGCAACGGGCGCUCACCCCGUCGCAGGGAUUCGAACCAUUGACCUUCUGAUCGGCAAGCCCAAGAGGCUCAGUGGUUUAGACCGCAGCCCCACCCGCAUCAGUCAAAUGUGCUGAGGUACAAAUGUGUCUUCUUUCAGAGGUCCUCUUAUGAGGCAGAGAGUAGAUUUUAUUUGGUCUUUCCAGACUACAAUUGAUAAAAACAGCUCGUGACUUCUUUUUAAUUAGCAAGAGUGUGAGGAACAUUUUAACUAGUAGUGAGAGAUGGGGUCAAACACACCUCGACAAAACUGGGGUGUGGGGAAUCCAUACUGCUUUAGUGUCAGUCUGCCAUAAACCUGUGAUUCAGAUGGCCCUUAACUUAGAUAAAGGGCUACCGGUAAUUGCUAUGUGCUGUUUCAGGGACCCAUCCUUCCUUAAUGUAGAUAAAAAUUCAAGUUUUUACCCUUACGGCUUUUAGAGUUAAUUCUUCUCCUUCUGGAAUGAAUGGGGAUGGGGGGGUGCUUAUAAGGCACUAGGGGUUCAAGUGACCCCACCAAAUGCUGUUUAAAUUGGUUUCAAUUGGGUUAAACACACACACACACACGCCUAUUUUCAUACAAUAAAAAUCAUUCACUUCUCUCAACACCUCUAUGGUAGACAUUCUCUCUCUAUUUUUAUUUUUAUUUUGGAAGAUGAAGAAUCCAAUAUAGUCUGAACAUCCUUAAAAAGUCUCUUUCUUGUAGCCCUAGUUGAUCAAACUGAUGUAGGAUGGAUCUAGACCAGGUUGCCAAAGACACCAGAAGAACCAGUCUCAAAAUUGGUUGGACCUGCCACUGCUGAUACCAUGGAAAGGGAAGGAAUCAUCUCUUUGAUCAGCACUAUGGCAGAAUAUUGCAAUAUAAAACGGUUUUGUCUCUCCACCCCAUGAAGUUGUGGAAUGUAGUUGCUGUACAGCUACAGCAGUAGAGUCAGAGCAGCUAUGCUAUAGUUGGAAGGGCUAUCAAAUUGGUUGUUGUGACUGGUAUUUUAUGAUUAAUUAUUAUUGCACUAUUGUUACAUUAUACAGUGGUACCUUGGGUUAAGAACUUAAUUUGUUCCAGAGGUCCGUUCUUAACCUGAAACUGUUCUUAACCUGAAGCACCACUUUAACUAAUGGGGCCUCCUGCUGCUGCUGUGCCACCGCCGCACGGUUUCUGUUCUCAUCCUGAAGCAAAGUUCUUAACCCGAGGUACUAUUUCUGGGUUAGCGGAGUCUGUAACCUGAAGCGUAUGUAACCUGAGGUACCACUGUACGUACUGUUAUACAUGCACUAAUGGGAGGGUCUUUUGUGACUAUAUAGUUUUAUUGGGAAAAGGAAACUCUCAAAAAUGCGUUUGUUUCUUACCUGCAAAUUGUUUCAUAUUUAAUAACUUCCACUAGUUUUCUUGGGGUGCAUUUGACCUUGAUACCAGAUUGUAUAGUCAGUUUUGGUUUUGAGUUGGCAGAGGGUGAACCCAAAACAUUCUCAGAUCAACAAGGGGCAGAUGGAGCUACUUUGGAGGCAGAUCUGACCCAUCAGCUGCUAGAUCUGAUGGCCUAACCACCACCCCAGGCCAUUUAGCUUGCAAUCGUAUUAUUAUGAACGUCAGGUUAUUAGAAAUGGCUGUGUAUUUCUCAGCAUCUUCCAUAGGGCUAAAAUAUAGUUUUCUCUCAGAUAAACAGGAUAUGAUGGGGUGGAAGAAGGGCUGUUCUUCACCAAACAUUCAUUUAAAACAUUUAAGCCUUCAGGAAAUGAUCAACUGCUAAACCCACAUUUGAUUAGCACUGCUGCAAUUUACAAGCUUGUGUACAUUCCUGCCAUUGUUAGCUUCUUCUUUUUUAUUUCACUCUGAAUAAAACUUCAGUUAAUCUGUGGAAUAUCAAUGAGGGCCUAGAUACCCAAUGGAUCAGUUUAUUUGUGCGUUAUGUGUGUCGAAAGAAAGCUAACAUAAUAAAACUGUUGAAGCAUGCAAGUUAAGGCAAAGGCCCUGCCUCAGUUGAGAGUGUUUUAGGUCACCUGAGACUUAGUUAAAGCUGAUGUAUUAGUAGUGAAGUAUUAAUAAGGUAAGCACUGCUGUUUGUCAUUGUUGCUUAUAUGUAUACCGCUGGAAAGAGAGAGCUAACAAGAAGCUUCCCUAUAAUUGUUGGGCUGUGCUGUAGAUCUGUGCUAUAAUAAGACCAUCCGUUUUCUUCAUCUUUUAGUGCUUUAUAACACCUCAGUGCACAUAAAACAUACAAUUAUAUUAAAUGAUCUGAACGCAUGCUUGGAAAAUGAGAAAAAUAAUACACCGUUACAGUGUGGUUCAUAACAUUAAAUAAAAAAAGGAAAAGAACAUAUUUUCAACCAGUGAGAUUAUUUCAGUUUACCUCUUUUGGGAUGACCAUAUUGUUAAGCCUUCAGCUAAUCAUCAAGGUCACUUCUGAAUUCCCACAAACUUUUUUCUUAAUCUAUUGGUAUUUCAAGGAAUAUGUUUAUGACAUUUCACAUCCAUAUUUUCUAGUUCUCGGGUGAGUGGAAAUGUAUGAAACACUGAAAUGCAGUUAUUUAGAUCAGAUUAUUUGAAUUUAUAGUGUCUAAAACUCAGCUGGGGCUAAAAGGAAACUCUUCAAAGUCAUUCCAUUAUUUACAAUUUGAACCUAAAUAUAUUUCUUCCCUCCCCCUCCCCAAACCUUCUUCUUCUUCUUCUGGGUAAUUUUCAGAUUACUUUCCUCUCACGAUGAUAAACAUGGUACAUAUGAAGGAUGUGAAAGCCUCCAACCCAAGGGUGGAGAAGCUCUUCUGUUCUUUAUCAGAUCCUAGUCUCACAGGAUGAAUUUGACUAGUGGGUGAGGCUGCCCACCUGUCAAUCAUUGGACAUCACAAGGAUGGCCGGUGAUUGGGUGCUUUGACAUCCUGAAGUAAGGACUUCAAAGCACCAUGCAGAGAUUGUAAAGAGCUCUGUGCCUGAGGCUUUUGGUUUACUGCUUAGCUGAUGGGCAGCUGAGCCAGACAUUGACUGGAUGAGCCAGUUCCCCACAGGUACAGCGAACACACUGAAUUCUGCUUUCUAAUGAAGUUGCUUGCUCAGCUGAUCAAGCAGGUGUUGGCUUUACGGAAGCCAGCUUUCCCUUGCUAGUCCAAAAUCAAGAGCACACAGUCUAAAGCACCAGAUUGUUCAUUGGCAACUGCAUUUCUAUGUCUUCCACACCUGACAUCACAUAUGACAUCAGGUGUAGGGCAGAUGAGCAUAGUUUGAGGGAAAUGGCCUCACAGGCCAAAUUUGAACUCCUGGUAGGUCAGGUUUGGCCUACAGGUUGGAGGUUCCCAAUCUUGGCUCUAAAUCAGUGGUGGCCAAACUUGGCCCUCCAGCUGUUUUUGGACCAUAACUCCCAUCAUCCCUAGCUAACAGGGCCAAGUUUGGCCACCACUGCUCUAAACGAAUGGGCUAAGCUGAUUGUAUGAGGCAUGAUCUUACCGUUAGGCAGAGUGAAGUGGGUGAUAGGGGUGCAAAGCAGUGGUUAGAUGUUGGUAGGGCCAACCCUACCAUUAGACAGGAAGGGGAAAUCACCAGAGGAUGCAGAUACUGACAGGCAGCAGAGACAGUCCCCUAGCUGGUCCUCUUGAGCUCCUCUGGCUUUACUCUCUGUUGGAGGGCAGAGUUGUGUAUAUCACACAGUCUCCUGGGGCCCCUAAACUAACUUGCUGCCUCUGGUGUGAUGAAGGAUACAGUCACAUCGCUAGUGCUGAAGUCAGAUUCAGCUGUCAGCCCACUUAGCUUCUGUACAAGGACUAUGGAUGGUGUACCAACUUGCCCUUCACCUCAGGAGUUAAACUGGCUUGGGCCAACACUGCUUUUUUGAAGAACAAAAUUAUUUGCAUCUGUGCCAUAUGGCCUACUCUGCAUCCCCUAAGUCUUUUACCCCUUAAACAGGAUGGGGGACAUUUUCACCAGUGCUAAAUUAAGAUUCAGUUGCUAGUCCAUUUGGCUUUGGUAUGUGGAUUGGGAUGUAUGAAAUGUCAUUUGACUCGGGUCAAAUGAUCUGCUUUCAGUGUGGCAUUUCAGGUUUGUUUGCUUUAGGGGUACGUGAACAAGAAUCAAGAUAGUAAAAUGUUCAAUAUCACCUAUCAAAACUUCAGUUUCCUCUAGGAUCCUGGAGCAUUUCCAGAGCUCAAUUAGCUUAAAUUAGCGUUCUUUUCCUAAUUACAUAACAGCAACAAUAAGCCACAAAUUCGAUGAAAAUGAACAAAAACGAGCUAUGGUGAAGAAGUGAAUGUGAAUCUUCCUUCUGCAUGAAAUAAGACAGAGAAGAAUAUUGGUUGUCAUAACUGCCUGGAUAAAUUUUCAAUAAUAGGCUUCUUUAAAUAUAUUCAUUGUAACAAGUGAUGAUACAAAUAUGAGAAAAGGAUAAUCAAUACAACCAUAAUGAGAAAGUGUGAUUGCCGAUCCAGUUACAUGAAGAAUUAGAAUCAACACAGUUUGACAAUGGAUCAAAGAGGCUUGAAACAUAAGAAGAAAAUAAGGUUUUGUUAUUCUGUGAAGCAAAUGUGAUAUGAAGUGUAUGGGGGUGGGAAUUUGUGGGCACAUUUCAGUUGUACUGCAAUGAGUUUUAGAGACUUAAUCAGCUGCCAUUGACAAUCAGCAUCUAACCUGCAAAGAAGUUUUCAAAAUGUUGUUUCUUUCUUUUUAAAUAUCAACUAAGGAGAACAGGAAAGAAAUGAAAGAAAUCACUCAAAUGGCAAAAAUGCGUAGGAUAGAUCAUGAAUAUAAUGUGCAGUUGCAUGAGGCUGUUCCUGUUUUGCAGGCAAAAGUGCUCUAAAAACUGGGAGAAAGAAUAUCUUCUUACAUAGACAGGAGAAGUUUGUACAUUCAAACCUCAGUUUUCAAACGUCUCAGCUGCCGAAUGAUUGGGAAGCCAAACGCCAGAAACCCAGAAGUGAAUACUUCUGUUUUUGAAUGCACCUUGGAAGUCAAACGGCUUCCGAGACGCGUUUUUCAUUUUUCUUCCAUUGAACUUGCUGACAGCCCUUUGAUCCUUGGUUUUUGAACAUUUUGGAGGUCGAAUGGACUUCUGGAACGGAUUACGUUCAAAAACUGAGGUUCCACUGUACAGGGCUCUGAAUGUGAAGGAAAAUAUGAAUUGUGAAGGUUCUGUCCGGUUGGUUUUUUUUAAAAUGUGGAAAUGACUUCAGCAUUUGGUGUCUCCAGUAAGACACAGGAGAGGCAGCAAGUGGUUGGCCAGGAGUGGGUGGAAGGAAGGAAUUUCGCAGUGCUAAUGGUUUCCAUUGGAUUCUCCCCUCCUGUUCAUGCCCACCAUGGGAUUGCUGUUGUGUCUCCAGCUCCUUUUUUAAAACAAAUAAUUAAACCAUCAGGACAGCCUUUAAAGGUCCUUUUGUCAUGUUUUUUUCUCUCCCUAGGAGACCAAGCAAGCCCCCAGGCACCUUACCUGAGCCAAUUAGAACCACAAAUUCUUAAUGAGAUGCUCUUCCAAAUCUGCAAACCUCAUGAAUACUCCCCUAGUUAGAUUGCAGCUCUCUCUCUCUCUCUCUCUCAUAUCUUUUUAUUUCAUUUUUUGAGCACAAGGUAGAUGACAGAACCACAGCUUUUCUUUGUACAGGACAAUUCAGUAGCACCUCUUUUCUCCUUUGCUAAGGUUGGUUGUGAGACAAAGGGCCUCUUGAGAACUUUUUUUAAUUUACAUUGAGGGUGGGUUGGAAGAAGAGAAAAUUCUGGAGGGUUCUGUUGAAAUGCAUGAACAAUCCUAUAUGACUAAGAUCGCUUACAGCCCUGUUGACUCUGUAUUGUAUUCAGCUAAGUUCUACUCUGAGUAAACCCAAUGAAAUUAAUAUUGUCUGCAUCUGUCUGUCUCUGGAGACAAUGGAGUGCACUUUCAGGGGUGAAGUCAAACUGCUGUGUUACCAGCACCAAAGUGACCUCCCCAGAGUGCAAGACUGGGCAGUGUGUGUGGAGGUCCUGGGCUGACCACACAACAAGACCCCCACUCUUGGCUUCACUGAUGUGGUCCAAAGGAAAGCAGAGCAAUAUGUUUGGGUUGGCUAUAGGAGUUGCCAGGAGACGACGUACAAGAUGCCAUCCAACCAUCUUAGGCACUCCAUGCCAGAUUUGUGUAUGGUUUAUUCCUUAGCAUUUUCUUCUCCUGGAGAUAUCUCGCAAGGCAGCAAAGGUUUAGGACCAGAGUUUUCCUUCUCCUAGACUCGGAGUAAACCCAUUGAAAUUAAUGAAUCAUGUCUAUAAACUCAACGGGUCUACUAGCAUUGAAUGCCAUCAACUUGUGCUAGAAUUCAUGUUUGUUGAUCAUGAGAGUGGGAGAGAGAAUUCUGGUUUUUGUUGAAAUGCAAGGUGUUUUUGGAGUGAGGGGAAAGAUUUAUUAAGCCAGUCUUCUGUUUGUCUCCACCAGUUCUGCAUAUCCAGAAGUAGACUGCCUCACUUUUGAGACCCAGGGUGUGAAUGUGAGGAAUUGGUGAUCAAGCCAGUGCUUAGGAUGUGGUCAAAGGGGUUUUGAAGAACUGAGGUGUGACAUCUCUGAGAAGUGGUACUUCAGAGCUUCUCAGGGACUUUUGCAAUUUCUUCCCUAUCUUCUCAGUUGUACUGGGAUUUGCUGGAAGGCCCCAGGCCUCUUACUCAGGGGAGCUAUCCCCAGGUAUCUAAACCGAGCAGAAUCCUGACAAAAAUGGCAAAGUUGUGAAGCAGUUUUAGCCCCUACUCUAAUGAUGACCCUAAGCAGACCCCUCUAUUUUCCCAUAUAACUGAGGGCUGCCAUUUUGCAGCUUAAUAGAUAGGAAUAAAUUCAAAAGCAUGAUAUCCAAGCAUGCUUGGGGUUAUAGAUAAGAAGCAAUGUGUUCUAUCAUUAUUUGACUUCUCAAUACCGUUUCCCUCUUUUAUCAGGCUAAUUGGUUGCCUAAUUUGUAGAUGUCACAGAACGAUUGCAAACUCGAGUACUUCUCGCUGUAGAAAGGAUGAUUUCUUUAUUUGAUAUAAUGAAUGGCAGUUUUCUUACAAAAACCUCUCAUUCCUUCUCAUGUUCUUAAUUGCUUAUCCAUUAAUCUCUAGUUUUUGAUAUCUAUAAUACUACCAAUAGAUGGAAUAUAAGUGGAAUUUUCUCUACCCUGCCAAUCAGAGCUAUACACCUUUCAAUCAACAGAUAGGAUUAGCAUUUAUAAUCAUUACUCAAUUGCAAGGUAAUCCACAUUUUUCUCUAACUACCCCGCCUUUUGAUUAUACCAGAGUUGCACAUUCAAAAAGGAACGAGAGGUUGUUUCCCUCACUUGAAGUUAUUACCACUGAUGGACUAUUAUAAAUAUCUUUCACCAGAAUGUUAUUGCCAACCCCACCCCCAAAAAACCCUUCUAAUAGUUAUGCUUGUGCUGAUUGUAUUGGGUCAUGCCAAUGAGGACUUGUUAUACAGGCCGACUAUUAUUUCUCUAUGUAAUGCUAAUUCUUGUUGCAAGUUUGGUUGCAUUGAUCACUGUGAAUAGCUAACUGAAGAGUGGCUUGGGAAACAUUAACAAAAGAGCUUUAAUUAUUCUUCAUUACUGGAGAUGUUCAUCUGGUAGCUAAGAAUGUCUUUACAGCAUUUGAAAUGCAAUACUCCUAAGAGUUGGGGAAGGUGAGAUGUCUCAGGACUGUCCCCCACUCUUAGAAGCAGCCUGGCUUCUACUUUCCACAGUGGACAAACCUGUGUUGAUACUCCUGAACUGUGGAUUGGCCCACAACUCCCAAUCUGGUGGCACACUUAUUUGGAUUUCGCAAUGCAGCUUCGGUGCACAAAAGGGGCACACACAAAAACAUAACUUUGCAUUAAAAGUGCAUACAAAAUUUAAAAUUGGACUUCCCAUAUCUCCUUUCACAAUUGUACACAACAUGGCGUGGAAUGGACCUGUGGCUGAGUGUAAGCAAAAGUGAAACCUCUCAGUCCAUUUCUGAGAUUACAGGGCCCAAACCUGAGACAUAGGGGCAGCCCCUGGGGAUGUCAUUAAGCAUGAUACAUGAUACAAUAACCACAGUUGCUGGGGCCAUGUCUUCAAAUAAAGAACAUGAAGUCUAAGAAGUCAGCAAAUACCACCCUGGUUGGAAUCAAGACAGAAACCUUAGCUAAAGGGGCGUUCCUAGGUCCAGCUGAAGUAUGGGGACCUUCUCACCUGCUUAGGGAGCCUGGGUGGAGAUGCGAUGUUUUUAGAUGGGGACACUCACAGUCAGGAGCCCAGACUGACGCCCCUGAAGGCUGCAAUUCUAAACACACUUACCAAGGACUUUCUCUCCCUCAAGCCCUCCUGCAGCCAUCUGCCAAUCUCUGAAACUUCAAAGCAGCCCUGAAGGUGUGGCAACCCCAUGCACUCUCUCAGUAUUGGUGGUAACGUGGCUAUAGCCAGGUUGCUCCAAGAAACAUAUGAGCUAAACCAGACCCAAAGAAUUUGUGAGCUGCUGUGGAGAAUCAUAAAACCGUGGACUUGGAAAUGACACCCAGGGUUAUCUAGUCUAGCCCCCUGCAAUGCAGGAAUCUCAACUAGAUCAUUCAUGGCAGAUGGCCAUCCAACCUAGGCUUAGAAACCUACAAUGAAGGAGAGUCCACCAACUUCCAUCAGGGUCCGUCAAACAGCUGUUACCAUCCAGAAAGUUCUUCUUGAUGGUGAGUCGGAAUUGCCUUUCUUUAGGGAAAAGGUACUUCCAACAUUGUGUAAAAUCUAUAAAUAAGUGUGCUGCGUGAUAUAAAAUUGCUACUAUCUUAAUAACUGUAAGUAGUUAACUGUGAGAGAUAAGAAGGCUACGUGUAAAUGAAGCCCGAUCAUGACUUUGUAAAUGAGCUUUGGCAGCUUGCUUACUGUCAACAAAACUAAAACUUUCACCAAGGAGACAUUUAUAGGCCUCGGAAGGUUUACAGUUAGGUUCAGAAGUUUAUGUACCAGACAUGAGAAUAAAAAAAAGGUCAGGUUGUGGUAGGCCAGUCAGAGCAUAUUCUAAUUGGCUCAUAAAUACAGGCCAAUGGACUGGAGCUAACAAGUUAUUAAAAGAGGGUUGUGGUUAUAGUCUAUAAGUCCUGAAGGGGGCCAGGAUCACCUCAGGCAGAGAAGAGCCUGAGAGGGGAGGCGACUGCAGCAGAGCGUCUGAAGAAGAGCUGGGAUAACUGGGAUCUCCUUGUCAAGAUAUGACGGGAGAGGAAGACUCAGUUCUGCAACAGUUCUGCAAGGAAGCUGGGGAAGUCAAAUGCCUGGCAGGCCACCCACAGAACGCCUUUGAAACGGGGUGAAGCACCCAGAGGCAGAGCUAUCUGCUCCAGCACCCGGAGCGGCGCACAUGCUGUGCACCCGGGGUGAGGCCACGGGGGCAGGGCGAGCAUCCUGGGGGGCGCCGCCCACGGUGAGCAUCCCAGGGAGUGAGACACCCAUGGGGGGUGAGGUGAGCUGCCCAUGGCGGGCUGCUUCCUGGGUGGGGGAGGGAGGGAGCUGCGCUGCUUUGCGAGCAGCCUUCCUCCCUUCCCUUUUCCUUUUGACAGCUCAGGGGAGGCUCCCCCCUCCAGGAAGCAGCCUGGGAGUGGGGGACAAUGGCCUGCUGCUCACCCGUGACUCCCAAGCUUCCCCCAAGCUGUCAAAACGAAGGGGGGAGGGGGAAGGCCGCCGACAAUGUGGCAUAGCUCAGCCCCUUCCCCCUACAGCUUGGAGUAGGCUUGGGAGUCGCGGGUGGGCAGCGUGCCGAAUGUCACCCCCCUCAGUAAUGUCACCCCCCUCGGUAAUGUCACCACCCUGGGUAAUGACACCCGGGGCAGAACGACCCCUCUUCCUCCGCCCCUGGAAGCACCUGCCUCAGGCAGCAGAAGCGCAAGAAGCAGCGCAUCACCUGUCCCACCUACUUCCAUCGCUACCCUACAGCGGAGAAGUUGAGCCACAGUGCCUUGCAAAGUGUCUCAGCCCCUGUUGAGUUCAAGAGAUUGAUGUUCCCACGCACAGCAUUGCUGCUCGUCUUCCCUGCCCUGCGGGUGGGUGGGUAAAAUUUCCAUCUUCCAUUGGUGAUACACCCAUGAUGGAGUCCCAUAUAACCACUAAACCUUAUUCUGUUGCUCUGACUUGUGUUCUGCCACUGGUAACACUACGUUUUUGAAACGUUUCUCCUAGUUCUUCUAAUGCAUUUCACAGCUGGAAAAUUUCCCCCCUUCAAUCCCUGGGUGUCUCCAGGAAGGGGAGAGAGAAACCAGCAGCUUCUUAAGAGUCCAACCUCAUGAUUCUUCUAUCAUGAGGCUAUGGCAGUAGUAGGAGCAACUUUGCCCGUUGGUAUUCAGCUCUACAGAUAAGUCAUAAUACACUGUUAUUCUUUUUCCUCCUAGCAUGAUUAAAGCAGAAAGUUUCAAUAUGUUUUAUGUUCCUGCAAUUUUAUUAGCCAGUGCUUAAAACGUCUACUUCCAGAGGACAUGUGUAAAGGUCAUGUGGUGAGCUGGCUUGAUGGCUAUCUUUAUCACCUUGCCAGUGACUGCGCAGGCAGAUUGGGGUCACUGCAGGCUGGGAAAAAAGGCUGAGCAGAAAAUCUAAGUGAAGGAGGAUUAGAAAACAAUUUGUCUAGAAAAUGACACUUCCAGAGAAAGAGUGAAGGAAGGCCCCUAGAAAUACCGACUCACCUGAAAAGGUCCUGGUAGGUCCCUAUGGGAUAAAUGGGGAUUAUAGUUUUUCAGGCUGAAGUCUAUGCUAAUUUUCCUUGUGUUAAAUGAUUAAAGCAUGCCCUGUGAGGAGCUUAUGCUAAACUCAAGUGCUCAGUGUCUCACUGGGGGAAGUAAUUUGACAGUCUGAAGCCAAGUCUCCUGCAGGGAGUAAUUUGCAGGGAUGAACCAAAUUCUCAUAAAAAAAGAAGAUGACUCAACUUGAGCCUGGUGAAUUUGACCCACUCAGGAUCUCACUGGUACUUGAUACCCGAGGCAAAUAUCUUGACAAGGCAGGCCAAGCUGUUGCAGACUUUGGAAACCAGCAAAUGUGUGGUACACAUGUGAGCCACAAAACAAUAGGUCUACGCACGGGUUACUCACAUGUAGAGCAUAGCGUGCUGAGUCAGGAGUAAAAUUGUGCUUUUAACCCCUCCCUGACAUCUUCUCUGCUUCUUUCAAGAACCAUGCCUUGUGUGGAGUUUUCUGCAGAAUCUCACACAUUGUUGUUGUUGCUUUACACAAAAGCAUGCACAAUACUUGACUGUUGCAAGAAUCAGACACUAUGUUUGGCAAGGGGCUAAAAUUUAUUUAUUAUUUAUUUAUUUAUUUAUUUAUUUAUUUAUUUACGGCUAUUAGCCCAUAAAGGCUAAAAGCUCUGCCCUCUUCCCAAUUCAAUAUACAUUUGCCCUACACAUGAGUAAUGUGCAUCUAGGGUUAAGUGUCUAGCUAAAAUGGUAAACAAGAACGUAUGACAUCUGUGUGAAGAAACAAAUUCUAUUUACUACUAGAAUGUGGGGUUACUGCAUUGCUAGUAGGCUCAAAGCAGACUAGGAUUUUGUUCAGUCUGCAUUUUUAGCUGAACCUACCUACCGUAUUUUUUGCACCAUAACACUCACUUUUUUCCCCCUAGAAAGUAAGGGGAAAUGUCUGUGCGUGUUAUGGAGGAAAUGCCUACGGGUGGCAUGCCUACGGAUUUUCCUCCUCUAAAAGCUACGUGCGUGUUAUGGUCGGGUGCGUGUUAUAGAGCGAAAAAUACGGUAAUUCAUACCUCCUGGACACACAGAUUAGAACAUGCCCCAAAAUUCAUAUUUAAAAUGUAUACUUUAGUAUAAAAUAUCAUGCAAAUAAAUCUGUACCUUAGUGUAAAAAAAAAUAUAUUUUGUAGAAAAUGCAUAUAAAAACAAUGCAAAUUUUAGUGUUGUUUUUUAUUUUAAAAAACCCCGAUCUGUCCUGUUUUCACAGAUUUAUGAAUGAAUGCACGGAAAACUGACACGGAUCAGAAACAGACUGAUCUCUCCAUCCCUACAGCUAACAAAAGGAUAUUCCUCUUCAUACAAUGAAUCAUUCAUGUAGUAAAUUCCCUAUUGCAAGGUAUGGUGAUGACAGCUCACUUUGGUCACUAUUUCAAAAGAAGAGAGGAACUUGUGGAGUUUAUGAAUUAGCCAUGACAGCUGAAUAGAGCCUCUUAUCAACAGGAAGGGUGGCAGAUUUCAGGUCCAGGGACCAGGUGUGGCCCUCCGGGCUUCUCACCUGGCCCUUGGAAUACUCUCCAGGCCAUAUAGCUCACUGGCCCUCUUUCAUACCCUAAGUGUUUUUGCGUGGCAGGACUGUGUCCUUGAGAAGUGAUCAUGCCUCUAGCUUGUCUGGAUGAUGGGCAGAGAGGGUUGUGUUAAUUUGUUCAGAAGCUUCCACUAUACAAAGGUAAAAAUUGCACCUGCUCCCCCUCCUAUUUUUGCCUCUGGCUCCACCCAUGUGUGCCUCAAACAUUGGCCCUUUUAUUUGUGGGCAAAUAAAAAUGGAGGGUGAUUCUUUUCAUGCCUGUGAAUAAGCUCUCCAGAAGAAGCCAGCUGACCACCACUGAAAACAAACAAAAGCAAAGAAACCAAGAAUGGUGGGCAAGAUUAACCUUUGGUCUGAUGCCAACAAGAAUCUUCUUUAAAUUUGUGUUUGGUAGUAGUCAUAUUGUACAAUUUCAGCUGUAAACAAUUUCUGCUGUAUUACCAAUUCAGAAGACAGAGAUGAACCCAGUGCCAAAACGUGUCUUCAGCCUAUCCAUCAUACUUUAGCAAAGUUGUUGUUGUUGCUGUUGUCUUUUUGGACACUCAGCUCAUGCAAUUAGGAAUGCCUAGUUACUGCAGGGCAUAAACAGCAAAACAGAGGACUAGUGAGGGUUUAUAAAGGGGCUGAAAAGGGAGCCUAAGUAGAUGGAGUAGGGUUACACAUAUUCUUUAUCAAAAUUCUCUAGGGCAUAUGGCCAUGUUUGGACUAUCAUAUCUGAGCUUAUAAGCAGAAAUUUAAAAUAAGCCUUAGGUACUUGCAUACCACACCUUUGUUCUUCCCUUUGCACAAGACAGGAAACAAGUCACACUUAAUACAAGGAAGGCUUCAGAUAACUAUAGUUUCCAUUACAUCUGAACAGCAAAAAUGGGUUCAAUGGCUUCCUGAAGAGACAAGAUAGAAAACCAUAGCAUAAAGUAAGUUUAAAUCUUACCUUGUUUGGGAGCUAUUAACCACAGUUUCCUGAUUUGUUUUCAGCAAACUACAGUUAACUUAAGACUUCGUGCCUUGUUUGUUUGGUUGCAGGAGAAUGAGGCUCGAUGAUAUUGACUUAAAGGUAAAGGGAGCCCUGACCAUUAAGUCCAGUCGCAGACGACUCUGGGGUUGCAGCGCUGAUCUCUCUUUACUGGCUGAGGGAGUUGGCGUUUGUCUGCAGACAGCUUCCGGGUCAUGUGGCCAGCAUGACUAAGCAGCUUUUGGCGAACUAGAGCAGCGCACGGAAACGUCGUUUACCUUCCCGCUGGAGCGGUACCUAUUCAUCUACUUGCACUUUGAUGUGCUUUCGAACUGCUAGCUUGGCAGGAGCAGGGAUGGAGCAAUGGGAGCUCAUCCCGUCGCGGGGAUUUUAAUUGCCGACCUUCCGAUUGGCAUGUUGACUUACUGAGUUCAAAAAUGAUCAGCUGAGUGUGAACAUUGUCCUCUGACUUUGGCAACCAAUGUGAUAUUGGGCAACCAAUAUGAUAAAAGGGCGUGGAAACCAAGCCUUAUGAGGAAUGGUUAAGGGAGCUGGGGAUGAGAGGAGACAGAGAGGAGAUAUCAUACCCUCUUUAAAUAUAUAAAGGGCUGUCACAUGGAAGAUGGAGGAAGCUUGUUUUCUCUUGCUCUGGAGGGUAGGACCCAAACCAAAGGAUUCAAGUUAAAAGCAAGGAGAUUCCUACUAAACAUCGAGAAGGACUUUCUGACAGUAAAGAGCAGUUCAACAGUCGAAAUGACUCCUUCAGAAGGUAAUAGACUCUCCUUCUUUGGUGGUUUUCAAGCAGAGGUUGGGUGGCCAUCUGUCAUGGAUGCUUUAGUUGAGAUUCCUGCAUUGCAGGGGGCUGGACUAGAUGACCCUAAGGAUCCCUUCCAACUCUACAGUUAUAUGAUACUAUGGCACACCUAGGAUUAUUAUUUUUUAAGAAUCACAAAUUUCAAUUAUAAUGUUGUAACUUAAAAACAACAACAACCUAUUAUACAAAUUCUGAAAUUCAUGAAAC
This 129050-nucleotide long non-coding RNA is filed under the name Podarcis lilfordi (Lilford's wall lizard). Lineage: Eukaryota; Metazoa; Chordata; Lepidosauria; Squamata; Lacertidae. The record is from RNAcentral.